UUUUUUUUUUUUUUGCAUUUUUUUGGGGUGUGUGUGUAAAGGUGUGACAAUUAUAUGGAAUAUGAUUGUGGCAUUCACUUAAUAAAGUGACGGCGCUGUUAGUUUUCAUCAAAACAGAAUUUUUAUACUUAAUUCUGUUGUGAGGGGAAAAUGAAAUGACAUUAAGCAAUUAUUAGAUUCAAUCCAGAUUUGGCAUUUUAAUAUUUUUUACAUUUAGGUAGUCGAAAUGGGAAAUGGGAAAUGGAUCUGGAUUCAGCCUGUGCCAAUUUAUAAGCAAACAGGGAAAUAAAGGUGUCAUUUUCAUGUAUUGGGAAGGCACAUGGCAUGUUGUUCAUCCCAUGUGAUGUUUUGACCCAAUUUAUUAAUUUCAUCCAUAAAACUACCCUACUCAUAUAUGUAUAUCAUGCGUAUAAAGACUAUAGACUUUUGCUUUUAUUACUAAAUCAGAGAAAAAAUGAUGAUUAAAUAAUAAAUGAAAACAUAAAUGUAUAGUUAUAAUGAAAAUGCAAAAAGAUGGUGGGAUCAUCAGCAUUAACCAAAGACAUGUGGAGUGGGAUUAAAGUAGUGGUGAAUUGUAUUCGACAACAUUGCCCUUUUUGUCAGUCUACAAAGUUAAGAGAGUUGCACCGCAUACACCGAUGGGAUUUAAGAAACCCUGUGAAAAUGGGAAUGGGGUUGGGUUUCAGAGGUGGAGAAUGCGGGGGAACAAGGUUCACAUGGGAGAACGUGCUUCCCUACCAUCAGUUAAACGGUCGGUACGGUCUCAUGCAUGUGCCCAUUUCUAUCUUCAAUCUCUAAAUACCCACCUAUAGAUUUAAGAUUAAAAAGUUUGGUCUUGGCACCAUUAAAAUGAUUUUAAAAAAAAAAAACUUGAAUAUGUUGAGGAUUGGAUCUCCAACACGUUAGGUUUUGUAUCUCAACCAUGUGUAAUGUUUACGUUUUCGCUCUAUCAACUUAUUUUCUCAGAGAAAAACAAAACAAUACCUGAAUCCAAUAAAUUAUUAUAAACAAUAGGAUCUCAAAUCUGCAUUAUUUUCACAUUGCAAGUCCCCACUCCAUAUUCCAUGUGUUUGCUUCAAAUGUUCACAUUUCAUUUCAUUCAUUUUAAUGUUUCUAAUAAAUUUAGCAAACUAUUUUCUUUUUCAUAAAAUAAAAUUAGCUGUAUAUAGAAUUUGAGGGUUAAUUAAUUAUAUAUUCAGAACGCACAUGUCAUUUUGCCAAAAUUUUUUCCCCUUUUUUGAUGUAACAUUUUGCAACUUUAAAGGUUAAGUACUUUUUAUUAUGAUAUUUAAAAAAAUGCAUUAAAUCAUUUAUUAUUAAAUUAAUGAAAUCUUUUUUUCUUGGAUAUAAAAUUGAAACUACCAACCGUAGUACAUAAGUUAUAACCAUGUUGUUGAUCUGAUUAUCCAUAUGUUGUCCUCAUCAAUCAGUUAUCUCUGUUGAACAAAUAAUAAUAAUAAUAAUAAUCAUUUAUCUCUUAACCGACAUUGGAAUGCUAAACUGACACUGUUGGGAAUUGUCACUUUUUUAUUAUUAUAUAUUUUAUGGAAACAUUAAUCUAAAUUUGCUGGUACUACUACUAACUAACUAAUAAAGUUCUAUAUAAAAACCAUGAAUAUUAUUUUUAAAGUAUUUAUAUAUAUUUUUUUAUAUUUUCAUAACUUCAGAAAAAUGUAUAGGUAAAUUACACUAUCCAUUACGGCAAAAUUUUUUUCACUCAACUAAUAAAAUUUAUUAUUAUUUUUAUUUCUUUUGUUAAGUGUUUUUAAGUCUACGAUGGAUUGAUGAUGUUGUGAUUUUAAAUUUUGGAUAGUAAUAUAUUUGAUCUCCCAUGGUUAUACAUUUUAUUAAUUUAGUUUAUAAAGAAAUUCACCUUUAACAUUUAUAAAUUAUUUUAAUUUAGUCCUUGAUUCUAAUAAAAUUAUAAAACUUUUUAAUUAAAAUUUUAAAAAAUCAUACAAAAUACAUAAAAAAAAUCUAAAAUUAUAUUAUUAUAAAAUUUUACAAAAAAAAUUCCCACAUAUUCAGGUUGCAAUCUCUCCAAACUUUCAUCAAUGCUUUUAAUUACUCUCUCAACACUGAAAUUAAAACCUUCACGAUAUCUUCCACAUUUUGUCGAAAUUAUAUAUUCACUUCUCGUAACUCCAAGAGCUUUAAGUCCCUUACCAAGCAUCUCUCUGACAAUGUACCUCCAUAAUACCUUCAAAUCAUUAACCAAUACAUAUAAUUCAUCAAAUUAAACCCAAAAAAAAAAAAACUCAAUUAGUUAAAAGUGAAGAAAAUUGGCCCUACGGAGAGAUGUCGAAGAAGUUUAUUAUGAGGCGUAAGGCUUUGUGCAUGAGGCGACAAUAUCGCUUCCGAAAACGAGAUCAAAGACGCUGUUGAGAGGGCAGCUCUGGAGCCCACCCUGCUGAGCUUGAGGCUCAUGUUUUCAAGAGGUCUUAUUUCUAGUUAAGGAACAACCAUAUUUAUCUAGGGUUUUUAUUCAAAGGGUUAAUAUGUAGUUUUUCUAUUGAUCUUAUCCAAAAGUACUUAAUUAUUAUUUGAACAUUUUUUGAACUUAUUUGGUAUCCAAAAGUAUUAACACCGCUAGUUUAUAUUGACGUGGCACUGAUCGUCAAUCCAAUGGUAGCGUGUAGCAACCUCUCAGUAUACCACGUGGUGGAUAAAAAUUUAAAAUUUAAAAAUUAAAAAUCUUUAAAAUAUAUAAUUAAUAAAAAAACAUAUAUAUUCUUUUAAUUUGUACACUAAUUUGUCCAGGUUCAUUCUAGAUAUAUUUUUAAUAAGUUUAUAUAUUUUUAUUUUUAUAAAAUAUCAGGUUAUUUAUAUUAUUAUUUUUAAAUUAAAAAUAUAUAAAGUUUUAAAUAAUUUUAAAAUACAUAAAUUAAUAAAAAAAUAUAUAAAAUUUUUUUUACAUCAAGAAUGACCCUAGUUUCAUUGUAGAUGUGCAUUUUAGUUCUUUUAUAUAUUUAUAUAUUGAGUAAGUAUUUGGUACAUUGACAAUGUACUUUUUUUUAUCCCACAACCUUAAAAAAUUAAUACGUGACUCUUUUUUUUUUAACUAUUUAUGUUUUAAUAUUUUACUAUACCUCUGUAGGACACUUGUCAAACCCUUGACCCUACUGACAGUGUACCAAAUAAUUUUCCUUAGAUAUUUUUAUAUAAUUUUUAAAAUUUUAAAUUUAUGCAUUACAAAGUUUUAUAUAUUUUUCAAAAUAUUAUAGGUGUUAUAAAAUAAAAAGAGAUAGAGAGAAUAAAAAACAAAGAAAAUAUGAAAGCAAUAGAAAAUGUACUUUAUUGAUCAAAAGGGAUAUUACAAUGUUUCAUCAGAGUCUCUAUUUAUAAGCAUAAGAAGUAUAAAAGAAGUAGAGAUCUAAUUCUAAUAAAUAUUAGAAUUUAAAGUACAUUAAAACUUUGUCUUGAUCAUGACAUCUACUUAAUAAGAUAUUCAUAACACUCCCCCUUGGAUGACCAUUUGUAGAUAAUGUGCCUCGUUAAAACCUUAUUAGGAAAAACCCUGUGGGAUAAAAAACCUAAUGAAGGAAAAAGAGUAUACAAUCUUUUAUUACAAGCUGCCUCGUUAAAAAUCUGUACCAGGAAAACCUAAUGGGACAAAACCUUGGUUAAAGGAAAAGAAUACAACUUGUUUUUAGACUCCCCCUGAUGACAACAUUACAUUACAUAUUUGAGUUGACGCAUUCCAAUCUUAUGUAGUAGUCUUUCAAAUGUUGAAGUUGGCAAUGCCUUAGUAAAAAGAUAUGCUAAAUUCUCACUAGAACGAAUUUGUUGAACAUUUAUAUCACUUCUUUUCUCAAGAUCAUGGGUGAAGUAUAAUUUUGGUGAAAUAUAUUUCGUUCUCUAACCUUUAAUAUAACCACCCUUCAAUUAAGCUAUACAUGUUGCGUUAUCUUCGUAUAAGAUAGUUGACAUCUUUUCCUGUAAAGGCAAAUUGCAUAUCUUUUGGAUAUAUUGGGUCAAUAACCUUAGCCUAAUACACUUUCAAAUUGCCUCAUGUAUUGCAAUUAUUUCUACAUGAUUUGAAGAAGCAGCAGCUAAUGUUUGCUUUGUUGAACGCCAUGAUAUGACAAUGCCCCCACAUGUAAAUAAAUAUCCUAUUUGAGAUCGACCUUUAUGUGGAUCCGAUAAGUAUCCAGCAUCAACAUAGCCAACUAAUGUGGAUUUUGAAUCAUUUGAAUAAAAUAACCCCAUAUUAGUAGUCCCUCUAAGAUAUCUAAAUACAUGUUUAAUUCCAUUCCAAUGUCUACAUGUUGGAGAAGAACUAAAUCUUGUUACCAAGUUUACAGCGAAAGCUAUAUCAGGUCUUGUGUUAUUUGCAAGAUACAUCAAUGCUUCUAUGGCACUUAAAUAUGGUACUUUAGGACCAAGAAACUCUUCACCAUCCUCGCAAGGACGAAAUGGAUCUUUAUUCACAUCUAAUGAUCGUACAACCAUUGGAGUACUUAAUGGGUGUUCUUUAUCCAUGUAAAACUUCUUUAAUAUCUUUUCCAUAUAAGUUGAUUAAUGAACAUGAAUUUCAUCUUUUAAAUGUUCGAUUUGUAAGCCAAGAUAAAACUUUGUUUUUCCAAGAUCUUUCAUCUCAAAUUCUUUCUUUAAACAAUUUACUAUAUUUUGAAGUUAUUCAAGAGUUCAAAUAAUAUUUAGAUCAUCAACAUAAACAACAAUUAUCACAAAAUCUGAUCCAAAACUUUUUAUAAAGACACAUGGCCAAAUUGGAUUGUUUUUGUAACCUUUUUUUAACAAGUAUUCACUAAGACGAUUACAUACGUCCAGAUUGUUUUAAUCCAUAUAAAAUUUUCUUUAAUCUUAUCAAAAAAAUUUCUCAAGAAACUUUAUAUCUUUUUGGGAUUUUAAAUCCUUUAGGGAUUUUCAUAUAAAAGUCAUUAUCAAGUGUACCAUAUAAAUAGGAUGUAACAACAUCCAUUAGAUGCAUGUCAAGUUUUUCACGUACUGCCAGGCUAAUAAGAUAUCUAAACGUGAUUGUAUCCACCACAAAAGAAUAUGUCUCUUCAUAAUCAAUGCCGGGCUUUUGCAAAAAUCCUUUUGCUAAAAGUCAAGCUUUAUAUCUUACGACUUCAUCAAUUUCAUUUCGUUUUCGCACAAAUACCCAUUUAUAUCCUACCGGCUUUAGACCUUUAGGUGUUUGGACUACAGGUCAAAAAACUUCACGUUUAGAAAGUGAAUUCAAUUUUGCUUGAAUUGCAUCUUUCCAUUUUGGUCAAUCUUUUCUAUUUUUACAUUCCUCAAUAGGUUUAGGCUCAAGAUCCUCAUUUUCUUUUAUUAUUUCAAUAGCAAUAUUAUAAGAAAAAGUAUUGUUGACAAGUACAUUUUUUUCGGUUCCUUCUUUUUCUCGUAUUGACAUAACUUAUUGAGAUCUCUUUAUUUUCAUCAUUUUCAUUUUCACUUUUAGGUAGCUGAAUCUCUUCUUGAGUUUUAUAAUAAGUUAUGUCAUGGGUCUCUUUAAGAACCCCCGCCUCCACUAUAUGACCAUCUUGAAUGUUUGCUCCUCUACUUUUACUAGGAUUUUUAUCUUUGGAACCGACUGGUCUUCCACGCUUCAGGCAUGAAUUACUUUCUUUUGCACUAACAGUUUUCCCUAUUAGGACAUCAAUUCGUAUUGGAGCAUUUUCAACUGGUACGUGAGAUUUAAUGAAUCUGACAGUUGAUUUGUAAAAUGAAUCAUCUGUUGAACUUCUGGUUCACAUUGCUUUGUACGAGUUUCUUAGACAUUGAUAAUUUAUUUCAAGUACUUUAUUAAUCUAGCUUUUUAUCCUCUCACCCUAAUGUUGGGAAAAUUGACAACUCAUGUCAUGAUUAAAUCUCAAAUUAAUAACUCAAAAAUAUUAUAAGGAGACUCAUAUAAAUAUACAUUCCUAAUCUCUUAUUAUGACCCAUCUUUGUGCAUUAUGGUGGAGCAGUUGGAACAUAUACUGCACAUCCAAAAAUUGUAAGAUGGGAAAUAUUUGGCUCUUGACCAAAAAUCAAUUGUAAUGGGGAGUAUUUAUAGUUUAUUUUCUUGAUGCGUACAACAUGUAAAUAAAUCAAAUCUCAUACCGAAAUAGAUAGUUUUGUUCUCAUAAGUAAUGAUUUAGCUAUUAGUUAGAGGCAUUUGAUAAACAAUUUAGCUAAAUCAUUUUGUGUGUGAACAUGAGCUACAAGAUGUUCAAUUUUUAUCCCAAUUGACAUGUAAUAAUCAUUGAAAACUUGGGAUAUAAACUCACCAACAUUAGCAAGAUGAAUUGUUUUAAUUGCAUAAUUUGAAAUUAAUCAUUUAAAUAAGCAAUCUCGCAAAUGACAAGUUGCAAGUUGAUAAUGCAUGUGAUUAUUUUGUAGAUGCAUCUACCAAAAUCAUAUAACAUCAGAACCAUCCACAUAGUGGAUGAAGGGAGUCCAUAUUCAUUUCAGAAAUACAAGACAUUAAAUCUCAACUUUAGCUAGUGAGUUUCUAAGAAUCAAUUUUCAUUGAGAACAAGGAACACAUGAGAAUUCUUUAAAUUAAAGAAUCUUCUGGUUCUUUAACAAAUGUCCAUAUGAAUUAUCAAUUAAUUUUCGCAUCAUAUAUGAUCCAGGAUGGUCUAACUGGUCAUGCCAAGUAGUAAAUACAUUUGUAUUAGUAAACUUCUAGUUUACUUUAACAUGUGUUUCAAUUGUACUAAAUUAUAAAAAAAAUUGAUAAUUUUAUUGUUGUUCUUUUUAUUUUGUAUCAACAUAUAAGUACUAUUGUGACAUUUAUUACUGGAAAUGUCUAAAUCAAUGUGAAGUCUAUAAUGUCACUAAGUCAAUAAAUAAAUAUAGUUUUCAAACAAUUAUAUGUAAUAUCCACUUUAGGGAAUAUGUCAAAAUCUUCAAAUAUAAGGCAUUUGGUCUAGUGGUAUGAUUCUCGCUUAGAGUGCGAAAGGUCCCAAGUUCGAUUAAUAAUAUAAAUAACCCAAUCCUCUUUUGACUCAUAUGAAUAUAAUGUUUUCCUCAUUCACAAUCUCAAUAUGAGAUCCAUUAUGAAUAUCUUUUAAAACUAAUUCAUUAAUCAUCACAAACUUUGUGCUUUUUAGAUAUUGAUAUAUUAGCUCUUCUGGAGCUUUCAACUAAUUUUGUACUAUCAAAUAUUAAAAUAUAUUUGUUUAUUUUAGUACCAAAUAAGAUAAAUAUUUUCUGUUUGUAAUGAUAAAUUUCAUUACUACAUUCUCAUAUCCUUCCUUAAAUAAUAUUAAUAGAGACAAAAUAUUUGGGCAUACACCACAUAUGUGACCAAUAAUAUUUCAUAUCACAUUGAUGACAUAAGUUAUCUUUCCUCUUUGAAAAGUUAUCUGGAGAACUCUCAUUGUUCUCUUAUUUAUUACUAUUUUCCCACUUUUAGUGGUCCAUGAGUAUAUCUUUUAUUUUAUAUUUUCUUUAUGUUUACAUUCACUUCAAGGAAUGCAACAAAUCUAGUAGGAAGGGCUUAUAAACAUCCCAAUAGAUUCUUUAUUUCAGAAUCACCAUCGCAAACAUGCAUGGGAUUUCAAAUCAAAAUCUAUCUAACAUAAAAAUAUUAUGCAUAAUAUAAUUUAAUUAAAAGAACUUCAAAAAACUAGAAAAAAUUCCAUAUUAAUAGCAAACAUAUCUAAUCAAUAAUUAUGUCUUUUACAUAAAAAAAUUAACCUAAAAAGACAAAAAUCAAAUACCAUCAGAAUGUGAAAUUUAUGUCAAAUAAAAAUUAAUAGUAGUCAGACCUUAAUUGAAAAAGAAAAUAUGGUCGAAAUAUAAAAGUUUCUUACCAAAUCUAUACUUUACCGAUGCUUGUAAAAUAAAUCAAAAAUCGAGAAUAAAAACUAUAAUCCAUUCUGAGAUUGAAUCUUUCAACAUCCCGAAGAUGAAGUUGUAAGGGUGAAAGUUUAAGGUGAAAAAGAAUAUGAUUUGUGGGAAGACUUCGAAAGAUUUUGAAAAAAAAAAUAGAGAAUCAUUGUGCUGAUAACGUGUUAUAAAAUAAAGAGAGAUGAAGAGAAUAAAUAAUAAAGAAAAUAUGAAAGCAAUAGAGAAUGUACUUUAUUGAUCAAAAGAGAUAUUACAAUGUUUCAUCAGAGUCUUUAUUUAUAGGCAUAAGAAGUAUAAAAGAAGUAAAGAUCUAAUUCUAAUAACUAUUAGAAUUUAAAGUACAUUAAAACUUUAUCUUGAUCUUGAUACACAUCCACUUAAUAAGAUAUUCAUAACAAUAGGCUUUUUAUAUAUUUUUAAUUGUAUAUAUAUAUUUUUAUAUUUUUAUAAUUUAUAAAUUAUAAUUUUUUAUAUAUUUAAAAUAAUAACCUAAAAAUUUACAUUUUAUAAAAAAUUUAAAAUUAAAAAUAUAUGAACUUACUAAAAAUACAUUUAGAAUGAAUCUGGACAAAUAGUGUUCAUAUUCAUUUGUCUAGAUUUGGAAAAAAAAUAUUUUUUUAUUAAUUUAUAUAAAUUUAAAGAUUUUUUAAUUUAUGUCUGUCACAUGCCAUACUAAGGCUGCCACAUGUCUCAAUUGGAUUGGCCAUCAAUACCACAUCAGCACAAACUAACGGUGUUGGUACGGAUGUACCAACUUGGAUGACUAAAUAUAACUUCAAGUACUAAUUAGGUCUAAAAAAAUAAUUCAAAUACCAUCUAAGUACUUUCGGAUAAGUUUAGGGGGUAAAGUACAUAUUAACCAUUUUUCAAAGAACUCGGGGAAGUUUAGAUUUUCUCAAGAAAAUUGUAUAUGAUUGGAAGGGUUUUGAGAGUUAAAAGCUAAAAGUUAGAACGGUGGGAUUGCAAUCUCUCCAAGCUUUUCGAUUUAUUUAUUUAUUUUGUAUGAUUUUUAAAGUUUAGCAAAAAAAAUUAUAAUGUUAUUAUAAUCAGGAUUAAGUUGAGAUAAUUUGUAAAUAUUAAGGGUUAAUUUCUUUAUAAUCAUGAUCGAAUUGAUAAAAUGUGUAACCGUUAAGGGCUAAAUAUGUUAUUAUACUAAUUUUAAAACUGUCACAUCAUCAAUCUAUCACAGACUUAAUUACACUUAAAGGAAAAGUACCAAAAAGAACAAAUUUAAAUAGUUGGGUGACUAUUUUAAAUUUUUUUGUAGUUGGAUGACCAAAAAAGAAAUUUGACUAUAGUUGGGUGACCGCCGAUGUAGUUUACCCAAAAUACAUUCAUAGGAUAGGAUCUAUAAGAUUUGAAUCCAAGACAUUAUGGUCUUUCAUUAUUUUAACUUUACCAUUUCAAUCAAAGCCACAUUUAGUUAUUUUAUUUUAUUUUAGAAAUUUUAUACAUAAAUUUUGUCACCUACAUCGUAGAUGUGUUAUAAUAUAGUAAAUUGAUGCCAAUGAGACCUUGUUUUGUUUAUUAAGGAUGAGGCCUUGAGUUUGUGAGUACUUAAGUUUAAGUCCCAUCAUUUGCAAUUGUGCAUAUGUCAUGUGUGGAUUAUGUUCGGUUCUUUUUGAAAUGAUCCCACUUUGUCUGGUUCUUCGUUCAUUGAGCGAUUUAUUAGUUGAAUUCUACAUUAUAAUUGGCUAGGCAUAUAUUUAUACUUGUAUCAUACUUGAAACUGUAUUGUAUUUGUACUAGUGUAGUUUUCACAGACACAAAAAGAAUAAUAUAAUUAAUAACUUAUAAGUUCUCUUUUGGUUACUGGAAAUUCUUCUUUCGACUAAUCUUUAUUAAUCUGGUCCUUUUAUGGGCUCCAACCUUGCUCGUGAUUCGCGAUGGGUUGGCAUAUUUGCUCUUCUUUCAUUUCUCAUGAGUAUUUUAUCUUGGAGUUACAUAGAACAUUAAUGCCCUUAAAGAGAUUUUUUCAAAUUCAUAAUCUAGAUAUCAUUUUUUAUGGAGACCAAAACAAAAAAAGUUGAAAGUUGAAGCUUUUAUGUUGUAGGUUGGGGUUUCAGUGACUCUUUUAUGUUGGACUCGUAGGUAAAAUGGAAAGUUUAACCUUUUAGUAGAACUAGGAUGCCUACAUCUCCAUUUCUAAAUCAUUAAAGAAAUUUAUGUACACCUAUAUUGAAUUAGGCACUGAGUUAAAUAACGAUAUUCUUGUGUCACAAGACUAGAACUUUAGUCUCGCAAUCCGUGCUGCCUUAGGCGAUCCUUUCGAUUCAAACACGCCUAAGUUAGCCUAACCACCAAACAAUUGAGGAUGCACAAAGAAUUUCUCCAAGGCACCAAUUUAUAUAGUAGAAGGAACUCUAGCCAAAAGAAGGCACAAAAGAAUAGAAAGCCACAAAAAACCAUGCACGAGAGGUGUUUGAGUAAAUGCUCUAAAUUGUAUUACUUUCUCUCAAAGAAUACAAGUAAUAAUAAAGAAUACAAUCCCAAUGGAUGAUUUACAAGUGAGGGGGAGACUCUCUAUUUAUAGUUGAGCUCUCUCAAAACCGACGGUCUAGAUCAAUUUACAUUGACGGACGAGAUUAGCCUACCUUACAAUUAAGGGAUUUACAAGAUUUACAAUAUCAAAUCAAAUCUAAUCUUACAAGAUAUGAUUUCCCUCAAUUUUCUAAGAUUAGUUCCCAUAAUUACCAAGGUAGCCUAUCUUUCUAUAUAUGCAUUAUUGGGCCACCUAGGCUUCAAAUGGACAGGCUUCACCAAUGGCUCUUUGAAUCGAGCCAGUUCUCAUGGGUCAAAUAAUCCCUAUCUAAUCGAUAGACCUCCAUGGGAUGCAUCUUGUGCGAUGGUCACAAGUUUUGCACCUUGGCCCGUACCACUUGUGUAUAGAUGCCUGUUACGCGAUAUAAAAGCAUUGUCUAGAGAUACUUAAGGCAAAAUAAGCUUUCUAUAUAGAUAGCCACCAGCAAGUAGUUGGAAGAAGUGGAAAUGGACUUCUUAUUGUGGUUCUAGUGCCUUUAGUGUAGUGAUGUCGUUAAAUGUACUUGCAAUUUUUCAAAUAGAUUGGUUUAAUAAAAUUAUUUUAUUCUUAUUAAUAUCAUUUUGUAUAAUAUCCUCAACAGUUUUUGCAUGCAAAUCAAAAUGUAAGGAACUAUAGCUCACUAAUUAUCUCAUAUUUAAAUAAUAUUAAGUUGCAUUAUGUGGUUGGAUCAUUAUAUGAGAAGAUAACCUAUAUUAAUAGAUAAUCUAAAUGGCCCAUAGUCUAAUCAAAAUUGAGCAAGUCAACUAAAAUACUAUUAUGUCGUUUAUCUAGUCCAAUCAAUGAUAUACCUUGUCUUGGGUAUUAGAGCUGAUGACUUUUAGAAGAUAAAGGCAUAGAUGUGACUGUUUGGACUAACAAUACAUCAGAUAAGACCCAAGGAAAUUAAAUUUUAGAUCCGUUUUUAGAUUUAUUCACUUGUGAAGUUCAUAGUGCGACUUACCUCAAUCCUGAGUAAGUGACGGGCUUUGUAUGCAUGACUAGUAUACUUUGAAGUAUUAAAAACUUAAGUUCAAUUGGUAAUAAAGCCAAAAGCUUAUACGUUGGGUAUAUGACUUUCAUAUCACACAACUUCACUUAUAAUAGUGGAAUUCAUAGCCCAAUAAAGGUUAAAUGAUAUCAUUUCUUUGACAUUACCUGAUAUAUGGAAAUGUAACAUGACUACAAGUCAUUUGCCUACAACGAACAUAUUGAGUUUUUCAUAAAGGAAGAUGUAAUGAUUACCAUGAGAUAAAAUAUGAUCAUAUUGAGUGAAUAGAUUUAACCCAAAGAGAUUAAGGAUAUCCUAUAAGGGUAACACAUGUAUGACAAGGUCAUUAGAUGAGCACUUGUUAAAUAGCUUUUGUAAUGGUAUAUAAUAGGGAGAGCUCAGUCAUGUUACUUUAGUGGAAUGAAUCCAUGACUAAAUAAUGUUGUAAUUAAUAGAAAAAUAUUCAAAACUUAAUUACAAAUUAUUUGAGUCCUAAUUAUAUAUGUCAAAUCGGUCCUUCUGCUAAUACGGUACGAAUCUGAAUGAUUUGCAAUAAAUUCAACAUGAAUGAAUGAAAAUGACAAACUAGAGAAAUAAAUUACAUAUAUCACUAUCCGCAGUGAUUGUAUUUUUCUCGAUAUAUGUAAGAGAUAAAUUAGAAUUAAAUUAAUUUCUUCAAAUUAUUAUUUAAGUAUUUGUAAUUAAACAAUUAAAGUUCGAAGUAGAAAUUAAAUUAAUUAGUCAUUGUUGUUUUACUGAAAAAGCUAGUUAGAAUUGAGGAAAUAAUUUAAUUAAGAAAUUAAUUAAAUUUAUUUUAAUUAAUAUAUAAUAUUAUUUUUGGGAAUAUAAAAAUAGUUAUUGGGUCAAUAAAAUUAUAUGAGUUGCUUUAAAAACCAUAUAACACAUAUAUUUAAUACUAGUACAUGAAAUAGGCUCGAAAGCCCAUCUACAUAGUAAAGGGAGACAACCCUAGUGCUAAUAGGGAGUAGUUGUUCCCUCUAUUUAACCAUAAAUCAGAAUACAUGUUAUUUUUAUAUCAUGUAUUUAUCCCUUGUUCAACUGAGACUCUUGUAGUUUUCUAUAUAAAUAGAGACAAUUGGAUAGAUCAAAGAGGCACCUCCAAAGCGUCAAUACGUUGUCAAAAUAUUGCGUGAUUUAUUUUACCAAAUAAAUAUUAUAUUUUGAAACAGUUCAUCUCUCAGUAUCUAGUCUUUAAGAAAAAUUGAUAUUCCACUUAACAUUAAGAAAAUUUUUCAUUCUGUGCAAUCAGUUCAUGAAAUUAAAGCCCAUGCUCUAAGCAGAUCGAAGUUCGAGAUUAGCAGAGAAGACUUUUUGCGCGAAAGCCAAGAAACACUUUGUCCACCUAACUUAAAGCACAAGUAUUAAUUUCGUUGGAUUUUAUUGCUAUAAAUAUCAUAACUUUUUGGCUUUUAUAAAAUUUUUAAUUUUUUGUUAUACAACAAAAAUGAUUUCUAAACCAAAUUUUUCAAAAAUUGGUAUUAGAGUCAAGUUGCACUAUGUUUGUAGUACAAACUGAAUACCGAAUUUCUCUUUUUCUUCCUUUGUUUGAUUAAAAUUGAUAACAAGUGUCAUUCUUUAAUUAUAUGCACGUUUUGGAUAUUAGGUACAAACAAGUGUCAAACUAUUAUCUUCACACAUGAUUUCUAAUUUUAUUUUUGUGUCAUUAGAAACUAACUUCAUGUGAGUAAAAAAUUGACUAGUAAUUUUUGUAAUCCCAAAAGUGGAACCUAAAAAAGGGCAACGGACUAAUAACCCGACUAAACUCAAGAAUCAAAGGAAAAAAUGGCAAACCUCCAUAAGCGGCGACUAGCACACAAUGGCGUUGGUUGAGUCGCCUUGAGCGUCACAUAAUGCAUGACACUUAGGGGAUGUCAAGGUAUCACACACCAGCCAAGUGGGCACACAAGGGCUGCUGAGGCAGUGAACCUAGAAGGCAUGCAACACCGAGGGAGUUUGGGGCAUUGUUACACCAUUCGAUUGGUGUGUUUGACAACAUUAACCAAGGGUGUCUCACCCUAAGCCUAAUAUGCAACAAUCAUACGAGAACAACCAAGGGAAGGUUGGGGUUUCACACCCCAUUCAAUCAACAAGUGUUAGUGUAAGGACUAAUAGUCGAUUGAGGCUAUCAUAGGUGGGGAAUGCCAAGGACACGAGAUGCUGCUGCAUCAAACUGUAGUUCAGAAUUGGUGCAAGGGAAUUGAUGGUAGCCGACAAUGGUGGCUGGAGGGAAUGGUCUGCGGUGACAAUGGUCUUUGUUCGUAGGUCGUGUUUAUUUUUGGGCAUCGAGUUUAUUUUUGGGAAAGAUCAAGGAUAUUUGGAUUUCACCUAGAAGACCCAAAGAAUGCUUUGGGAAAAUUUUUUCAAUUUUAAUUUAAUUUACUUAUUUUAUUUUUCCUAGGAUGAAACCAUAAAAACUUUUGAGUAUUUAAAGUUGAUUUAUUUUUUUUAAAAUUUUAUGAUAUGUUGUUAUUAUAUGAGAUUAAACGUGGUUAAAUCUAAAAACAUGUUUAGGCAUAUAUGAUAUAAGUACGUCAUAUAAUUUAAGAAAAGAAUGUCACUUGUCCUUGUUUGCAUAUUUUUAAUCAUUCAUGCUUGAAACUGAAUUUAAAACCUUACGUUGUUUUUAAAAUAUUAAGUGGGAAAAAGUCCCUAAACAAGGCCUAUAGCCUCCAUCAAAGGUUUUUAUGUGAUGACAUAAUAAUACUUUGAGUUAGUUUUACCCUAUCUGUACCUUAUGAUGAGUAUUAUUAUGUGGAUUUACUAGAGAGACUUCUUUUAGGGAAACUAGUCAUAUAUGUUACUAAUUGAGAUUAUCCCAAUAUAAGUAAUAAAAGAGUAUAUAUUUAUGAUGGGUGUUGAGUCGAUGAUUAUACAUUUAAGAUUAUUUUAGUUAAGUAGCUUCCUAUGAAGCUUUAUUUAAGCUAGAAUAAUGCCCAAAUGUAAAACGAUUAAUAAUAUGUAUGGUAUCUAAUAUGUUUAGAUUCACAUAUUAAUUGGAUGGAAACCCAUAUUCUUACUAGUUUUUUUUUAAGAUUCCUCCACAGUAACUUAAUUAAGUGGGGUGUGAAAUAUUGUUGCAAUGAACUUACAAAAUUUUCAAGGUUUUAUGUAAGACACAUGCAUCAUUUUAAUGCAUUACGUAUGUUGCAAAACUUUCUGAAAUAUUUGCUUAAUACAAAGAUAAUUAAUUAAGGAAAAUUUUAUUUUUCAGUUCGAAAAUGGCACCAACUCCCUUGAUUAACAUCCUCACUGAAAAGAAAUUGAACGGAAUAAAGAGUGAAAAUGAAAUCUCCAUAUUAUUUUGAGCUGUGAAAAACACGAGCUAGUACUUGAUACUAGAUGCUCACCAACUACCCAAGCUAAGGCUAGAUCUUAAUUGAAGGAUUCUAAUGAGAUAGUUUAUUGCUAUAUCUUAUCGAGUGUAACCAAUACACACCAAAAAAAACUGGAGAGCUAUGAAAUCGCCAAAAAGAUGAGGUAUAAACUAGUGGACAUGAUCGGAGGCCAAGCUACUUUGGCUCAAUAAUAUGUGGCCACUAUUUUAAUGAGUAACCAAAAGAAACCCGAUACUUUGGUCAAAGACUAUAUGAUUACUUUUAUGAGUUAUGUUGCAGAGACUACAAAAAAUAGGGCCAAAAUUUAUGUAAACACACAAAUCGAGAUUGUGUUCAAAAGUUUGUCUAAGGACUUUGCAUGUUUUAAGGCCACUUAUAACUUAGGAAAAAAUUGACACUUACACAACAUAUGAGUGAAUUACAAUUCUAUGAGUUGAUAUUAGAUUGUGGUCAACCUUUCUGGAAAGUAAAGCAAACUUAGCAGUUGUUUCUUCCUCAAAUGGGAAAGGAAAGUAAGCUAAGAAGAUAAAGGCUAAGGCUUCGGGUCCACCAAAAGUGGAUAGGAAGGAAACUAGGAAGCAUAAAGAAUUACCUAAUUCUAAGCAUUUCUUCAACAAUAAGAAAGUGCAUUUCAAGGUAAACAGUAAAGAGUUCAAGGACUACCCAGCCUCAAAGGGUAAAUGUAUGGAACCCUUGGUUAUUGAAACUUGUUUCGUAGAAGAUAAAGUAGACCAUUGGGUCAUUUAUUUUAGAGUCACUAAUCAUGUUUUUAUUUCUUUGUAGGGCUUCAAGGAAACAAAAUAUCUUAAGGAUAAGAGUCUCUCGUUAGAAACUAGAGAUGGAAGCAAUGUGGUAGCAAAUAGGGAUGGCAAUAGGGUGGGGCAAAUUUUUUCCCACCCCGAACUCAUCCCAAACCUUGAUGAAUCCACCUUGACCUCGAAUCGAAUCGACCCGACUCCAACCCAAAUUUAAUUUAAUUAUUUUAUUUUUAUUUUAAAUGAAAUAAAAUUACAUUUUUUUAGUUGUUUUAUUUUUUUUAUUUUGAAGCAAAUAUGAUUUAUUUUCAAGUUUAGACUUAAAACUCAAUAUUUAUUUACUUAUUUAUAUAUUUAUUUAUUGAAAGCAAAAACUUAAUAUAUAUUAGUGGCAUUUUAGUAAAUAUAUUGAGGUGAGGUGGGGUGAAUUUACAUCAAACCCGACCUAUUUCAAACUCGAUUUUUUUUAAAAAAAAUUUGGCCCUAAUGGAUCAGGUUGGGAUCAAAACUCGUUGAAUUCAGAUUUUUUUUGCCAUCCCUAGCAGCAGAAGCAGUGGGAGAAGUUCGUUUUUAUUUUAAUAGCUUUAGGAAGAUUAUUUUAAAAGACAUAUUCUAUGUACCAAAAUUUAAGAGAAAUUUAAUUUCUGUUGCUUGUUUAUUUAAAGACGGUUUUACCAUGACUUUCAAUAAUAGUAUUCAAAAGAUUACAUUAGCCACCGAAAUGACCAGUAAGCUAUCAGAGUUUUGAAAACAAUUAUUUUAAAAUAUUUAUUUAUCUUAGAAGAAAAUUUAGUUAAUUACUGAAUUAUUUAUUAUUCAAAAUUUUUAAUUAUAUUAUAUCAACGGAAAAGUGAUAUCCAUUUACAUUUUUAGUGAAAACCAGGGUUCAUGCAUAGCUAAUUAAUUAUUCAUAAUUUGAUGUCCUAAAAUUAAUUUAAAUGUCAUGCAAUAUAAAAACAAAAAUAUAAACCCAAAUCUAAUGUCCCAUGCCAUAGUUCAAAAUAAUAUAAUAUAAUCUUUAAAUAAUAUAAUAAAUCAAAUAAUGAGCCUAAAAUAAUUUUAUAAAUAUAAACUGAGCUGAGACCCUCUGGGUGCCAUGUCUGCGUCCUAACCUGGUGGGUUAUCUGUAAAGAUGAAAAUUAAAGGGGGAGUGAGCUAUGACGCUCACUGUGAGUUCCAUCACAAGAAAAUCAGUGCACAUUAAUAAACCAAGCAUAUAAUAAUAUCCAAUACGGUAACAGUCAUAUAGAAUAGUAGUAAUUGAAAGUUUAUUCAAACAUGCUUAUGAGUGCCAUUGUAAUGCAAUUUCAGGAUAACAGUAAAGAAUAAGGUCCUACUCUAUCACUACACUCCAUAAUAAGAGUUCCCCAGAACUCUUAUAUCCUGGACACUCUAGAUUGUGGACGAACAACAAGUGUUGGAGGUUAAUACGCUACUAGUAGUUGUGAAUACACAACAGGUUUGCAGAUAAUAGCUUCUAGUAAAAGUUGUGGAUAAACCACCAGUGUUUGUAGGUGAAUUCGCUGCCAGUAUAUUGUGAUUGCACAAUGGGUUUAAAGAUAAAUAUUGCUAAUAAGUUUGUGGAUAAACCACCAGUGGUUGCAGAUAAACUGCCAGUACUUCCUUCUUUCAAAACGUCCCUACCCUAUGCAAUGCAGUAUGACAUGUAAGUAUCUAUACAAUACAUAAACAGUAAACACAUUCAACAUGUAUUUAGAUCAACAAUAGUAGUAGACAUGUUUUCCAUGUAUUCAGUUUAUCAAUACAAUUAGCACGUUGUUCAUGUAAUCAAUAAUUUAAUGAUACGAAUAGUAGUAACAAAUAAUCAGUAAUUCAAUCAUAGAAGGCAUAUAUUCGUCACAUAUCAUGCACAUAUAGUAAUAAUCUAAUUAGUCAAAUCAUGGAUACCACAUUAUUCAUCAUAUUAGGGACUUAAUUAAAAGAGAUAAAAUACUAAAAACAAUUCAAUGAUCAUACAAGGACUAAAUUGAAUAGCUUACAAAAUUUCUAGGUAAAACUAUAAAAUAGGGGCACACGCUCGUGUGGUCAGGUUGUGUGCAGUGGCUUAAGUUGUGUGGAGGGGUUACAUGGCUGUGUGGCUAGGUCGUGUAACAGACUGCGAAAGUGUGGAAUUUACAAAAUCAAGGUACAUGGGAGACACGACCGUAUAGUCCACACCCCUGUGUGACCCUAUUUCGAAGCACGUUUUCCCCCCAUUCGCUUAUAAAAAACACACCUUUUAGUGAGAUCUCGAUCAACAUUCCUUAUGCUCAAAUCUGGUCUGAUACGCCUAGUACGAGUUAUUCAAAUGAAAAUUUCACACGGGUUAACAUUUAUUUUCCAAGACUUAUCAAGAUUCAAUGUUAUUAAUGAAAGAUUCGUCAAGAACUGUGAAAGAUUGACUAAUUGAUUUUAAAGAUUAAUAUUGGACAAAAAUUCUAUAAAAUUUGGGCUCUAAACUUUAUACCGAUAUGUACUUACCAAACUUGAUGGAAUAACGGAGGCUAUCAACGAAGAAUUCAAUAAUCGGUAGAGAAUCGAUUUAUUGAGAUUGAUUUGCUGUGGAAAGCAAAAAUAAUUUCAGCAAAAAAUAUGCAAAAUUUGAUGUUAAAGAGAAGAAAGAAAAGAAAAGAGGAAAAAGAGAGAAAAGAGAGGAAAUCCUAUUUUGGUUUGAAGAGAAAACAAAAUUCUAAUGUAAUUAAGGCAAAAGGGACUAAAUAGCUAGGAUUUUCAAAUUUUGAGGGGGGUUUAGUAAUUUACCUUAGCUGCCAAAUAAAAGGAAAUGGGAUUUAGAUAAGGGGUGGAUCAAACAUGGUUUGCAAUGAUGGAGAGUGGCGUGUUAACCAUUUGGGCUGCUGCCCAAUCUUGUUAAAUUUCUACACCAAAUAAUAUUUAUUUUCAUAUGAUUUCUGCUAUGGUUUGCUGAAUUUUAAAAAGAAAAGAAAUGAGAGAGGGUUAGAUAGAACCUAGGACCUAUAAGGAGUACACUAAACACUUAACCAUCAAGCCUAAUCAUUUUCUUCGUUAAUCUUCUCAAUUUAAUCCCCUAUAUUUUAGGGUAUGACACUAUUGGAAAUUGAACUCAUGAAUAAGAAACUUAGAACAUCUCACUCGAAUGAGACGUACCUAUGGCAUCGAAGACUUGGUCAUAUUAACUAGGAUAAAAUCACAAGAAUUGUGAAAGAUGACACCUUAAGUUUGCUUAAGGAAGCACAUAUUCCACAAUAUGAAUCUUUUUUGAAAGGUAAAAUGACCAAGCAAUCUUUUAAUUCAAAAGGUACAAUGGCCAUUUAACCCUAAAAACUUGUGCACAUUGACAUAUGUGGUCCCAUGAAUGUUAGUGCACGUGGUUACAACAAUUACGUAACCCUUAUAAAUGACUAUUCCAGAUAUGGAUAUGUAUAGCUAAUGCUCUGGAAUAGUGAAACCUUCGAUAAAUUCCAAGAGUUUCAUGUGGAGGUGGAGAAACAAUUACGUUUACCCAUAAAGACACUUCAUUCGGAUCGAUAUAGGAAAUAUUUUUUAGAUGAGUUCUUAUGAUACCUUAUACCAAAUGAGAUCUUAUCCCAAUUAACCUUGUUGGGUACUCCACAAUAGAAUGACUUGACAAAAGAAGGAACAAUAACUUGCUAGGCAUGGUUCGUUUAAUGUUGAGUUCAUAACUGCUAAUAUUUUUUUGGGGAUAUACAUUAUAAAAGACUUGCUACAUUCUAAAUGAUGUACUAACUAAGGCCGUAAUGAAAAAUUCAUAUAAAUUGUAGAAUGGCAGGAAGCCAAGCUUAAAUCAUUUUAGGAUUUGAGGCUGCCCAACCCACAUAUUGGAUAAAGUUGCAAAUAAGUUGGAUUUACGGAUAAAAUUGUGCAUGUUUGUUGGCUAUCUAAAAGGGAAAAAAGGUGAAUUGUUUUAUAACCCGAAACAUCAAACUAUUAAGGUGAUAACACAUGCCACAUUCCUAGAGAAAACUUACAUGAACGACUUUAAACCUUGAAGUAGAUUGUUAUUAUAGGAACUUUCGAGAAAUAAAGAAAACCCUCUAGUUGCAAUUUUAGAUCCUACUCUAAAUAGUAGGCAUGCAAAUAUUUAGCAACAUAGGGAGCUUUGUCAUAGUGGCGGGUGUUUAGAAGGCUUGAUUUUUUCUAGUAUGGUAGAAAUUUUUUUAACACUAAGUUUACCAAACAAGAAGAUGAUGACUCACUCUCACAUUUGAUGAAGCAAUACAAAGUGCUGAUUCCAAGCUUUAGGAAUUAGCUAUAAAAGCUGAGAUGGAUUCUAUACAAUCCAACUUAGCGUAGGAACUUGUAGGCCUACUGGAUGGAUAAAACCCAUAAGAUGUAUGUGGAUCUACAAGAAAAAGAGACAUGCGAAAGAAAAAGUUCAAACCUAUAAUUCCAGACUUGUGGCAAAAGGCUACACAGAAAAAGAAUGUAUCAAUUAUGAGUAACAUUCUCUCUAGGAGCAAUGCUUAAGUCGAUCCACAUUUUUAGACAACUAUCUUAAAGAAGACAUCUACAUAGUGCAACCCGUCGUAUAUAUAGCUAAAGGAAAUGAUCAUAAAGUUUGCAAACUACUUAGGUCCAUAUACAAAUUUAUGUAAGCAUCUCGAUCAUGAAAUCAAAGAUUUCAUUAAGCGACCAAAAUUUUUGGAUUUGAGAAAAAAAUUAGUUAAUCUUGUGUUUAUUAAUGUAUUAUAGAUGGAAAGGUAGUCCUUAUAGUUCUUUAUGUCGAUGACAUACUACUCAUCGGGAGUGAUGUAGGAACAUUUUAAUUGGUUAAGUUGUAGUUAACUCAACAGCUUAACAUGAAUGAUAUGGGUGAAGCUAACUAUGUUCUAGGAAUUCUAAUCCUUAAGGAUCGAAAGAACAAAUUUAUAACUUUAUUGCAAGAUUCAAUAUAGAUAAGAUAUUGGAACGUCUUAACAUAACCAAUUCAAAGAAAGGUGCACAACCUUCUAUAUCGGGCUUUUAUUUUUCUUUAGAGGAUUGUCCUAAGAUAGUGGAAGAAAGAAAGCACAUGAGAAAGGUUUCUUAUGCUCCAACAAUAGGAAGUCUCAUGUAUGUGUUAUUAUCCACAUAUCCAAAUAUCUAUUUUGCAAUAGGAUUAGUGAGUAGAUAUCAAACGAAUCCUAGUCUAAGACAAUGGCAACCAGUUAAACAUAUACUCAAGUAUUUGUAGAGAAUGAGAGAUUAUAUACUUGUAUAUUCAGAAGAGAUUAAAUCUUAUCGGAUAUAAAAAUUCUAACUUCCAAACGUGGAGGGAUUCGAGGAAAUCAACAUUGAGUUUUGUUUUUGUCCUAGGCGACAAAGCCAUAGUGUAGAGGACAGUUAAGUAGGGUUGUAUUGUUUACUGACCUGUCGUCAAAUUUAAUAGCUAAUUCGAGUCAAUUCCGCACUUAAAGAGCUUGUUUUCUAAUAAAUUUAGUAUUUUUAUUUACGUUUUUAGUAAUUAGGCAUUAUGAUUAAAAGUUAAUAAAAAUAAUUGUUUUUAACACAUUUUUUAGGUUUUGUGACCCAAUAGGCUAACACAAGCCUUAGGUUGUGCUAAUUGGUUCAAUUGAGUGUGUAGGGUAGAGAUAUAAAGGCCCAAUUGACGUGGAAGCAAAGGUUGAGUGAUACACUAGCUUCCCGAGACGUCAAAGCACUAAAAGAAAGAGACAAGAUAGUAUUUAGGUGGCAAGGCUGACAUGCUGCCCAAGUACUUCUGGGAUAUUUUCAUUCACGCAAUCAAACUUAUUCAAAGACCUAAGACGUGCCAAAGACCUAAUUUGGGCUGCCAACACCUCUAUAAAUAAGACAUUAGGGGUUGAAUGUAAUCAAGUCAUCCUGGACGCCUUCAAAAACCCUUGUAGUUUAAAAUUAGUUUUACUUUAUUCUCUUUUCAACUUUUUAAAAAUUUCUUGUUUUACUCUUGAAAUUAGUUUUCAUUCAAGAGUUUGUUUAUUUAAUUAAACUAUUCAGUUUCUAUUUACCUUUGCAUUCGUUUUAUUUCGUUAUUCCAAUCGAAAGAUUUGCUAUUCUGUUCCCCAUUUGAUAUUCAAUCCACAAUUAUUAAUUUUUUUCUUCUCCUAAUCAAUUGUAUUUCUCACAUGGUCUAUUCAAUUGAUGUUGAGAUUAUGAAUAACAUGAGUGGCUAAAUCCCUUAAGGGAGAUUAACGAGUGGAUGAGGAUUUGGUUAACAGAGGAUUUGGGGUUUUUCGAGGGGGAUUAGUUGGUAUAUAUUAUGUUUUCUUAAACUAUUAGGCCUAACAACCCUAAUAAGUUAUCAUCGGCUAGACAAGGUCGGAAGAUAAGUUAAAUCGAGUAAAUCAUAAUUUAUCUGGGUUGAGAAAGUGAGGUCGAGAGAUAAACGAGUAUCAACCAUUCUAUUAGUUAAUUAGAGGCCGAAAGGUAAUAAUUCGUUAAGUGAUUAAUAAUCCAUCUCAAAACCCUAAUACAAAGUUAGUUACAAACCCUGAACUGAGUUAACCUUUCUGAUUGAUUUAUCGAUUUAUCUCAUUUGUUUAUUUUUAUUAUUCUUAAUAUAUUUUAUGAUUCAUCGUAAUAUAGAAAAUAAUUAUUACUACUUAGACUUGUUAUUGUAAAAGUAUUUUCAUUAUUUAUUGCAUCCUCCCUUGAGUAUGAUCCUCGGAAUACUUUCGAUAUUUUGGUGUACAACUAUAUUACAAUUUGACUCUUGACUUUCGAACAUUGCCAUUCUUAAUUCUUAUAUUUUUUGUGGUAUAUUUAUUCUAUAAAUGAUAACUUGUUUAUAGAGGGUCAAGUUGUUGGCAUUGUUGCCGGGGAGGUUUCGGUAAUAAAUUUUGAAAAUAAGAUUUUUACAAUCAAUAAGAUAAGUAGGAAUGUUAGGACCUAUAGAUAAUAUUUUAAAUUUUGUUUAUUUAUUAUUGUUUUUAUUUUGUUUUCUUUUCAAGUCUUUUAUGACCCAAAGCUCUAGUAUUCCGAUUGAACCACAUCCAAAUCCAAAAAAACUACUCAAGCGCAACCGUCAAUUAAUGGACAACGAUCCACCUGCGGUAAUUAAUUUACCUCAAGAAAACUCAUUAUUUGAAAACCCACGAGAACCAUAAGGAAAUAGCCAGGAAGAAGUCUCAAUGACUAAAAGAACAUUGCGCGAAUACGCCUUAUCUACACUAGACGUGAUGGGAGGAAGCAUAGAAUAACCAACAAUCAAUGCAUAUAAUUUCAAGUUAAAAGCGGCCACUAUACAGAUGAUCCAAAAUACACUACAGCUUAAAGGGAACGUGGUUGAAGACCCGGAUCAACACUUGAAUAAGUUCCUUCAAUUGUGUAAUACCUUUAAAUACAAUAGUGUAUCAAAUGACGUCAUUUGUAGCACCCCACGCCCGACCUGUUUGUCAGAUCCAGGUAUGGAGCAUUACAAAUGGACCUAUACUUAGUUUUGCUAACUUAACUGCUAUAAAGCAGACUAAACAUAAACCAAAAUAAUGAAAUUUAAAAUAAAAAUUCGUACAUCUAAGGCCUUAAGCCACUAAAUUCUUAAUUCUUCAAUUAAUUUCUAUUCCUAAUCAGACUAUUUGCUUCCAUUACAAUUAUUUAAAUCUAGCUAAAGUCUGUCUGUCAUAAAAAUCAAAAUUCUAGGUGUACUAUCACUCUUCGUUGUUAUUGAUCUUGUGGUGAAGCCUCCAAUGGCACCCUUUUUCUUAUUGCAUGAUUCUAAACUUCCUACAAUCCCCAAUCUAUUUUAAUCUAGAUUGGUUGAUCCUUCGAGUCCUCUGUCAACCUUGCCAAUCCUGCGAACAUCCGUCAACUCUGUAUGUUCGAAUGAACUUAGUGAGUUCCUUUACUACAUCAUAAAUAAGUAAAUCCUAUCAUAUGAGGGUAACCAAUGUAAUAUAAAUUUACUCCAUCUUCGCUCAUGAAAAGUCUCCCUUGUUAGGGUGGCGGACUCCACCCAAUUCUCUGAGCUACUUGGGUCACCAUGAAACCUUUCUCUAGUCGAACUCUCUACUCAACUGUAUCCUUGACGCUCCACAAUCUCGACAAAUCCAUUCCUUAUUUCUCAUCUUUCCUUCCUUUCUCUUUUCCCCUUACACGGGGUGUUCAUCGAUCUUAAAUUGACCUGGCUGUCAGCUUCCCAUUAUGAACCAAUUUGGUAUCCUUUUAAACUAUUCGUCCAAGGAUUUUUAGGAAAUUCCUUCCUUGGUGGACUUGUUUAUACUCGUCCUUGGCGGGCUCUCUCUAACCAUACCUUGAAGGACUCAUUGACAUUCCGUAUUGUGUUGACUUACAACAGACUCACCACUUUUGUGAACCCAUUCUCACUUUUCCCUUUACUUGGGGUGCUUGCCUAUUUCAUAUUUAAAGGUUGAUCUAUCUUGCUGAACCAUCUAGUCAUCGCCUAUACGACUAAGUGAGCUUGUCAUCUCACUUGCUCGUUUCAUCCCUUUGGAGUUGUCCUCUGUUGCAAGUAUUCUCGCAAUAGACUUUUCCCAAGGAGGAAUAGUCUUAACAAACAUCCUGUCCCCUGGCUAGAGUCCUUAUCCUGGGAGGAUACUUCUUCAUCAUCCCACGAGAUUUUAUUCUCAUGUAUAUCUUCAAUAAGCUCUUCAUAAUGGCUCUUCUUUUUCAGACCCCUACUUAUGAUCUUUGGAUAACUUUUAUUCUUAGAUUUCCUUAACUAGACCAGCUUUUGCACGACCUAGUUUUCCUUUAAUUCUUGUUGGGUCUUCUACCAUGCCUCUUUAGCUCCCAUGCCUAUCCUUACCACUUUCCUCAUUUUGGCAGACUCCUCAUGAUUCGCUCAUCAUACUAUGAUUUCCUUUACCCUUCCUCCACCUACAUGGUUUCCCAUACAUGGCGCAUUGUCUUUAUACUUCUCAUUUGAAGUUCUGGAGGACAUACCGCAUUUGUGUCUUGGUGGACUCUAUGGGAUGUCGUAGCCUAGCUAUGGUCUUAUACCUUUCUUACCUCUUUUAUCUUGUCCAAUGGACUUACCCGAGUUUAUUGUCCCGACGGGCUUAUCUCGUGUUUAUUAUCUUGAUGGACUUAAUCUCGAUUCCAUGUUUGUUAUCUCGAUGAAUUUCAUCUCUGUGGAUGUCAUGGAGUCUUUCAGCUAUUCGCCAUCCUGACAUAUUAUUAGAUGAUGCCAUAGAGUCUUUCAUCCACGGUCUUACUCAUUAUACCUGGCUGCCAUAACGUCUUUCAUCUAUGGUCUUACACCGUAAACCUUAUAUUACUUACCUUACUGCCAUGACAUCUUUUAUUCAUGGUCGUAUGCCAUUAUUAGUACCUUGUACCAUGUUUCCAUGACAUCUUUCAUCAAUGGUCUUACACUACGUACCAUAUACCAGACUGUCAUAGCCUCUUUCAUCUAUGGUCUUAUGCUAUAUACCGUCGUCAUAGUGUUGUCCUGAAGGACUAGUCUAUACUGUCGUCGUGAAAAAUCCCAUUCUAUGAUUUCAUUCCCAAAUCCUCCUCUCAUUACCUCCUAAAUACCACCUAACAUUAAUGCUCGAACACCAUAGUGUUCCUUCGACAAGCUCUGGAGCUUCACCCUAGGUGGUAAAUAAAGGUUCACUCCCCAUUUCCCAUCCUAACUUCAUUUAUCCCUUAAGGUGUCCCUAGACAAAUGAUGCAUGCUCAUAUCAUCAUCAUCAUUCAUGCUUAUGCAAAUAUGACAUACUUAAACAACGUAAACCAUAAUAGUAGAUUUGGAAUAUGGAACUUACUUGAAACUUCAUCGUUUCCAUUACUUAGCUUCCUCGAACACUAGAGCUUCCAUACUCGAGGUAGUAGCUUACAACCCAAAACCCAUUGAUUAAACUUACACUACAUCUCAAAAGCUUAAGCUUCCGUAAGCAUGUAGAACCCUUAAAAUGGUUCUGAUGUCCAUAACUUAAUCCUAUGUACACAGAAGGGUUAAGAACCUUACCCGCUUGCUAAUUUCCCUACUUUUUCAGCUCCAUCCUCAUGAAGUUUGCUCCAUACAAACCCUUCCAUAGCUAUUCUUCUUCGAGCUAUAGAAGAAGAUGAUGAACAGGAGAAAUUAGACAUGGCUGGAAAGAAAAUCAUCUCUAGGAGCCAUCUCCUAGCUAUUUAUAGCAUUUCCCACGCUACUUCCAAUCUUAUGUGAGUCGUCCACAGCUAAUCAUGAUGUCUCCCACUAUGGAACCGACAAGUUUUGUCCUAACUGAACUAUAAUUAGAUCUUAACAAUGUCCAAUUCGGUUUUUAACUAUCCUAUUUCUUUGAAUAUAGGACAUCAUCUUACGAUCUCUUUCAAUUUAGUCCCUUAGUUAUUCUAGAUUUUGGGUUUAUUAGAAAUCAGAUGUUACAUUGCGCAUCUUCAGUUAUUCCCGUUCUCAGUAUACGAUAACACAACUGAUUGGUUGGACUCGUUAAAAUCGGGUUCCAUCACCACAUGAAAUAAUAUAGUGAAAAAAUUUCUAUACAAAAUUUUCCCAAUUAGUCAAACCAGUUAGCUAAGGCGAGAAUUUGUCUAUUUUAAACAAUUUGAAGGAGAAUCCUUGUACGAGGUCUGGGAGUGUUUCAAAAGAAUGUCAAGAAAAUGCCCACAUCAUUGGCUGUAAGUAUGACACCAACUAUGGAAGCUGUAAAGGAAGAAAACAAGGAUGAUAGAUUCAUAUGAAUCGUAGAAAAGCUCAACCAUUUGGAGACGUUUGUUAAGCCAACUAAAAUAGAGCCCUGUUCUGAAAGCCAACUGGAGGAGACAAGCUACAUAAAUAAAUUGGGUUGAGAUUUUUAUUCAAAUACCUAUAAUCCCUGUUAGAGAGAUCAUCCGGACCUCAAGUGACAAGGCAAUCAAGGAGGCGCAAAUUAAGCUCAAACUCAAUCGAAUCCUUCUUACCAACCUCCACCAAUGCAACAACAUAUCGUGGGUAACAACCAUACUGUUUGUGGUUAAAUAUUCGACCAACUAGAAGGGGAGAUGCAAACAAUGAAGAUAGAAAUUUGACAAGUCUAAGUGACAUGCAAACGAAUCAAAUACUGAAUAGAUAACCUAUGCAACCAACUGAGCUAAUUACCUAUGAUGUUCUAAAAACAAAAUGGCCAAAGUCUCCCUAGUAAUAUUGAGAAUAAUCCUCGAAAAGAUGGGCAGGGUCACGUAAAGGAAAUCACGGUACAACUGGGCAAGGAAUUGAAGCUACCAAUCGAACCCACCUAUGAAGAGGAGAAAGUUAUGAAGGAAGUUAAUGAGCUCACAAAGGAGUAAAAAGAAACUGAGCACCAAGAAGAAAUUGAAGAGAAAAUAAAAUUGAUGCUCAAUCCGGUAAUUUCAACUCACAAAAUAAAGAAUGUUGUAGAUGUAGGUACUCAUAAGGCACGACAAAUUACAAGAUUCGAAAGAGACCGAAAGUAAUUGGAAGAAUUAAGAUGGUUGUGUACGACGAUUGAAGUUGAUGAUAAAGUUUAAAGAAUCGUCGCACAUGUUUGGUAGCACGAUGUAGUAUUAACCAUCGAACCUUACUAAAUUUGUGAAAUUUUGUAAAUUAGUUUUAAUUUCUUGUUUGCAGCUCAAAUUUAGGAUAAUUAUGAUGUAAUUACAUGUUAGAAUCAGUAAAAUUCAAUUUUUCGACAUCAUGAGACGAAAGGAAAAUAAAUGGGAACAAAAAUGAACGACCGGAGGACAUCGACACACCUAAAGGUCUGGGAACAAUUUAAUGUCAUGCCACCCAUAGGCUAUUGCUUGAAAUAGGCGCUUUGAAGAAAGGUUUCCUAAUGUUAUUGGAUCAUGUCAUUCCACACACAAUCUGUGGUGCGACAUGAGCACUUUCAAGGAAAAAUUAGGAAAAUUAGGGCGUUGUGUUGCUUCACGCACAGGCUAUGGGGUGACAUGCUUGUGUGUUCAAUUGAAAUCGAGCCAUUUCAAGCAUAAAACCCAUCGAAAUUCUAUUUAUAACAACCUUUUUUAGGCGUAAGAACACACAUCUAAAACACUUAAAAGAUAGAAAACAUUCCUUUGGAGCCUUCGCACGUCUUCCCUUCCAUCGAGCUUCGAUCUUUCACAUUUCUAACAUACGAUUCACUUAAGUAAAUAUUAGAGUUUAAGGCAUGGAUAAAAAUAAACCGAGUAGGAGAAAAAUAAUCGAACUAACUAUAUUUUGCAAAAAUAAUUACUAUAUCCAUAUAUACAUUUGAUCGAGCUUUAUAUUUAAUUUUCUUUGACUUUUUUAUUUUUUAAUUUAUUGGAACAAUCUUUUUAGGUGUAAAUAGUCUUUAAUUAUUUAAAUUUAUAGCUAUAAUUAUAUAUUUAGGCGGAUCAUCUAAGUGUCAAUGCUCCGAACCAAUCUCUUGUAUCAAGUUGGAUCAAGUACAUUUCUUUUUCUUUGUAGAUUUAUUUCUUAUUUUCAGUUUUAGUUUAUUCUCCAUUUUUUUUCUUAUUUGGCUAGUUUGCUUAAGGACAAGCAAAGACUUAAGUGUGGGGGUAUUUCACCUACCGUCAAAUGUUGUAGUUAAUAUGGGUCAAUUCCGCAUUUAGGGAGCUUAUUUUCUAAGCAAUUAGGAUUUUAAUUUACGUUUUCAAUAACUAGGUUUAGGAUUAAAAGUUAAUAAAAAUAAGUAUUUUUGACACAUUUUGUAGGUGCUGUGACCUAAUAGGCCGACACGAACCUUAAGUUGUGCUAAUUGGUUCAAUUGAGUGUGUAGGAUGGAGAUAUAAAGACCUAAUUGACGUGGAGGAAAAGUUCGAGUGAUACACAAGCUUCAUCCCAAUUGAGUGUGUAGGAUGGAGAUAUAAAACACCAAAAGAAUAAGACAAUGCAAUGUUUAGUGAUGUGAUCCGGCUUAGUUGAUGGAGUCAAGUUCACUUAAGUAGCUUCAUCUUGCACUUGGGGCCCUCGUGUUUAGGCCAAUCAUGAUAGCAACGAGUGGUGCCACAACAUGAUGCGAUUGAGAUCACAUCAUUUAGGUGUCGUGUCGCGCCACACCAGACACAAGACCGAUGUGCUAUCCAAGUACUUUAGGGAUAUUUUCGUCCAUGCAAUCAAACUUAUUCAAAUACCUAGGGCAUGUUGAAGACCUAAUUUGGGCUGCCAAUACCUCUAUAAAUAAGACAUUAUGGGUUGAAUGUAAUCGAGUCGUCCUAGAUGCCUUCAAAAACCCCGUAAUUUAGGAUUAGUUUUAGGUUUUUUUGCUUUUCGACUUUUAAAUACUUUCUUGUUUUCCUCUUCAAAUCAAUUUUUAAGUAAAGUAUUAUAUUUGAGUAAAUUAUUCUAUUUCUAUUUACCUUUGAAUUCAUUUUAUUUUGUUAGUCCAAUCGAGAGAUUUGCUACUUGAUCUGCCACAAUUAGUUGUGGCAAAUUAAGGUCUUUCUGGCAUUUAACAAGCUUAUUUUUCAGUUUUUUUUAUAUGUUUUUAUUUCAUUUUCUAUUUUUAUUUACUUAAGUUUAAUUUUGGUAAAAUGCGAAUUUUUACACAAUUUUUAGUGUUUUGAGGACUCGUAAGGCCAACUUGAGCCUCGAGUAGGACUAAUAGGUUAUUUGAGUGUGUAGGGCAUCAAUAUGGGCUUAAGUAUACAAUGAACGACGGUUGUGUCGCAACAUCAACAUCUAAUGUCGCUACCUUAAACUUCGAAGCAUUAAAGGCUGAAAGAAAGGUUGACGUCACGGCAUCAUGACGUAAGCGUGACUAAGAAGAUGAUGUCAACGGUCGCGUGUUUAGAAUUUUAAAGUUGCAUUUUUUGUAUUAAGCCAGGGGUAUUAUAGGAAUAAAUUGUCUUAAUGUUGCCUUAGGUUUUUCCUACAUAUACAAGAUCUUAAUCUCAUUUGUAGUUGGUUGAUAGCUAGGACUAAAGACAACGAUCAAACUUAACUCCAUAAAUAGGCUCAUUUAACACUUGUAGGGGGAUAACUUUCAUGGUUUAGAACUUUCCUUGUAAUUUCAUUUUCAGUUUUCUUUUAUUUAGGUUUUAGAUUUAUUUCCAGUUAUUUCUGUUAGUACUCUUCGGCGAACUUGAUUUGUAGACGCAAUAAAACUAUUGUAUAUUUCUGUGCUUUCAUCAAUAAAAUACAAUUAGGAUUCUCUUAAACCUUAUUCUUGAUUUAUUCUUUAUGCAUAUUUUAUUUAUCAAAUUUAUUGUGUUUAUGGCGAGUGCAGAUGAACGCGGAGAAGGAUCAUAAAGUUUGUUCAAGUCGCGGAUUUGACUUAGGGCUUUUGACGCUCAGAAAGAAACUUGGAUUUUGUCACAACCUGAAAUACAAUCAAAUCCAUGUCAAAUAAAAAAAUAAAAAAUAAAUAACUAGGAUAAAUAAAUCAAAGAUUGGAACAAUAAAGAAGAAAAUAUAGAACGUGAUAUGUAGAAGUCCUAAGAAGCCUUAGAAACACGAAGAAUCCAUAACCCCCUUCAAGCAGCUCUAAUUUCCCCUCCAAGAAAGAAAAUUUGGCAAGAAAAAGUUUCAAAAUGAUCCCCACAAUCUGAAAAGAUUGUUAAAACUCUUCUAAAAGAAACUUAAGAGAAAUUCUUGAAAAGAAAACUCAAAGAGAAUUUAUUAACUCAACAGAGAAGUCGAAUAAUAAUGAAUUUUUAAUUUAAUGUAAAAUGUAAAUGCAUUUAUAUAGGCUAGCUAAAUAAAUCUAAAUAAAAUUCUUAAGUAUACUAGAACUCUAAUUAAUCUAAACAAUAUGUAGUUUUAAACUAAACUUUCUUGUUGACAUAAAACUCAUAAAUAACUUAAAAUACUUCACAAUUAUAAAAAAUUUGGAAUAAAAUAAUAAUAAAAUAAUAAGAGAUGAUAAAUAAAAUAUUAGUCUCAUAUAUAAUAAAAAUUAAGCCUAGAACCUGAACCCAAUAUGAUUUAAACUAGAAUUAAAAGCCCAAAACUCGUAAUUCCCGUCAUAAUCCCGUCUAGAAAUUCUGCUCAUUGUGUCUUCACUAAAACGAUCAUAACUUAAGUUCCUGAACUCAAAAGCGAGUUAUUCAAACUGUGUUUCAAAGCUAAGAGAUAGAUCUGGGAAUGUUAUGAAAACAUCUUAAUCCAUAAAUGUUUUGAUCCCAUACAAAUAUUUGUCGCAAGUUGACUAAUCUUUUCAGCAUGAAAAUUGACAGCUUGGUUGGGCCUUGAGGUAGUGUAAGUCCAUCACAUCCAUGUAUUUGAAAUUGGGCCUUGAGACUCACAUUAGGAUUCCAUGAGGAACUAAUCCUCUUAUGGGGGUUAGUGAGUGGAGGUGUGAUUAACUAAUUAUUUUGUAGGGUUUUCUAAACGUAUUAGUUGUUUGGAAGAAGAAGAACUUAAACCCUAGGCUUGAAGACCCUAGGAAGUCAUUUAGGUGGGAACUAAUAAAAAAUUGGUAUGGCCUAUUUGUGAACACCUUAGCCCCGAACCAGUUUGGACUGUUAGGCCGAGAGAUAAGUAGUUAUUUCCGACUCAUUAUUUUAGUGGAAGAUCAAGAGAUCAUGCUAAGGUAACAACUAGUUGAUUGAAUAGAAACCCAAAAAAAGAAUUAGUUAUGACCACUGAAGCUAGCUAAUCACCCACGCCUAGAUUUGAUUGAGUUUAGAUAUUAGUUUUUUGAAUUUCACUCUUUAAUGCAAAUUUUAUUUCUUUAUUUAUAAAAGCAAAAAAUGUCUUUUUAUGUUCAAUCGUAAUAUAAUUUAUUUAGAUUACUAAUUAAUUGUAUUUGCGUUUAGGUUAACAUUACUUUAGUACUCGCCUUCUUUGGGUAUGAUUCUCGGAGUACGAUCCUACUUCGUUGUAACAUAUUACAACUUGACCCAUAUACUUGCAAACACCACCGCCUCAAUUCCAUUUAUUUAGUUGUAGUAUUCACACUCUGGACAUUAGUACGUCCGGAGGUAGUUAAUUUGUUGGCGCUAUUGCUGGGCAGGCAACGUUACUAUAUUGAUUUUAAUUUUUGCGUUUAAAUAAAAUAAUUAGAAAAUUUUUUAAUUAUAAAUAUGAUCUUUAAUUUCUUAUACUAAUUUAUUUAUUUCAUUUUACUAACACAUUUAUUCUCUUGAAAAGAUCCCAGCACAUACCCUUGAAAAGAGGAAAACCUCUUGCAGAAUUAGCCACUAAGACCGUUCAACAGUAUCAUGGACAACAUUGAUUACAUGUGAACUGUUGAUGAAUUAAAUUAAAAUGAUGCAAUUUAUGAAGAAGGGGUCUAUGAGGAAUGGGAAAUUUAGGAGAAUCAGAGAUUGUUAAUGUUAGAACUGAUUCAGCUAAGAGGUGAAGUCUUGACAAAUUCGUAGAAUACAAGUACAGACAUAUUUUACCAUGAGUAUGAUCAAACUUAAGGUGAAAGCAAGGGUAAAGAAAAGAACCCGACAGCUUCAGUAUUCUAAUAAGGUAAAAUCUUGAGUAGUCAAGCACCCCUUAGUUGGAAAAUUCAUCAAUAGGAAUCACACGAAUCCGAAAAGGAAACAAUGUUGCAAAUGGAUAUUCAAGUCCAGACAGUGGCCAUAGAAGAGAACAGUUGAAUAUAAUAACAAGUCAAAUACUGAAUCUACUCUCCUGACAACACUGGUUCAUCACUAUCAAAGGAUAAGCAACAUCAAUUAUUUUGUGAGAUGUUAAAUUUUACGGAAUCGAUAAAAAAAUUGUCGAAACCUUCAAAUUCGGUUAGGAAAAAGCUUGAGAAUUGCAAAAAGGAGGACCCAUUCAACAUGGAUACAUCUUUCCAAAUAAUAAUACUUUAUCAUGCACCUCAAAAAUUCAAAAGCCCAGGGAAUUUCAUAAUAUUAAUCGAGUUAGGGACCAUACAUGUUGAUAGAGCUUCAAGUGAUUUAAAAAUAGUUCCUACUCAAAUGACCCUACUAAUAGAGAAGAGACUAGAGUUAGGGAAACUAGAAAGUACCCACUUCUUAUUUGAACUAUAUGACAAAGGUAUCGAUCAACUAUAAGAGAUGUUAGAAGAAGGAUUAACUAAACGAUGCAAGUAUAAGAUGUGGCAUGAAUAUGCGACUCUAGGUUUCAAGGUAAACUUUGAAGAAACCCUGUCUCUGAAAGAUUUCUCUACAGAUCCUAGCAGAUGUAUCAAUAAUUUUGAGAAAAUUAUAAUCAAGGGUGAAAGUGAAGCAUAUCACAAGAAUACUCCACCAAAUAGGGAUUAUAAGAAGUAUUUAGGGCCACUAGAUUAUAAAAUAUUUGUAAAUGUGACUAAUCACUUUAAUUUGUGAAAGGUGUUCUCGGUGAUAAAUGUAGGGCGAAAGAGCAGGUUCAAUGAGUGGAAUAAACAAAUACAUGUGGAGUGGCACAAUGGAUGAUGGACACGGAUAGAAAUAGAACCGGAAGAUCAUCCACAUGUAUCCUAAUAGAGCUGACGGAAGAAUCCGGCGGCAAAACCUAACAAUUUUAGAACUGAAUUAAACUUUAUGUAUAUUAUGUAUUAUCAUGACUAGUGUAGUAUAUAAUUUCAUUUAAACUAACUAAGUAUUAAACUAAACACAUUGAAAUUUGAGUAUAGGGGCCGAAACAGAGUCAGUGUCGCAACACAAAACCUUUAUGUCGCGACACUGCCCAUAACUUCAAAGAAUCGAGAAAUUCAUCUCAAUGUCGCGACAGGGCAGUUAAUAUACCCCAGACUCAAAACUUUCAAAGUGUGUCACAACAUUAAACCCCGGUGUCGCAACAUCGACAUCCUGCCAGAGGUGUUGCGAUAUCACUGCAAUUUUUUACAAGGUCGAACUGACCUAUCGUGCAACCAAACUAAUUAAUUCUUAUUUUAACCCGGUAAGCAACCUUAAAAACACCUAAUUUUUAACCCUAAAAGUAUAGUUAACAACGCUCUAAACCCCUUCUAAACUUUAUUCUCUCUCAAACCCUAAAACCCUAUUCAAAUUAAAUCCCUACUUUUGCAAUUCCCUUCUCUUCUCUUGGUGUUUCACUUGGUGCAGGAAUUCUGAUAACACAUUGAUGGAUUAACGUUAAUACGAUUCUACGAGGAAUUCGACAACACAAAUCAAGGUUAAGGGUUCUUAACUCGUCUUUACUAUUCCGUUGAAAAUUGCUUAACUUUUAUUAGUUAUUUUAGCUUUAAAUAUUGAAUAUGCUUCCUAGGAAAACUAGGAAAAAUAAUUCACAAGAAACCUCAAUGGUUUCAUAUCCUUGGAAAUUUCAAAAUCGUAAUGCCGAGAAGUAUUUUCUCAAGUUGCAAGGAAAAACAUUUAUCCAAGAACAAGGAUUUGAGCAAUCAAAGGUUUCCUAUAAAUAGAUCUGGACAUUAGUUCAGUAACAUCGAUGAGAAAGAUUUUAUGCCACUUCUAAAGAAAAUAUUGUUAUCUCGAUAGUUCAAGAAUUUUAUGCCUCUUUUAGGGAUCAAGAAACGAAGAGACCGUAGGGUGCAUUAUGAGAAAUCGUAAUGGUAGGAGGUAAAAGGGUACAGGUUACUCCUCGGAAAAUAUACGAAUUUUAGAACAUCUCAUACUAUGAAAUGGAUUUCCUUAAUAAUACUGACUUAGAAACAUUCAAGGACAUAGAAAUGGAUGACAUUGUAAGAUAUUUUACUCAAGGGAGGGGCAUAUGGAACCAUUGACCGAAUACCAAACUACUUACAAAUUCCAAUCAGGCAAUUAUGUUUCCAAUUGCAAAACUGCGGAUGCAAUUCCUAUGCACUCUUAUUUCACCUGCUUUAAAUGUGUCUAACAUUAAUACUUUCUGAGAUAUUAUGUUCUACGGUAUCUUGUAGAAAAAAAAUGUGUCAAAAGAAGGAUACAUUGAAUCAUAAAGUGAUGCAUUAGUGGCAAAAGGUUGGGAUUUUCUUUCCCACCUUGUGAUGACUAUAUGCAAAAAGGCUAGAGUUCUAAUGGAAGAGAAUGAGCAAUUCAUGAAGCCGACAAAAAGUUUGAAUUGGAGAUUCCAUACACACCUAAUAUGUCGAGCUUCAUAGAAAGUAAAUAAUAGAUUGGAACCAAAGAAGAAAACUUAAGAUGGAUGUCCCCAUAUCACUAAAAAAGAAAUCGACAACAAAUACUAGGAAAGAAAUAAAGAACAAAACCUGAAAGAUAGAUUGGAUGAUCCAAUGAAUAUAGGAGUCAAGACCAGUCAUCCAAAAGUUUGCCAAUAAAACAACAUUAGAGAACCAAACUAUCCACCAAACUUGGAUACAUCCAGAUUAUUAAACAAUAGAUUCGAGGAGAAAUAACUGAAAAGAAAGGAGAGGAUGAGGAUGAGGCUACCGAGCAAGAGUUCAAAGGGGGGAUGGUUAUUACAAGGCAACAUUUCAACCAUAGUAUUCCACGUAAAAAAAGCCCAUCAGCCAUAGCCCAACCCGACAUGCACAUUCGUUGAGUGGUAGCUCUUCUCAAAGAUACGUCUCGGGGAAAGGAAAGACGCCUAUGGAGAGGGGGAAAUUGCCCUAUCUUGAUGAAUCUAAUGAUGAUUAGAUUGAAGAUUUUAUUUAGGGAUUGUAACUAAUUUGAAAUAAUUUUUUAAUUUAUCAUUUUAGGAGUAGGAUUAAUAGUAAAUCUUUAUAUAUUCGUUUUGUUUUCUAUUGUAAGUUUUAUAUCUAGGAACCUCACAUGAAAAGAGCACGACAUUUACGAGCUUUCAUCAAAAAAGGAAGGAUAUAUCCAUCAUUAGAUCAUUGCAAUGUCACGAUCAAUCGGGUAAUUUCUUCAUUUAUUUAUUCAAGGUUGCACUUUAGGGAAAAUAUGCUAUCUAAAGUGUGGGAGGUAACAUAUGAAAUUUGUUUUUUUUAUGUUUUUCUUGUAAUUUUUAUUGUUAAUUGUGUGCUUGAGUUUGUAGAAAUACAAAUGAUUAAUUAGGAACAUGUAUAGAGAUUGAUAGUGUUUACUAUAAAUUUGACAUGAUAGUGAAUGAUUUUAAAAUUUUGAUUAUUAGACUACUACGUUCUAUAUAUUAUACUGUAAACAGACAUUAAGUAAUUGAAUAUACUAAAUGAUAUAGAAAAUACAAGAAAAUGAACAUGCUAGUAUGUAUGAUAAAUAGUUGAAAUUGUGAUUGCUGGAUAGAUUAAAUUUGUGAAUACUGAAACACCUAGAGAUGACCUAAGGCAUUGUUUGGUAUAAACCUAGAGCCAAAAACCUAACUCUAUUUAUCAACCCUUAGUAUCUAUUUUUGAUACAUAAAACACUUCUUAAUGAACCUUCAUGCAAAACCCAAACCAAAAAUAUUAAUUUGUACUUACCUUUUCUCUUUGGUCCUAAAUUGCAUGAAUUUAAACGUCUGGCAAUACGUGUGAGGGUUAAGUAGAUACAUCAUGGUGGAUUUUGUUAAAUCAAAGUGAAAUAGGAAAAAGCAAUGUGAUAUAGUGAUUAUAGGUUAGCCAAUAUGUCCGAAACAAAAGAAAAUUUUAGAAAAAGUCAAAACGAAUAGAAAAAAGUACACGAAAAACAAAAGCAUUGUGAGUGAGAUGUAUUCAAAAAUAUAAAAGGUGACAAAGUCACAAAAGUAUAAAAAACUCAGUCAGUAGUGCACAAAAACUCAUGAGCUAACUGUAGUUGCUUUAUUAUGUAGUAACUUCCUAAGUGGAGAAAUAAGGAAGGUGAAAGAAGGAGAAAUAAGGUGGUGAGUGGGUAAGGGUUAUUAAGAGGAAGAAUAGGAAACAAUACGAUGUGCCAAAUUACUUUCAUGCUUGAAACCGUUUUGAUGCUUCCUAUUUUUAUCUUCAUACCUAACCCCAGCUUCAGAACGUUACAAGCCAAAAAGGCCUAUGUGAUCUAGGUAUAUCUACUCAUGAAUUGACAUUGUAUUAAGUAAUUAUAAUUAUGAUUGCUUGUAUUCUACUAGGAUAAUCAAAUUAGCUUUAUGAUUUAUUAAUAGAUUCAUAUAUUCGAGAACCUUAAUAUCUAUAUACUUUGUUGUAUACUAAACUAAGGUGUUUGAUAUUGAAAGUGGUUAAGUCAUUUUUACAUUAUGCCCGAAUUAUGUGUAGACAUAAAUGUGCCUAAUUAUAUGUUCCAAAACCAAUCUUUCUAUCAUAAUUUCUCGAGAUUUGUCUAUUAUUUCAUUUUUGGUUUUUCCUUACUUGAGGAAAAGUAAUUACUUAAGUGUGGGGAGUUUGAUCUGUCGUAAUUCGGUGUAGCAAAUUAAACUAGUUUUCAUACUUAAGGAGCUCAAAUACAAGCAAUUUCAUUAUGUUUUAGUUAGUUUCCUUAUUUUAGUUUCUAUUUAAUAACAAGUUUAAAAUGAGUCCUUUUAUGAACUUAGGGGCCGAAUGAGGCCUAAAGGUGAGCUAACGUACUUAGUGAGUGUGAAGGACACCAUUCAAAGGCAUAAGAGAUCAAAGCUGGUUGCUGUGCUGCAACACGGGAAAUACAAUGUCGCAACAUAGGGAGCAAAAUACAAGAAUAGCAAUACUGCCUUUGGUGUUACAAAACAACCUUGAAGCCAAACCUGAAUUAGAAUAAACUGCCUUCGAUGUUGCGACACAGGCACUGGUUGUCACGACACUGGCCCUAUACGAGGGGAAUUACGAAUGAGGGAUUUUUGGUCCACAUAAUGAAAAUUAACACAAAAAUGUCAACAAAUCUAGGAAUAAGGACGACGACCAACCUUAACUAUAGAAAUAGGUUCAUUUAGCACUUGUUGGGGGAUAGCUUUCAUGGUUUAGAAUUUUCCUUGUAAUUUUAGUUUCAGUUUUUUUAUUGAGGCUAUAGAUUUAUUUUUAGUUAUUUUCAUUCGUAUUCUUCAGAGAACUUGAUUUUUAGAUGCAAUCAAACUAUUGUGGAUUUUUUUGCUUUCAUCAAUAAAAUACAAUCAGGAUUAUUUUAAACCUUAUUCUUGAUUUAUUCUUUAUGCAUAUCUUAUUUAUCAAGUUUAUUGUGUUUAUGGAUUCCAUGAGGAACUAAUCCUCUUAUGGGGGGUUAGUGAGUGGGGGUGUGAUUACCUAAUUGUUAUGUAGGGUUUUCUAAAUGGAUCAGUUGUUUGGGAGAGGAAGAACUUAAAUCUUAGGCUUGACGACCCUAGGACACCAUCAGGUAUGGCCUAUCCCUAAGUACCUUAGCCUCGAACCGGUCUAAACUAUGAGGUUAAGAGAUAAGUAGCUCUUGCUGACUCACUAGUUUAGGGUAAGGACUAGUUGAUUAAAUAAAAAACCAAAAUAGGAAUUAGUUAUGACCACUGAAGCAAGCUAAUCACCCAUGCCUAAAUUUGGUUGAGUUUAGAUAUUAGUUUUUGGAAGUUCAUUUUUUAUGCAAUUUUUAUUUCCUUAUUUAUAAAAAACCUAAAAAUCUUUUUUUUUUAUGUUCAAUCGUAAUAUACUUUAUUUAGAUUACUAAUUAAUUCUAUUUGCAUUUAGUUAACAUUAAUUUAGUACUUGCCUUCCGUGAGUACGAUCCUACUUUGUUGCAACUAUAUUACAACUCAACCCGUAUACUUACGAACACCACCUUAAUUCCUUUUAUUUAGUUGCAGUAUUCACACUUUGGACGUUAGUACAUCCGGAGGUGGUCAAUUGAUCGCCGAACCCGAGUAAUGAGAUGCUACCAUAGUUGCGAAAGCAAACCACAAACAAAUCAUAGCAAUCAAUUCAUUCCAUUACUAAUUCAUGACAAAUUUUCUUGCAUAAUAGGAUAUACAAUAAAAAUUGAGCCUCAAUCGAGCUUUCAAAAGCUCUUAAGUUGACCCGGGAUCAAACAAGAAUCAAAUUGCAAAGUUUGAAAGUUACAGGGCCAAAAUCGUGAAGAGACUUUCUCUACAUCGUGAUGUCGCCCAACAAUAUGUCACGUCACGACAUUAGACCACUUGAUGUCGGGAUGUCACAAACUAUUGGCUGACGUUGCUAUGAGGGAAGAUCGACGUUGAGACGAGGAACCUGCUUUGUGCAAAAAUAGGUCAUUUAACAUUAAUUUCACUUAGCUAAGCAUACCACAAACCAUUUGAUGUUCAAUGUACCACAUAACCUACACAAAUUCAAGUUUAAACACUUUCCAAACAUAACAUUUAAACACAUUAUCAUCCAAAUAUCUAAUAUGCCUCAAAUGACAUCAUUUUCACAUCAAAACUACUAAUACCAUUACAAGGUACUAUCUAUUCAUUUCUCGAGUCAAAUUUCAUUCAAAUAUAUGGCUUCAUUUACCAUUCACACAUAACACUUCAUAAAAUAAAUGCAUGUAAAUAUAUAUCAAUUGUCAUUUACAACACAAGUCUAGUAACAAUUAAGGUUUCAAACCAUCUUAACCUUUUUAAGGUAAUCUAACAACUCCUAGUACAUGUCAAAUUACCUCUACAUAGCCUUGCUCAAAGAAGAUAUCCACUACUAAACUCACGGUGCAAGCAAUGAUUCAAGGCUAAUCAACCUUAACCUUAGAUAAUUGUGACCUCACCCUAAUACAUUUAGUAUCUUAUAAAAGACUAUUGACUAAUUACUCAAAGUUAGUAAACAAUAAAAAUCCCCCAAUAAAAGUUGGAACACAUAUUUCUCAAUACAAAAUCUUCAUCUUUUUUAUCAAGCACUUCUCUUUUAUACAUUAUUUUAUGGAUCAAUAGAAUUACCUUUUAAAUUCAAGUUAGGUGACAAUCUCUUUUUUAAAUCAAUGUCCUUAUCUUGUUAGAUAGGGCUUCUUAAGCAACCCAUUUAUCUUAUCUCAUAGAUAAGUUUUCAAAAUUAAAGACUCUUCUUUAAAUUUAAUAUUAGUGCAAACUCCUCCAAGCUGAUCUCCAAAACAGUAUCUUCAUAUGAUCUUAUGUUAGAAUAUAUUUUGUUGUUGAUUUACAAAAGAUAAGAAUGCUUACAAACAAAGUUAAAAUUUGUCAAAUUAAUGAAUAUGUUAUGGUUUGAAAUAUGACCACAAUGAAUACCACAACUUUCUCCAUAACCUAAUUCCUAACGUACUUAUAUAUUAAGGGCUAGUUUAGUAGUACUUAAAAAAAUACUUUUGACUCCAAAAGUAUUUUUGGAAGAAAAGUUGUGCUAAACAAGCUACUUUUGGCUGAAAUUCUGAAAAGCACUUCUGAAAAGAAGAAGUUAAAAUUUUUAACUUUUACUCACCCAAAAGCACUUUUGGUGCUGAAUUACUUUUUCACCCCUCCAAUAACAUAGUACUUUCCCUUUUUUUUCUUAAUGCUUAAUUACAAAUGUGUUAAAAUCAUUAAUUAAAAGUAAAAAAAAUAUUUUUUAAAAUAACACAAAUGUGUUAAUAUCUAAUUACAAAUAUUGAAGGGUUAUAUUUAAAUAUUUAAAAUAUAGUUUAUAUAUUCUAAUUAAAUUUUAUAAAUAAUUAAUAUUUAUUGCUUAAAAAUAUUUAAAAUUUGUAUUUCAUAUAUUAGAAUAUUAACAACAAGUUAUAAUAAUUUUUUAUAUUCUUACUAAAAUAUAAUAAUAUUAACUAAUUCGAACAUUAUUUAAAUGCAUAUUUUUUACUUGAUAAUAACAUGUCUAAAAUGGACAUUUUAUUUCUCAAAAGCACUUUUCGACAGCAAUGCUAAAUACUCAAAUCUUAAACUUAACUUUUUCAAAAGUACUUCUGAAAGCACUUUUUUAUAACACUUUUUAAAAGUAUUGCUAAACUAAUCUUAAACAAAUUAAAUUGACCCUCCCAACUUUUUUGAAAUUUUGUAGUUACAUAAAAUUAAAGUAUUUUCUCAAAAAAAAAUAUAUUUUUAUCUAUAUCAUAAUUGGUUUGUCAUAAGAAUAAGUUGCACAACUUAAACUUAUAUCUUAAAUAUUACCAUUCCUUACAAGUUCAAACUAAAUUAGUUAAUUUCUUUUUCUCCUCUUUCAAGAUAAGUUGGAAGGUUUUGGUAUAAUAUCCAUGUCUUAAUUUUGAUUCUAUUUCAUUGUUAUUAUUUUUUUCAAGAUAAUUAUUUGAUGUUAGAUUUUUUAUUAUAAAUUCCUAUGAAGGUUUGGUUGCUAGAUUAAAUGGAUUAAUUUGUUUCUAUACUAUUAAAUAAAAUAAAAUAAAUUUGAAUUUGAAUAGAGCUAAUAUUUACGAUUUAAAAACAUCACUUACUAUUCAACAGAGUUAUAUUUUGAAAAAAAAUUUAUGAUUCUACAGAUGAAAUAUUUUGUUUGGAGUUUAACUGUAAAUGAAAAAAAUAAUUUUCAAGUCAUUUUUUAAAUAGUGAAUGUUGAUUAUAUUCUAUUUCGACUAUAGGAUUCUUUUUAACAAUAUAGAAAUUAAAUUAAUUCGUUUAAUAAUAAAAGAAACAAUUUGAUAUGAUCUCUAUAACAGAAAGACUUUUAAGUACAUUCACCCAUAAAUAAAUUUCAAAAUAGGUUAACCAUACUUUAAAAAGAAUAUUUUAAUCAAAUCUAUUGUGACGGUUAAGGGUAAAGUCAGGAAUAUGGUGUUGAAAAGUUAAAAAUAAAAUUUUAGAAGAGUCGAAACUAAAAACUUUAUUUUUAAAGAUUUAAAUUAAAUGAUUGAUUAUCAUGAAGGACAAAAACUGAUACUAUUCCAUUUUCAAGGGCCAAAGCCCUCGCCUCAUCAAGAUACGCUCUUGGGGGAAUUUAGGAGGCAUGCAAGGCUGUGUUAAAUGAGAAUUUUUAUUUUUAGCACUUUCAAAAUUAAAUAAUUUAAUUUAAGCUGGUUUGAACCUUAAUUUAAAAAAUGAAAUAUGUGAUAAGCCUUAUACUCUUUUAAAAAUUGGAAUUUAGUUUUCAUACUUUUUAUAUUUUAAAAUUUAAGUUCAAUUGUUAACAUUUUUAAAUAUUUUUUUGUCAAAUUCAAAUUAAUUAUAUGACUCCCAAAUGAGUAUUUUUUUUAUUUUAAAAUGUCACGCCGACAAAUUUAACAAAAAAAUUAUUAGUGUCAACAAUUAGACCUGAAUUUUAAAAUUUAAAAAAUAGAGACUAAGUUCUUGAAAAUAAAAAUAUAUGAAAUAAAUUUCAAAUAUUUUAAAAAACAUAAAAACCUAUAACAUAUUUUAACAUAAAAAUUAUACUUUUUUUGCCCUUACAAAAAAUAAAUAAUUGAAUACAAAAUUUCUGGCUUUUAUCUUUAUUUAGGGUGUAAACGUAGUUUAAAGUCUUGAUUGCCAAAGUCUAAUGCCAAGAUACAUUAAAUUUUGUAAUAAGAGUAAAUAUAGAGAAAGUUAGAAACCAAUAAUGUGAAUCCUUUAUUUUUAUUCCAAAACAUAUGGCGAAGAAGGCACAUGCUAUAGCAUGUGGCUCAGCAGUUAUCCUCAAAUUCAUCUGCAUGCAAUUUAAAAUCGGAUAGGAAAUUAAAUUCAGAGCGAACGGCGUGCAUUUAAAUAUAUUUAUAUAACAAAAAUUAUCUUAUAAAUAUUUUGUAGAUAAAUGAGUGAAGAGUAAGUUCAAAUUCUAGAAUCAUUAUUGUUGAGGGUUUUAUUUAAAUAUUACUCCGGCCCAAAUAAAGUUAGUAACCAAAUUAAUGGAAUAACUGAAUUUGGAUGAAGAUGAGUUAAAUAAAUUUAAUUAUGAGAAAUCAAAUGGGGUGAAAAAAACUCAAAUAAUGAGGGAAAAUUAUGUAAUGGAACAAAGGAGAGAAAUGUACGUGUGAUGCAGAAAGAAAAGAAGGGGAAUUUGUCUUUGAUGUUUGAAAACAACAAGAUCCACAAUUAUUGUGCAUUGAGAGAGUGUCGGUGUAUUUAUUGACAUUAAUGAAUUUGUGUAAUGCUAAUGCUUUAUACCCUAAAUUAUCUGUAAUUUAGGGUCCGUUUGUUUGCCAGUAAAAUGUUUUCCGUAAAAUGAUUUCUGGAAAAUGUUUUACUUUUCUGUAAAAUGAUUUACUGGAAAAUAUUUUCUGGUGUUUAGAUGAAUCUGUGUAAAAUAUUUUCUGCUGUUUGGCAGAUUUCUUGAAAAUAUUUUUCGGAAAAGUUGUUUUUACCUAUAUUAAUAUAUAUUAAUAAAUUUUUAUAUUUGAAAUUGUUUUUUACAUAUAUUGCAAUGAUUUAUUUAUAAUAAUACUCAAUUUCCAUUAUCCACAUAGAAAUCUCUAUGCUUGUAUUGUGGAAACCUUUCAAACCAGUUAACCAGAAAAACAUAUGCAUCUUCAGCUGUAAAUUGAGCAAGGGAACAUAUGAACCAAGUCCCUCAAAAACUUAGGCAAAACUAACUACAUCUAUGUGACUCGGUCUGAAUAUGCAUUAACAAACAGACCAAAGAUCUGAAUCUGCCAAAAUAUUCGAAUUUAGCAGGUCAAAAAAUUGUAAAAAGUAAAGUAGCUAAUCAAUUCGUAUAUCAGAAUCUGUCAUCCCCAAAAACAAAAUGGAAUCAAAAACAAUCUUUUUGACCACAUCUAUGAUACUACCAACGCAAUAAGGUCAAUUGAAUUCCCUGAGGUCAUUUUGUGGUGCAAGUGAUGGCUCAUUCGAGAUAUGCAUAAAUAGUUUAUGACAAAAAAAACAAGUCCAGAUAUUCAAGAACAACAGUUUGAGGAUACUAUUCAAGGAUCUUUAAUAAAUAUAUAUGCAUACAUACAUGUAUAUAUUUGAUCCAUUCGUAUAACAAUAACUGUUCUAAACAAACGAGCAUCUCUGUAAACUGAAGCCUAAGUUAUCAUGAGAAAUAAUUUGAUGAUGAUAUUCUAUACCACCUGCAACUGUAAUAACUUGGGGUCUUUGAUAAUGUCAUAAUAAUCAGGGACAUCGCGAGCAUCAACUGGUUCCUUGAAUGGCCAAGCAUCAACAUGGUCAUGCAUUGACUGCUUGAACAAAACCAAUUGCUUAGAAUCUAAGGAAAAUCAUGGCAUGAGAUGCUCUCAUAGACAUCUAAUGUCAAAUAAACACUUGGAGAGAAUCAAGUUAUCAAGAGUAAAAGCAAAAGGGCAAUGACUUAUUAACAUUUAUAAUUAUACUGUAAUUAGGCCAGUACAAGAAUCCUGAAAGUUAGCAUUAGCUUCCCCUGCAUCUUAGACAAGGUUUUUGAUUGUGAGAAGGGGGGACAUGCAUGCUUUUUUUUACAAACCUAUUAACCACAAUAAGGAAACACAACAAUGAUUAUUCAAAAUUAUACCCAACAACAAUAAUAAGAAGAAGAAAUUAUAUAGUAAACAUAAUUAUGAGGGCACUAAUGAAGAUAUAUGCAGAUGAGAACCAAUUAAAAGUUCAGAAACUUGCCUUCAAAAGUGAGCGCAAACCAGUUAAAUGUUUCUGAUUUGUCGCGUUGUCUGCAGAAACAAUUAAGGCUCUAAAUCGAGUAUGACCCCAUUGAUCAGGAAUCCAACUAGCUUCCUCUGUUACCAAAUCAAUACAAAUUUAUACAUACUAUAACCAAGCAAAGCGAGAGCAAUUACUAUAAACAAAAAAAUCUAAACCCUAAAAGUCAAAACCAGUAGAAACAGCAAGAUAUCUAUUCAUAAAUUAUAGGCAAAAUACAUGUUGAUGACAGAGAGAGAAACCUUCUGGGUCUUCUUUUCUCGACUGUGGCUGCUAAGUUUCUUCAAAAUACAGAGGUAAGGACGACGGUCGGUCGACCGACGGAGAUGAUGAGGCAGAGAUUUACUUGGUGAGGCCAACGAAGAGAAGGGACGAUGGACAGAGAUGAACAGAGAGGAAGGGAGAACGAAGAGAAGGGAAAAUGUCUUACGGCUUAGAAAUCGGUAAGACAUUUUCCAUAAAUUGGCUUUGCGUUUACCCGUGUUUUGUAAAAUGUUUUCCUAUAGGAAUUCAUUUUCCACGAAACAAACACUGUAAAUUAAGGAAAAUAUUUUCCACCAAACAAACAGACCCUUAAAGUUAAACCAACUCCUCUCUUCCCACGAAAACGAACCAGGAAAAGAAACAUCCUUAACGGUAUGUCAUGCCAUUUUAUUAGUGAUUAAUGUCCUUACAAUUUAUCAAUCUUCAAUGAAUUGUACUUCAAUAUUAAUGGAGUGUGGCGUCGCCCGGAAAAUUAGUUCAAUGAUUAAUUAAGAUAUGUAUUUAUUUGAGUGAAGAGGUUUCAAGUUUUCGAUUUUGUAUUUCAUUUAUUAUUGGUGUAUUGUAUUUGAUAUAUUUUUGGUGUAUAAAGUAUAAAUUUAAAUAAUAUAGUAAACAAUGUAAUUAUGUGCGGGUUUUCUGUUUAGAUUUUAUUUUGGUUUGAAAUCUCCAUUAUGUGGGUAUUGUCCAGAUUAUUCUGAUCUAGUUCCAUAAGAAAUUUUUCUUUGCACUGUAAGUGGUUGUUAGACCACAUGAUCGACAUUGCUCACCUUCCCCCCCCCUUUUCUUGUCAUGUUGUCCUUCCUUUCAAUGGUAGUGGCCUUCAUUUUUUCUAGGUCUCUUUUCUCUCUCUCUCUUUUCCCUUUUAGGUUACUGAUGGGGUUUUGACCUAUUGCUAGUGUCAUAGGACUAGAACUUAAGUCUGGCAAACCACGCAGCCUAGGCGAUUUCUUUGCUUCAAAUCCACCCAAUUCAACCUAACUCUCAAAAAGUAAGAAUUCUCCCAAAAAUUUUCUAAGGCGCAAAAAAUAAAGCAGAUGCAACUCAAAAGCGAAAGGAUAACGAAAAAGCUUGUAAAGCCACAAGAAAGAACACCGAGUGUUUGAGUAAAUGCUCCUAAAUAUAUUCUUUAACUCAAGAAUGAAAUACAAUGGGAUGAUUACAAAUUAAGGAAAGACCUCUAUUUAUAGUUCAACUUCCCCAGAUCCAACGGUAUAGAUUGAAUUACAUCAACGGUUGAGAUUAAUGUCUAUCUACAAGAUUAGAGUCCUAAGGGAUUUAAAAUCUAUACAUGUUUAUCCCUUAAGGUUUACAAUAAUUACCUUGGUAACUCUAGUUUUACUGGAAUGUUUCACUAGACCACCAAGACUUCAAAUAGAUGGGUUUCUCCAUGUGUUCCAUGAAUUGGGACAGUUCAAGUGGGUUAAAUGAGGCUCAAUUAAUCAGUUGAACUUCAUAAGACACUCUAUGUGCAUUCAUCACGAGCUUUGGCUCACGGCUUAUGACAUUCCCCCUACCCAUUCUUGUGACGCCCUUAUCGCAUCCUCAAAAUGACACUUAUUUGAGUCAUCUUGGAACUGUCACAACGCCUCAGCAGGUUCCUAACUAAUCUCUCUAUUGGGUAGUUUAAACCUUCAGAACAUUUGUCUUGGAUUACUUCUCUGUUGUCGCCUAACUCGAACUAUUUUUCUCUUUUGUACAUCUCGUUUGCAAGAGGCCAUAACUUUUAUUGACCGAUCUAUAGCUCAACUUGCAUUUUCAUUGAUCAAUCUGUAGCUCAACUCUUUGUGCCACUUCCACAGUUGGGACCUUUUUGGAAUCUACGGUCUUAAUCUUCUUAGUCGAUUUGCGAAUUGAAAAACCAAGUUUACCCACGACUUUCUCUGACAUGAACAAGUCUGAUACCCCUGUAUCAACAAUAACACUCCUUAUUCGCCUUAGGAUGUUGAUGUCCACAAACAUCAACCUUACCUUCUUGUGAUCCCUCUUCGUUUUGGCAGAAUUAAGUAUCAUUGAUCCAAGCUUUAAAGUCUCACUCUCUGGCCCCGCUUCAUCUUCUUUACUAAUUAUGAAUAUCUUGGACCACUCUAGAUAGUCUCGCAUCCUAUGCGGACCACAACAUAAGAAGCAUUUCACUGGCUUCCUUUGAUUCUUUUUAUUCCUCAUAUGGUUUUUAGGUAUCCACUUCCCAUUAGGUAGUUUCUAUUGUCAUUGUUGCCACAAUUGUUGUUUCUAACCAAUCAUUCAUCAUCUUCCCCACUAUUUCCCUUCUCUUUGGGCUUGGAAGACUCAAACUUGUCUUUCAUCGAAACAAGCUCAAUUAAGGACCCCACUAUGGUCAUGGAUUUUGUAAGUUCUUUGACCCCUCGGCGUUAAAACUCUAACCUUGCCUAAGACUUUAACCCAUCCAUAAAGAAGAAAAAUGCAUCUUCACCUAAAUGAAAAUUUUGGAGUAUCAGAUCACUAAACUCUUUCACAUGUUCUCUAACUGCACGUUGUUGUAUAAGCUGACACAACCUAGCCUGAGCCUCAUCCUCGGAAUACUCUAGGUAAAAUUGACCCUUGAAUUCACUCUGGAACUCCUCCCUAAGUCCCAAUGGUAGCUCAACCUCGCUUCUCAUCUAUAGACCUACAACGCCACCAUAACAAAGCGACAUCAAUAAAAUAUAUAGCAGUAAUAUUUACCUUAGUAGCAUCAUUUAUGAUGCCUUUGGCACUGAAGUAUUAUUUCACCCCCCACAAGAAGUUGUUUACAUUUUUUAUGGACCUUGACCAAUUGAACUUUUUUAGCUUUAAGACAUGUACCUUAAGCUUGGGUGACACAGCCAGCACCUCAUUACCCAAAGCAGCUUUGUAGAUAACGAGCUCCCCCUUGAGCUCCUCAAUAUGUUCCUUCAAAUCCAUCACCAUAGCCUCAAGAGGAUUAAUCUUCUCAGUCAGCUUACCCACAGCAGUAUUAAGGACCCAUUACAUCGCAUCCAUAUUAGCAUUGAGGGUUUCUGCCACUUGUUCUUUGAGUUGAUCUUGCCUCGAUUCCAACUCUGUGAUAUGUCCAUCAACUUCCUCAAGGGUCUCAUUCACAUCACCCAUAAAGCCCUCAAGUUUGGUCACCUUGUCUUCCAAAGCUGACAACAUAUCCUUCGAGCUGCUAGUUGUCUUGCCCCUCCCACAAGUCUCUAUAGGCUCAAUCUGCUUGUUUAAUCAUUUUGGCAUCUCAACUAAUGCCCUUGAACACUAGCUCGAAUAGCAAUAAUCAUAAGGCUAGAACUUAAGUCUAGUAAACAGCGUAGCCUUAGGUAAUUUCUUUGCUUCAAAUCUGUUUAAGUUAGUCUAACUCUCCAAAAGUGAGAAUUUUCCCAAAAAGUCACUAAGGCAUCGAAAAAAAAGUGAAAGUAACUCAAAAGAAAAUGAACAAUUAAAAAACUUGGAAAGCCGCAAGAAAGCAAUGCACAUCAAGUGUUUUAAGUAAAUGCUCUCAAAUAUAUUCUUUAACUCAAGAAUGGAAUACAAUGAGGGAGAAGGCCUCUAUUUAUAGUUGAACUCCUCCAGAUCCAAUGGUAUAGAUUGAAUUACAUCAAUGACUGAGAUUAGUGUCUAUCCAAAAUAUGAGAGUCCUAAGGAAUUUAAACUAUAUACAUCUUUAUCCUUUAGUAUUUACAAUAAUUACCUUGGUACCUAUAGUUUUACUGGAAUGUUUCACUAAGUCACCAAGGCUUCAAGUAAAUGGCUUCUCCAUGUGUUCCACGAAUCAAGCCAGUUUAAGUGGGUCAAAUUAGCCUCAUUUAAUAAGAUAACCUCCAUAGGACACUCUGUGUGCAUUCUUCACUAGAUUUGAUCUGCGACCUUAACACUAGCCUCAUUUUCCCUCUUUUUUUCCUUUGUCAUUUUUUUACUGUCAGUUGCAACUUGUUUUGCAACUAAGUUGCUUUGUAACUUGUAUUUGCAGGCAUUAGUUUGAUAGAAAAUUUCGGUUUAAUUUUUCAACUCUUUGAGGAUUCUUAACAAUAAUUUAAUAGACUCGAUCACAUUGAAUUUCAAUCAAGUAAUGAUUCUUUUGAAGAUUUUAAGUGUAAUCAUUAAUUAAAGAUAUUCAGAUUCUAUAGAAGACUACUCCAAAAAGAUCUCUACAUAUUUGAUCCCUUAUUGAAUCAUAACUUGGGGGAAUAUGUGUUUACAUUUAUUGGAUGCUUAUUUAAAGAAGGCUUUUUUUCAUUAUGCAGGAUUGGUAGAGAGCAUUUAUUUGUUCAUUGUAAGGGACUUAUUUUUACUACAAUUUACUUUGUAAAAGAAUUGUUCUUCAUUUUCAAUUUGUAAUUAAGCUUUCAAGGAGAAAGCCUCAGUGGGAAAAGUGAUCUAGUUGAUGUAUAGGAGUGAGGUUGCAACUUGAUGAGUGAGUUCAAUGUAAAUUACAUAUUGUACUAUGAAUUGAUAGUGGAUUUCUCUUUAGGUAAGGUUCCAUAAAAAUAGAGAAGUAUUUCAAAUUGCGUAACCAAUUUGUUUGUCCAUCUUUAUUUUUACUCUUUUAGUGGUUCAUCUAGUUGGAACUGAACAUGUAUAAUAACAUGCAAUUUCAACGAAUUCUAAUGUUUAGGAUUGGGAGUGUUGGGUUUUUACUUUUCCUCAUCACUAUUAUCUUUCUACUGUGUGAGUCAAAACGUUUUUUGUGCAUUGGACUUAGGUUGUUGCUUGGCUUGGAUUUAAGUUGUUGCAUACGAUAAUUGACCUUUUUUUUUCGAGAUCAAUCCUCUUUCCAACGGAGUGGAGUCAUUGGUGGCCAUGGUUUUUCCUCUUUUUCCUAUUUUGUUUUUGGUUGCAAAUUGUUGGUUCUCAUUUUUUUGUUGUCUCCAAUUAGGGAAAAUUAGGUUGGACAAGAAAGUUAGGACUUUAUUUCAAAAAUCAUUGCACAAAUAUAGGGUUUCUUGGCUUGUAUCGUUGUGCCUCUGCUAAUGGUUUAGUUCUCCACUCAUUCGUAUUCCUAGAAUUUUGGUUUUAGCUUGCAACUCUAAUAUCUGGUUGUGGGCUAUGUCGUUCCCUCUGUUUUUCAUCAUAAUUAAGCUAAUUUGUGGUUCUGGUGGGCCCUUGUAGCCCAUUCCCUAUUUUAUUCGUUUGAAAUGUGAAUAGUUUUUUUACCCAUUUCAGCUUUGAUUUCAAUUAUUUGGAUUCUAGUUUUUGCAACAAUGUAGUAGGUUUUGUAUCAAUUCCAUCUGUACCGACUGAUGCAGACAACUCUAAUAGCAAAAUGGAACAUCGAACUUCCUUUUCCACUUCAGUGAAAAUUCUGACCUAUACCAGUUGCAUCAAUUCGUUCUAUCGAAUUCCAGUUUCACUGCCUAAAAUAUUAUGCACCAUCUGAUGCAUGAAUAAUGUUAAAAAAUAUAUAAAUUUACUACUUUUUUAAUGUUUAUAAUAAAUAAUAAAAAUUAAACUUUAACUGUUAAAAUUAAAAUUAAACUUCAAAUGUUAACCAACUUAAAAUUACCAUCUUUAAACUUUAAAAUAAAAGAAAUUAAUAAACAAUUAAAGAAAUAAUGAGAUUAUAUAACAAAUAAAUGAAAGAAAGGAAAAUUCGUAAAAUUUCAAAAACUUCAGCUUCAUUUCAACUCUAUUUAUUUAAUCUCAUCCAUUUAAUAUUUAUAAAUAUUUUUAUAUAUAUGAAUUUUUUUAACAUUAAUCUCAUUAUAGAUUCUUAUCAUAUCUGCUCUUUUUGAUACAAUGCCUAGAACUACCCAUAGCCCCUCCCAACCAUUAACUAGGAUGAUAAUGUGCUUCAGCGCACUCAAACCCAUGUCCUCCUACACUGACAACAAUGCCAAUGUCACUCGAGCUAAAACUCAAUUAACAUAUAUAUGACUUUUUUAAAAAGAAAUAUUAAUAAAUUCUAAACGAUACACCAGAACAAACCAUUAUGCAUACAUACUAAUUUUAGUAGAAAAGAAAUAGGUUGAUGCAUAGUACUACAUUACUUUACAUCAAUGAACUUGUUGACUAUUGUAGCAUUUUAAAAUUGUGUAGGAUAAACCUAUGAACUCAUUGAUUUGGGGUGAAACAUGUACUCUGAUUGUGGUUUUUUUUACCCCAAUAAAAGAAAUAUAAAAUUAAUAGCUAAAGUGGUAUCUCAAUCAAAUUAAUUACUAAAAUGAUAUGUUUUGAAUAGUAACCAUGGGUGGUGCCUGACAAGGUGGCAGCACCACCCAUUUUUUUCCACUAUCAUUAGGCCAUAAUAGGGUUUAAAAAAUUCAUGUUUUAUUGGUGGUGCCACCCUAUAAGGUGGAAUCGGUAUGUAGCACCGAUAUUUGCUAAAAUACGAGUUGAUAUAGGUUGGAGGGGGAUGGAGGAAAGCUAUUAGGCAGCACCUAAGUGGAGGGGCACUGUUAGGCGUUACCGUUUGGAGGAGUGCUAUCAAGCGGCACCAAGCCCCUAUUUUGAACAUAAAAAUUGUGAUUUUUUGAACGGUUUAGCAGUUAACUAAUAAGAAAGGAAUCUUUUUUUUGUAGAAGAAAAGAAAAGAAAGAAAAAAAAUUGUAAGGUUAGUACAAUAUUAAUUUUAUUUUAUUAUAUUUUUUUUUACAGUAGAAUCUUGUUUUUCAAAGUAUUAUUGAGAAAUUAAAUUAUUUUUAAUUAUUUUUAUAGAUUUAGUAUUGAAAAUGGAUAAUCAAUUCUUUGUAUUCAUUUAUUUCGAUGGAGUGAUUUUAAGAACAACAGUUGGUUGUAUAUUUUAAUUUCACCAACAAAUAGAAAUAAGAUUUAAUAUAAAUGUAUCUGUUGAUGAUAUGAAAGAAAGGAUUAGUUCAAAAAUUGUUACACGUUGUGCGAGGAGAAUGUCGAAUAUAUUCUACAAGUUUCCACUUCCAUCAAAUCCCAUCAAAUUUACCGAGAUGGAACUUGUAGAAGAUGAAGACGUGGGGAUAAUGGUCGCACUUUAUUUUCGGACUGAGAGUGUCCACACUGAACUAAUUCAUUUACUUACUGAGUUAGUUGCUGUGGAUCCAGUUGCAGAUUUCUCUUCAUUAAGUUAACAAUAUGAAGUUCAAGAUCCGUGUACGGAGGUUCAGAGAGUUCCUGUCGAUAGGCAAUCGUUUGUACGCGGGUUUGACAUCGAUCUUAAUGCUCCACCUACGCCAGAGAACUUUAACUCAAGUCCCCGCUUACAAAUACAUCCAGUGUUGAUUGAGACCGAUAUAGAUGGUGAAGAUGGAUGUGAUAAUAAUGGUUGUUCUGAUAAUGAGGUUGAAGGUUAUAAUGAUCCCGAUCUAGAUAAGGCGCGAAUAAUGAUGGAAAUGUUUACGCGUCCUUAUUCGGAAACCCAAUUCGGGGCAUUGUCAUAUACAAUGAUCCUGGGGCCCACAUGUCAAACGUAGAUCCUGAUGUGGUUCAUGCAUCUAAGUUUCUUGAGUACUUGACCUGACGUUAAAUGUAGUAGUUAUUUUAGGUCAUUUUUACACUUGACGAGCUUAUUUUCUAGUACUUUUAUAAUUAAAUAUUGCAUUUUCAGUAUUAGUAGGUUAGGGAUAAAAUGUUAAUAAAAUAAAUGUUUUUACGUAUUUUCUACUAUUUCGAUGACCCGUAAAGCCGACUCGGGCCUCAUCAGUGAUUAAUGGGUUAUUUAAGUGUGUAGGAUGCCAAUUUAGGUCCAAGAAUACAAGGAAUGAUGAUCGAGCUACGAAACAAAGGAGCCCGAUAGGCCAACAAAGUUGCCAAGGCCCAGAAUACACUUCACGUUGUGAUGAGGAGCUUCUUCUCAUCACGACGACGCGAUAAAUAUAAAAGAACAUUCAUAGUUGCGACGUUGUGACGCGGAGACUUCCCACUUCACAACAAUGCAAAGAUGGCAAGCCAAAAUAUGGGUGAUUCUUUGGACGACACAUUUGGGGAUAUUUUUAUAUUUAGACCCUAGCUUUUAGAAGAAUAUUUUAUUAAUUGAUAUCUAAGUGUAUCUAGGGUUGAGUCGUCACCAAGUAGCCUGUUUCCUAUAUAAGCAACCUUAGGGUCACCAGGAUUGUGUGCAUUUUUAGAUAGAUGAUUUUUCCUAUUCAAUUUUCUUUGUAUUUUCUUUUCAUGUUCAUAUAGUCAGAACUUUUCUAUUUCGAUGUGAAGACAAUUGCGAGCGAAGAUUGCUCCGGCACCACGCUUCAAUCUAUAUUAAUGAGCUUUCUCCUAUAUCUUAUUCUUUUAUUUAUAUUUUUGUUAACCAUAUCAAUUAGCAUUUGUAUGAAUAAUUGAAUAAAUAAUUAUGCUUAUUUCGUAUCUCACAUAAUUCAAUUAAUAAACUAAUUUAUUUGUUAAGUAAUUAUUUAUCUUAAAUUGGUUGUUUAUUCAAUAUUACUUAGUAUAUUAUGGAGUGACACCCCUGAUAGAAUAUCGAGGCAAGUGAGACCGGAAGGGUAUCCUAUCGUACCAAGCAGAGAGAUCGAAAGGGUAUCCAUAUGCCUAAGAAGAGAUCAAAAGGGCGACUUAGGUGGUAAUUCUUAAUGUAGAUGAGAUUGAGAGGGUAUUCUUAGCUAAUGGUGAUAAAUAACUCAAUCUAGGAUAAUUCAUUAUUUAAUUAGAUAAUUAGGGAUUUAAUCAAUAAUAGGCUAGAGGCUCGCAUUGUCGACACUAGGAAUAAGAGAGUCCAUUAGGUUAAUUUAGGUUAGUUAAUUUAAUUAGUUUAAUUAAAGUACUAAUUUGGAUUCGCACUACUAAUUUGGGACUCAAUUAGGUUAGUAAUUAUUUUCUAUAAUUAAUUUAAUAAUAGCUUCUCCAAUUUGCAAUCUCUUGGGCACGAUCAUCAGAAUACUUACUAAUGUUUCGUUGUAAACAUUACUAUAUUACAACUUCACUCGUACGCUUCCGGAUACCAUCAAUUUAAUUUAAUAUAUUUUUUAUAUGAUAUUUAUACUAUAACGAUAACACAUUUAUAGGCGAACAAUACCCCGAUAUACUACCUGUUCACCUAUUUGUCGCAGAUCCUAAACAAGAUUUGUUCAUGGGCUAAAAAAUCACCAACAAGGAAGAUUGCAUAUUUACCAUUAAGCAGUAUAACAUGAAUGUGUCAGUUAAUUACAAAUUCGUUGUGUCUAAAUCGACAUUAUAUAUUAGGCAGUGUUGGAGGUCAGCAGAAUGAUGCAAUUUGAGGGUACGAGCUGUAUUUAUCCAGAGGUCACAAAUGUAUGACACAAGAUCAUCGUAAAAUUGAUGCGAAAGCUAUCUACAACUACAUCAUGCCAAUGGCGCAGGACAUGCUAACCAUUCUUGUAUCGGUACUAAUUGUCAAAAUGUAAGAAUAAUUCCAGUACCGAGUGUCAUAUCGGAAAACAUAGAUAGCUAAAUAGAUGGCCAUGGAGUAGUUUUACGAACAUUGGGAUGUGCCAUACAAUGAACUCCAUGGUUGGAGAGUCACUAUGCAGGAGUACGUGCCAGGGACUAUCGUUGAGUUGCAGACACAAUAUUAUUAUAGCUCAGAUGACCAACUACAAUCGAUAAGAAGAAUUUUCCACCGGAUGUUCUGGACAUUCGAUCCAUGCAUACAGACCUUUCCCCACUGCAAGCCGCUUAUGCAGGCUGAUGGCACCUAGUUAUACAAAAAAUAUAAAUAGAUCCUCCUUAUUGCGGUUGCACAAGAUGGUUGCUGAAACUUACUACCAAUAGCAUUUGCCAUUGUGGAGUUGGAGAACAUGGAAUCUUGGGAAUUAUUUAUAACAAACUUGUGAACGUAUAUUAUUAGAGAAGACAAUAUUUGUAUCAUAUCUAAUAGAUCGAAGGGACUAAUUAUCACGAUUAAGCAUUCCGAUGUUCCAUGGAAAUCUCUUUACUGCAUCCGCCACAUCUCCACCAACUUCCACUAAGAUUGCAAAAAUACAUACUAGCACAAACAAGUAGUGAACAUGGGUAAAUUUCAAUUUUAACAUAUUUUUAAAUAUUCUUAAUAUUUCCACAAAUUGAAAAGGUAACAUAUCUUUUCAAAAUAUAUACGUAGUGUACGAGCUAAAACAACACUAUUUCAACAAAAUUUGACCAGGCUUGAGGCUGAUAUGCACAGUGAAACGAGUACUACUUUUCAGGGUGGUUAAGCACCAUGGAGCCAUGGAAAUGGGCUCAAAGUUUCGAUAAUGAAUCUCGAUAUGGUCAUAUGACCACCAACCUAGCAGAGGCUGUUAACUUCGUCUUGAAGCGAACAUGACAUCUUCUAAUUCCAUUUGUUUUCUCAGCUACAUUCUACAGGCUGCUAACAUUGAUGCCAAGAAUAAGGCUGAAAAAAGUAAACCAGAUAGAUGUGGGACACGUGUUUGUCGAGGAGAUUAGGAAGAUAAUGGAUGAAAAUGCCUAAAGAGCGAGGUCAAUGCAUGUAGAAUUAUAUUCUCGAUAGUUAUAAACUUUUCGAGCUACAGAGUUCAUCGGUCAUCGACCUGAUAUCCCACCUAGGCCCUAUGAAGUUGAUCUCUGAAACAGGUGAUGCGACUGUGAGAAGUUCCAAACAUUUCGGUACCCUUGUACGCACGUUGUUGUAGCUUGUGCUCGCGCCUCAUUCGAUGUUGGACAAUAUAUCAAUGAGGUGUACACUCUGAAGCGCACAUUGCGUAUUUAAGGAAAUGAGUUCCCCGUCCUACGUGAUGUGUUAACAUGGGAAGUGCCUCCGCUGACUUUCUGGCUAGUCCCAAACAUGGGGCUACGUAGGAAACCCAAAGGUUGCCUGCAAGUCACCAGAAUUCAUGGUGAAAUAGACUUGAGGGAGAAAAUCGACCCUAAACAUUACAGUCUGUACUUAAUAAUUGGUCAUAAUCGGGGGAAAUGCUCGCAUCGAACCUACCACCCUGAACAAUCGUCACGAUCGAGUGGAAUAUGAAUUUAUGUACUCCAUGUUCAAAUGUAUGUGAAAUGUUGUUAUCAAUUGAAGUAAUAUUUCAUUUUAUGUAGAAUUCAUGUAUAGUUUUAGUUUUAUUAAAAUUUAUUUGAUUAUGAUUGAAUUUUGGUAUUGCUUAAACAUGUUCAAGUAAAAAAAAUUGCACUUCAGUGAAUAUUAUAUUAAAAUACUGAGAAAAUGUUCAAACUAUAUAUUAUAAAAACUUUACAAUUUGAAUUACAAUUAUAAAAUACAUGCAAUAAAGAUAAUGUUAUAAGUGUUAAAAUUGAUGGUUUGAUGGAGUUGUCCUUGGGGUAAACUAUUGUGGUGUCCGACAUUGGCAUUGGGGGUGUUCGUGACGAUUAUUAUUCUUUUCAACCGGACCUUCAUUCACAACAUCCAUCAACGAACCUUAGGGGUGUAUUUAACAAACUCGAAAAAUCACACUUUCCAAAAUUUUGACCAAAAGGGUGGAGUACUAGUUGGAAAUGGGUUAAAGAUAUCAAACAUCAUUGAUAAUCUCGAUUGCUAAUGAUCAAAAGUGGAAUCAAGAAUCUCCGAGUGAUAUGCGUAGCCUGACAAUUCUAGAAGAUAAUUAUCUACCUCUAAAUCUGGAUGAUAAGAAUUACUGAGAGUGUGUAUAGGAUCGUUGAAGUUCAAGCUCUGUGGAUGACCUUGUUGACAUUUUUGGUGGCCUCGCUGGUGUAUGUGUGGAGGGACUACCAUCAAUUGGCUACCAAAUAAAUACGAUCCCUCAUUAUCGAUAUACCAAUGUUGGUACUCGAUCGAGGACCACAAAUCAAAAUCAAAAUCCACCCGAGGUCUCUGCUCCAUUUGGAUGUUCCACAAUGCAAGAUAUUGUUGAUGCUCUAAUGCCCAAUUCUUUUAUUCUUUCCCCAUUUUGUUAAUUCCGUGGACAUUAUCAAAAUUCUGUAGAACAUCCAGAACAUCUUGUUCGCACUCGAACUGUCGCAAAACUCGAUCCCCAUUGUACCACUUGACUGUUGAGAAAUUCAACACGGGUGCACUAAUGUACCACAAGUGUGAGUGAAUAUGAGCUGACGGGGGAAUAACAACCGCAAUGUCUAGGGCAGAAUAUGGCAUCCACACGAACUAUACAAUUAAUAACAUGAUUAUAGUAACACGAGCCAAAUAACAUAGAUAAAGUAAUUACAUGACAUGAAUAUUAGGACAUCCCAAUACUCGAACAAGUAUACCAUCUAAAAUAAAUUAAACUUGUUAGAACGAAUUUUCAUAUAAAGCAAAAUUAUUAGUGUAUAAUUUAAAUUUUAUUACCUAUUUACAAGUGGGAAGACGUGUUUGGUGAUUAACUGAUGCCAAAAAUGGUAUCAUGUAUAGUGCCCAGGACUGCGACAAUAUCAGGCACCUGACUUGUCUUAUGUUUCGUACUUUGUCACCUAAAAAAGCUUACGAUAUAACGUUGCUAAUACUGUUAAGCCCCAAUUGUACGAACGGGCAGCUUCCAAAUCAGACAACAAUGGAAAGUACAUCAAGUGGACCUUAUUAUGAGCGUCUGACAUAAGUACCCCCUAUCAGGUGCAGUAUAUAUACUCAAGCAGCGCACAUCUUCUCCCACUCAGUGGCAUUACUAGGUAAAUAUUCGAAAUUUCCCUUUAACCAGGAAAAUUUCAAACUCGUAAAUAUAUCUUCACCAUCAUCGGACGAGCAUCCAAGUAAGUGAUAGCAUAGCACCACUAGUUCAGACACUUUACUUGUACUUGUGACUGCACUAGCAUCGAUUGGAAGCCCGAGCUGCAGUGCAACAUCUUCUAGGGUGAUGGUGUACUCCCCACACGGUAAAUGAAAUGUGUAGGUCUCCAAGCACGCUUAACCAAAACGGAUAUCAAGUCGGCCCUCAAAUUGAACAUGCGGAUCAAUAUUUCUGAUCCGAAUCUGGCUGCCUCCAAGUAUGACAUAAUCCGUUCAUCUGGCCCGUAGUCUAGACCAUUGACACGAGCCCUCAAUACGUGGUAUUCACCCUGACCAUAUUAAAUUACUGCAUUAGUUAAAAAAACCUAUGUUACCAACGCAAAUAAAUAAAUAAAUAUAUAAAUAUGAUAUAUCACAAUAAUAUAUACAAAAGCAUGCAUGUAUAUAUAGCUAAAAUAACCCUCUUUCACCACAAAUUAUUAUCAAUGUACUUAAACUUUUUUUUAUUCCUAAACAUGCCUUUCUUCUAUGCCAAAAACAACUUUUUUAUCCUAAUAAUAAAAAAUAAUUAAAAAUGCAAAAUUAAUCACCCUACCAAUUAAUUAUCGAAAUGGGCCGUUUGUUAUAGUAUUUUUUGAUAUCACCUUACAAAAAUAUAAUACAAAAGCAAAGCAAAUGUAGAUAUAUAAAACAAAAUUUCAAAAUUAUUAUUACAAAAAAUAUAUAAAAACACAUCCCUGCUUACUGGUGGUUUCUUCCAACACAAACUCUUCUCCCAAAAAUACUAAACUGUUUUAUUCACACACAAAAAAUAUUAUAAAAAUAAAAAUGUUAUUUUAUUAUACAUACCAAAAAUAAUAAAUUGCUUUAUUCACAAAAAAUAUUAUUAUAAAAAUAAAAUUAUUUUUUGUUAUACAUACCACAAAUACUAAAUUGUUUUAUUAAAAAAACAUUAUUAUUAUAAAAAUAAAAUUAUUAUUUUACUAUACAUACAAAAAAAUCAACAUAUAUAUCUAAUUCAUUCAAAUAAUAUUACAUAAUAAAUUUUCAACCCAAAAAAUAUUAAAAAUGUGAAAAUUUAGUGCUCAAAAUCUCUAACAAAUAAUAAUUACAAAAAAAGUCAUGAAGUAUUUAAUAAUUUUUUAUAUUAAUUAGGUAAAAAACAAAUAAACAAAUAAUAAUUAAAAAAAAUAGAAAACAUGCGUGUUAGGGUGCUUCCUUUCUUUCCAACACAAACACUCACUCCUCCCUAACCCUAAACUACCAAUCUCUAUUUCUUUAACACACAGUCACGCAGGGCACCAAGUUAUAUACAUAUAUAUAUAAGGUUAAGGGAAAAAAUGGGGAAAUUAGGUGUAAAAUUUAGGGCUGAGGAAGCAAAAAAAAACAAAAAAAAGACCCUCGAUUGUCUGGUCACGUUCGUCGCAAGCGAUUAAAUCAGUGCUGCCUGAUUUCUGCUUCUCCAUGCCUGAUUCUCUCCCCAUUUUUUGCUUCUCAGUCACGAGUUAGUAUUUUUUUUACAACAGUAGUGCCACCUGACUUUCACCCUCCACUCAUUAAAAUUAUUUUUUAAUAGUAUACGGCUUGUAUUGUAUAAGAUUCUACAUCAUACUGGUGUCGCGUAUAGAUUGGCACCACCAAUAAAAUAUAAAUUUUUUAAAUCCUAUUAUGGCCUAAUAAUAGUUUGAUAAUGGUAGAAAAAAAUGUGUGGUGCCGCCCACCUUGUUAGGCACGAAUAAAUACUCUUCCAAACAUAUUAUUCUAAGUAAUUAAUUUGAUUGAAAUACCAUUUGAGUUAUUAAUUUUAUUUUUUGUGCUCUUGACGUUAAAAAGCUUGAAUAAGUAUUCAGUCUCUGAUGAAGAUUUUAUUUGAAAAUAAAAAGUACAUUUGAAUUAAAUAAUAAAGUUAUUUAAUUAAAAAUUAAAGCUAUUCUGUAUUUCUAUCUAUCCCCUGCUUUAUCCCCCAUUAUAAAAAGCCUUCCUUUGAUCUCAGUUUCUCAGAAUUUCUCUCCCUUUGUACAUUCCCACACUUUAUUAAGCAAUAAAAAGAAAGCUAUAAUGGCAAUCCCAUUGUCCUUCUUUCUACUGCUUUUCCCUCUCUUGGCUCCCACAUUUGUUUUCUCCUCACCAGUUCAGGACCCCGAGCAAGUAGUCCAACAAGUCAAUGAGUAUGCAUUAAUUUCCUGUACUUCAAUAUCUUUCAUCAAUGCCGAUUAUGAAAUACUGAAUCAUUUUCGUUAAUUCCUUUUUGGCUUAAUUUUCUGUACUGCAGGAGCAUAAGAAAUGCUACUAUGGCGAGGAGGAGCUUGGGGUUUCUCUCAUGUGGAACCGGCAAUCCCAUCGAUGAUUGCUGGCGGUGCGACCAUCAUUGGGAGAAGAACCGUCAGAAGCUCGCCGACUGCGCCAUUGGGUUCGGCAAGCAUGCCAUUGGUGGGAGAGAUGGGAAAAUAUAUGUGGUUACUGACCCUAGUGACCAUGACCCUGUUAAUCCUAAACCCGGAACCCUUCGAUAUGCUGUCAUCCAAGAUGAACCUUUAUGGAUCAUUUUCGCUCGUGACAUGACCAUCAAGUUGAAGGAAGAAUUGCUUAUGAACUCGUUCAAGACCAUCGACGGCCGAGGCGUCAGCGUCCACAUUUCCGGUGGGCCAUGCAUUACUGUUCAGUACGUGACCAACAUCAUAAUCCAUGGGAUCAACAUUCAUGAUUGCAAGAGAGGAGGGAAUGCUUAUGUGAGGGACUCUCCUACCCAUUACGGCUGGAGGACGAUAUCGGACGGGGACGGGGUAUCGAUUUUCGGAGGCAGCCAUGUUUGGGUGGACCAUUGCUCUUUGUCUAACUGCAACGAUGGGCUGAUCGACGCCAUUCAUGGAUCCACCGCCAUCACCAUUUCUAACAAUUACUUGACCCAUCAUAACAAGGUCAUGCUAUUGGGACAUAGUGACACUUACAAACAAGAUAAGAACAUGCAAGUCACCAUUGCCUUUAAUCACUUUGGAGAAGGCCUUGUACAAAGAAUGCCUAGGUAAAAUAUAUAUAUACUUACAGUCGAAGAUUAACCUGAAUCUCUCUCUCUAUAUAUAUACACAUAUAUUAACUUAUCACAUAUGCAGAUGUAGGCAUGGAUACUUUCACGUGGUGAACAAUGAUUACACGCACUGGGAAAUGUAUGCAAUCGGUGGCAGUGCUGAUCCUACAAUCAACAGCCAAGGCAAUAGAUUUCUUGCACCAAAUGAUGCAGACAACAAAGAGGUCUAUACAAUUAUAUCAUUAAUUGGUUCCAAUAUAGAAACUGGGGGGGGGGAGGGGGUAAGCUUUAAACUAACAUAUUAUUAUGUGCUAAAUAAAAUUCAGGUGACAAAACAUGAGGAUGCGCCGCAAAGUCAAUGGAAGCAUUGGAAUUGGAGAUCAGAAGGGGAUUUGAUGUUGAAUGGAGCCUUCUUCACCGCAUCCGGAACCGGGGCUUCUUCAAGUUAUGCCAAGGCGUCGAGCUUGGGUGCGAGGCCGUCAUCACUGGUGAGCUCACUCACAGCAGGAGCGGGUGCACUCGUUUGCAAGAAGGGGUCGCAUUGCUAGUGAAAUGGCUAAUAGGAAUAAAGAUAAAAAGGCUGGAACAUGAAAAUUAUCCCAAAUUGUAAUUAAAAAGAAGGCAGAAUUCAUGUUUCUGUAUAUUGGUGAAAUAAUGUUGUAUUGUUGAGUUUAGAAGAUGUAUAAUAUAAGUGUACAAAUACUGAAUCAGCCUGCUUCUGUGAAACCAGAAAAAAGGGCUGAAAAAAGUGUUUGAUAAAUUGAAAGUUGAGUUCUAUCAAUGAAAUUACUCAUUAUUAAUUCAUAUUAGUUUUGGUCACAUGGGGUGGUGCAGCGACACAGUGGUGGGAGUGUCCUAGUGGAAGGGGAAAAGGCUUUAUUUUCCUUUAAUAAUUAAGACUUGUAUUUUUUUGCUUAUAUUUAUGUCGACUGCUUGUUGGUUCCCUUGACAAAGUUGCGAGUUCGGGGACUUUUUAUCUUUUGUGGGUUUUUAUUUAUUUAUAUAGGAAAUUAGGAAGGAAGGAGUAUAUCCUUUAGCUUCGACCGACACCAAUUCACGGGCAACCAUAAACGACACGUCUCCGACAAUAUCAGUCACCAUAAAUGAUACUACCUGUCUAUCACCCCAUCCAUAAAUAGGAUAUGAGAGGUUUGUUUUCUUGUAAUUGCUUUUUCUUCUUUUUAAUUUUAUUUGUCCAUGAGAUUGCUUUGCUGCCUGUAGCCUUGUAAGAUAUUUAAGACCCAAACUAAAAACUAUAUAAUUACAGAUCAUCUAAGUUUUAUUCAAGCAAAGAAUGCUACAGGCUGCGUAAGACAUGGUGGAAGGGUAGGGAGACAAGCUUUCUUUUUGUUAUGUUUACUUAUAAUUUGGUUAAAAUAUGUGAUCAAAUUCGGUAGCUUUGGGCUUGAAAUAUUUUCAAAUUUAAGUGAAUCACUGAAUUUUUAAAAUAUAUCAAAUUUUUGAAGAAUACAUAAAUUUAUAAUAUAUAUUUUCAUAUAAUGUGGCCAACAACAUAAUUCCGAGUUAUUAUAGUCAAAAGGAAAAUGGAUGGAUAAAUUGGAUUGCUUGUAUUGGUUAUGGAAUAAUUGAAUUUGGUAACAUCAAUUUAAACCAUAAAUUUUGAGUUAAUUCUCAUUUGAAUUAUUUUGAAUUUAGAAUAUUAAAAAUUAAGUUUGUAAGCUUUUCAUUAAGCCAUUAUAAAUUUGAAUUAUUUUAAGAUUUGAUGACUUUCGACUUAUGAUAUUAUUUGAGUAUUUUAGGUGAGAUGGUUUUGAGUUUCAAAUUUGAGGAAUUUAAGACGAGUUAACCCAUAUUUGUGUUGAAGUUUAUGAAAAUAAUUUUUAAAGUGUGGGUUUGGAUGAGUGGUGUGGUGUAAUACGUUUAAAUUUUUUUUGUCUCGCAUUACGAUAUUGUUAUAAUAUCUAAUCUCACUGUCACUACUAUUUUUACACUCACCGCAAAUAAGCACAUCCUUCAUCCAACCCUUACCAAGCCGGAAGGAGAACAUAAAUGGAAGUAGAUGGGAUGUUUGUUCACUAAUUGUUAGUUGGGCUACCAAAUCCUGGCUUAGUUAAAUUAGCCCGAAAGGAUAAAGGGCGCAAGGCAAGGGAGACAAGAAAGAAAGAAAUAAAGCAAAAGUAUGGAUGAACAAAGGGGGCCCAUUUAGCUGUUGAGUGUAAGUAUCUAACUGUAUAUGGCUUCAUUAAAACUAAACCAAAGCAGGGUUGAAUGUUCCUUUAUAGGCUACGCCCUAACAUUUUAGCAACUUUCUGUCCCACUCAUCUACCCUCUCUCCCAAUUUCACUUCAUAUACCCCAAUAAUUUAUUUAUAUGGCAUUGAUUAGGGUUUAAAUCUCAUCAAAGGUAAACUGCUUACCACCUUAUGGUGGAUGGUUAUACAUUCACAUGUAGUCGACGUUCUUCUCGUUAUAAACCGUACAUGGUUCCCCACGAAGAUAGAAUAAAAUUCUCCUUGAAAAACAAUACUUUCUAUUGUUGAGGGAUGAUCUCCCCUCAACAGAACUAUUAAGGGGUAAACAACCAAACUCAAGCUAUAAGUACCACUGUCAUUUACCAAAAAGAAAAAAGUAUUGCAGUAUAAGAGAAGGAAAAUGUUAAAUUAUGUUAUAGGGUCCUUAUACUUUUCACAUAUUUGAAAAUUAGCUUCUAUACUUUUAUUUCGAUGAGUUUAAUCUCUCUACUUUUCAAAUUUUAAAAUUCAAAUCCAAUUGUCAAUAAUUUAAUUUUUUGUUAAAUUUAUUGGCAUGACAUUUUGAAAUAAAAUACUCACUUGGUAGUAGGGAUGACAAUGGAGCAAGGUAGAGGUAGAUAUUACUAAAUCUAUUACCACUCCACAAUUGCGAUGCUCUACUCUACCAUCUAUUCUACUCCAUUAUGGAUGUAUAAUCUUGAAAACUACUAUCACCUCUAUGGAUGUUGGAUGCAUUCAUCACUAUCUCGCCCCACCUCGCUCUACUUCAAUUUAAUUUUUGCUACUUAUUUUUAAUAUUUUUAAUCUUUUUAAAGUCAAGUAAAUAUUUAAACAUAAUUCUUCAAAAAAGUUUAAACAUAAAAUAUGUAAUUUUUUUCUAUAUUACAUUAUUACAUUUUUACCUUUUAAUAAUUUAUGUAUAUAAAAAUGAUAAAGUAAUUUAAUAUAAUGUAGCCGAGCAGGACAAGUAAUUAUUGUAGCCGCUCCAUAUUCACUAUCCAAAAAAAAACCCACCCCGCUCCGCCCCGCAUCCACGUUUCAAACAAAAAAAACCACUCCAUCUAGUGCAAAUAGAUUCGAAAUUUAUCGGGCUAUUCAAAAUUUUCCAUUCCUACUUAAUAAUCAUGUAGCAAAAAAAGACAUUGUAUUAAAUUUGAAUUUAACAAAAUAAUUUAAAUAAUGUUACCUCAAUAAUAAAAACACUAAAUUUUCAUAAAUAAUUUUAAAUAGUUUAAACAACUGUUGCAUAUUUAAAUAUAUAGGCUGGAGGAUGCGUAUUAAAUAUAGCGCAUUUUUACAUCCAGAAAAAUGUUGUCUACCUCAGUCUCGUAACAAAAAAACAAUUUAUGUCAUUAUAAACUUGAGAGCAAAUAAUAGGUGACACUAAGACUCAGAAUCCUAAGAAUAUGAGGUGGAUAUAUAUAUUCUUAAAAUAUUGAACUUCUCUUUUUAGUUGUUGAUUACAUAAUUUGGAAGAUUUUUUUUGUCUAUGGGAUUUUAAUGAAAUAGUAAUAUAUUAUUAAUCAUGAUUUAGGUUUAAUUUAUUUAUCAAAUUAUAAUCUUAUUCAUAUAUAUCAAUUUAGAAUCACUCUCCUCGUAAAUUUUUCCAUUAAAAGCUUAACUACAAAUUGAACAUAAAACAAUUUGCGUACAAACUAUUUGUCCUAAGAACAAGUUCCUAACAAUGAACAAAUAUAAUUGCUCUCUCAAUUGUACAUAAUCAACUAAGCAAGUCUUCUUGAAAGUUUAAAUAGCCAUUACACCUUUAGUCAGUGUGAAUGUGUACUUCCUUAAGUUGUGCUUGAAUAAGUCUUCUAUAUGGACUAGAUAUUCAAGGAUUAGACUUCUAUAAGACAACAAGUGAAUCUAGUCUUCUCAUUCUUCAAGGAUAAAGACCUCAUCUUUGUACUUAAAAACUAGAACACUCAUCUCUAAAUUUUCCCCCUCAGAAUUUAAGUCGUCAACACAAUCUAUUUACUCUCAAAUGCUCUCAAAAAAAUAUGUUCCUCAAUGAAAACAAUAAAGUGCUAUUAAUGCUCUCCUACAAAAUGUAUACAAAUCUCUCACUACAUAGAAGUUUUUGAGGCUUGCUAACAUAUUAGUGAUCAAUUACAAUGCAACACCUUAAUAAUAGCAGUUAUAAAAUAGAAAAAGCAAUGUAAAGUGGACUAUUGGAGAUUCAUUCUUAAAAGAAGUCUUUAAUGCAAUCUCGACCCGUUCUCCACAAUCCAAUGAUUUCAAUUGUUUGAUCCGAACCAAUCCAAUCCCCAAUGAUAGUUGUUUUUAAAUAAAUUGGUGUUCAAAGUUGAGUUUCCAUAUAUCUAGAAUAUCAACAUAAUUCAAAGCUCAAAGAUUUUGCUUCAAUAAAUUGUCAACUCCGAAUCUAGAAAGUCACAAGUUGUCGCAUGGAUUAUGAAAGUGGUCACUUUUGAUUUCCACUUAGUAGGUCACUUCAAGAACUUACCUCAACAAAAGUUAUAUUUUAUAUUAAAAUUGUGUUUAUGUUAAAUAAUAAUUUUCUAAUAUAUAUGUCGAAACCAAUUUUUAAAUUUUGAAAAAUAGGGAUCGACUUUUGAAAAUAAAAUGGGAGUCGCCACUGAUCUUUUAUUAAGGUGUGAUCGGUUCACCAUUAAAAAUAAAUUUUAGGUCUGCGAGAUUUGAGAAAAUAGGUCCAGGAGUCGGUUACACACGAGGAAGGGUUAGCACCCUCGUGACGCCUCAAAAUUGGUACCGAAUUGAUUGUUUAAUGUCUUAGGGUCAAAAUUUUGAAAAGAUUUUGAAAUACUAUCCUUUUGACUCGAAUAAAUUGAAUUAAAUAAUAAGGCUCACUUCCUUCAAGGAAAUAAAUUGUCACACUCAGUAAGUUAGAGUGCAACAUUUUAAAUCCUCAAAAUUAAGUUUAUCUUUCGAUUUUUUUAAAAACCUACAUUUUAAUAAGGAUAUCUGAUUAUUUGGGUCAAAUGAGAAAAUCAGAACCUAGUAAGUUAGGGUUUGAUUUCACAAAAUUCCUAAACAUCGAAUAUUGCCUUUAUUUUUAUUUAGAAAAAUUCUCGUCUCGAGAGAACAACGUGUCAUAUCCAAUACGUUAGGACACAACGUGUCGAAUUCCCGAGAAUAAGCUUUUUAUUUAUGUCUUCAUUUAAAGGGAUAUUCUCGAUUAUUUAGAUUCAACGAGGAGAAUUGAAACCCAAUACGUUAGGGCUCCAUUCUUUCGAAGAUUCCAAAUCCGAACUUUGCGUUAUCUUGAAAGUUUUUGAAUAAAAUGAUUUUGAUAUUUAAACGAUACUAGACGUGACCUUUUAAACGAAUAAAGUGUGAUAUAGUGACAAUGUAUAAUGCAAAAGGAUAAUUCAAAAUUAAAAAAUACACUAAUGAAUAAUGAAUAAAUAAAUUUAAACAAGCAUAGUAAUAAUUAUUUCAAUCAUGCAUUAUACAAAUACCAAUAUAAAUAUUCAAAAAUUAAAUGGAUUAAAAUUCAAUUUUAAAAGAUAUACUAAAAAAUCAAUAGCCAGAGGAGAAAUUACAAUCAAUAAAUUAUGCAUACAAAAGUUUUAAAAUAAAUAAUAUAUAUAUAUGGGUAUUAAGGAUAUAUUAUAAAUAAAAUCAUAAAAAAGUGUGCAAACUAUGCUAGGCUCAUAAAAAUAUAUAUAUAUAUAUAAAAUAAUACAUUAUGAAAUUAAAUAAUAAUAUAUGGAAAACUUAAAAUAAUACUACAUAAUAAAAUAAUGUAUAUAAAAAGGUUAGGUAAAUUGAUAAAAAAAUAAUACUACUAAUAAUAAUAGUAAUAAUAAUAAUAUUAAACUGAAUAGUGAAAACGCAAAUACAAAAGGGACUAAUCUACAGUCGAAAUAGAAUUAACGGGCCACAAAUGAAGUUUAAAAGAAACGGAGGAUUAAUCUGCGAUUCGUGAAUAACGAGGGGGCCAGAUUGGAAAUUAUUCCAUCCCCCAAAACGCGGCGCAGUGACACGGACUCAAAUGAGACAACAUUAAAAUGCAGGGCAAAAUUUAAGAAAAAGAAAAGAGCCAAUUUGAAAUAGUCUGCAAAAUUGAGAGGACUAUUUGCGCAUCCAAACGGUGUCGUUUUUAAAGCUACUGAAGCAUGCUCUUAAACGGUGCCGUCUUCUUCACGAUAUAUAAGCUAAAUUAAAACCUAAACUAACAGCCUCCUAUCAUUUUUCUAAAAAACUAAAGAACCCUAAUGGUCCUCAACGCCGCUUAGUAACCAGGCCAUUCAAAGGCCUUUAAACCUUCGCCCAACUCCGAUUGCGGCGGAAUGGAAGAAGAUCCGGCCACCAGGUAAACUCUUUAACCGUUUCCCUUUUUUUUAUGCACGAUUAAUAAUAUCAAAACAGAAAAGAAAAAAAGAAACGAAAAGAGAGAAAGAACUAAAAAAGAACACCUUCUUUCAGAAAUUUUUUGAUUUUUUGUCUAUUGAUUCUGCUUCAGUGAAAAGAGAGAAAGAACUAAAAAAGAACACCUUCUUUCAGAAAUUUUUUGAUUUUUUGUCUAUUGAUUCUGCUUCAGUGUUUUUACAUUAGUUUCUCUGUAUCCCUUUUUUUACAAAUUUCUGUUUGGCUUUUAUAUAGCCUAAACAAUCGAAAAAAAAGAAAAAAAUAUCAAAAUCUAUUCUGUUAUUCUCCUUUUUGUUGCGUCCUUUUUUGCUUCUCUGCCCUUUGUUGUUUGUUUGUGUGCAGGUAUGGCUAGCUGUAGGAGAUGCACACGCGUAGAGGCGCAGCAUGCGCGGGGGAGGCCCUGGGUUCGACUGCGGCGCUGCUGGCUGCUGAAGGCUAGGGUUUCGGCGUUUGGGGAACACUUUGGGCUGUGUUGGGUUUGGGUAUUUUGGGCUAGAGUUCGGGUUUAGGUAUUGUAUUGGGUAUUAGAUUAAAAACGAUUUGGGCCAUGUUGGGCCCAUGUAUUUGGACUUUGGACUUUUAAAUGUUUAUUUGGUUUAUUAUUACGGGCCGGAAAAAUAUUGGGCCUUACAAUAUAAAUAAAAUUUUAUAAAAAAAGCGUUACUUAUAUUAAAAUUUUGUAGAAAAAUUAGUCAUAUUUUAUUAUCCAAAUAAAUAUAUUUAAUUAUAAAAAGAAUAUUAUUGAUUCAUAUCAAUUUAUAUAUAUAUAUAUUAAGAUAUUAUCAAAAUGAUAAAUUUAGUAACAAAAACAACUAUUGUAUGUGUGUACGAGGGUUUGAAAGUAAAGGGAUAUAGCACAAGGAAUGUUUUUAGCAAUUCAAGAUUCCUGCUCGAAUAAAAAUUAGGGGGUGUGGUGUGGUAUGGUACGCCAAUUUCACCGCUUCUUAUCUAAAUGGUGUGAUAACACACCAAUGAGUAUAUAUUCUUUACAUUCUAUCUCACCAUUGGUGUGAAACUUGUCUAAUUCUACAAUGGUCCAUUAUACAUGUCACCACUUUAAAGUAUAUUAGUUUGUGUCCAAGCCUGCUGCCACUUAUAUUUCUUAAGGGACGAAGGUUUUAUCUUUUAAUUUUGCUCACCAAAAACAAUAAUUGACAUGUCGAAAGGUCUAAUAAACCUACCUCUAUGGAAUGAAUUUACUAAAUAAUUUUGUAUCCAAUGAUUAAAAUCCUAACUAUUUAACACAAGGUAAAAGCAACCUCAUUCAUGUACAAUUAUUUACACUCACUCUACUCAAAGUGUGAGUAAGAAACCUCUCCGACCAAGGACAAACUACCCAAGAAAAAAUAUCCUACGAACAAAAUAAAGCAUUCAAACCUCAUACCUAAGUAAGCUAGUCGACAACUUUAAUUCAUAUAUAUAAUUCAAACUUAAAUGUCGACAACUUUAAUUCAUAUAUAUAAUUCAAACUUAAAUAACAUUUAUCUUAUCAGCUUGUAUGUUAAAUCUGAAUGAUCCUCAAUCGAUUAGUUAUUAAGCCCUAAUUAAAAUGGUGAUAAGUCCUUGUGAAAUUCAAACAUUUCAAAGUUUUCAAAAACAGUGACUUUCUUAUCAAAGAUUUUGUGCAAAUUUAUUUGGUUGUUUUUUUACAAUUAAACCUUAUAUUUGUUAUCUAUUUUGAAAUAAAAAACAUUUAAUAUAAAUAUAUAAUUUAAUAAAUAAAAAAAAUUUGUUGUUGUUGAAACCCAUAUUGCAACAUUAAAUCUAACCUUCACAUAAAUCAAAUUAAUGAGUUGAUUAAUUCAAACAAGAUGUACAGGGCAAAGCUAGAAAACCUUUUUAGGGGACGAAAUUAAAUUAUAAUUUUUAUGAUAGUAAAAAUACAAUUGUUAAAGAAUUAAAUAAAAAAUUUAUUAUUUUUAGGGAAGCCAAAGUGUAAUUUUAUCUUUAUCAAUUUAAAUUUUUUAAAACUUUAAAAGGCCAAAAUAGAAAUCUUUCUCCAUUUUUCAUUUUAAGGGGCCAGGAUCCCUGCCAACCCCCUAGAUUCGCCCCUAAAUAUGAGAUCCAUAUCUUAUGAUAACAUUCCGUAUUGUUAGUAAUACUAUCAUAGUCACAAAUUAUUAUGAUUUUGAAAUAAUUUAUUUCUUUUUAAAUAAAAUUCCCUCGUAGGAUAAUGAUAUCAGUGUUUAUUAAGUCAUAAGACAUUGGGUAAUGAAAUGAAAUGGAAAAAAUGAAAGAAAAUGAUUUAAUUAAAUAAAAACAAGGUGUAGCGCAACAAAAUAUGCAUGGUUUUCCAGAAUCAUCGGAAAUGGACGUGAACUAGGAAGCCGUGCUUUGCGUUGAAGCAUUGCCCUAUUUUUGGCCAAAUUGAAGGCUUUAUAAACCUCUCCCACUCCUCCUCCGUAAUUGUGCGGGUAUAAAUUUUCCAUUCAUAUAACCAACCCUUAGAGAACAACAUCACCCCAUUUCUUUUUAAUUACUGCUUCUUGUUCUCUUCCUUCUCACGUACCCCACCAAUAUCAAUAAUGGCACGCCAAAGCUUUGUUCUUGCUUUGGUCUUUAUAGCUCUUGUCGGGUUGGUUUCCGCCGCCAAUACAGCUUCUAAAGCACCAUCUGCAGUCCCAGUACCCGAUGAUGAUACCAUCGGCAACACUGAUGAUGGAGCAGGUGCAUCCUCCCCCGGUGCUUCUAAUGACGCUGUUGCUGCCCCUCUUGGCAGUGAGCAGGAAGCUAAAAGCAUGGCUCCUGCUCCUUCUAGUGAUGCAACCACCACAGGUGUCUCUGCCGUUGGGGCGGCUGCUCUCACUGGGGCAGCUGCCAUUGCUACCUACUUCGUCUUCUAAAUUAGCUUCGUCUCAAUCCAAGUAGUAAACCUCGAAAAAGGGUCUUAUUAACCAUAAUUUGUACGUCUACUUUAAUUUCAUAGUCUGGUAAAAUUGAGGUUUGCAAAGGCAGCUGCUUGUAUUUGUUUAUGAAUAAAACUAAUGAAUAUAUAUACAUAAAUAGGGAACUUAAAUGAAAUUUUGGAUUUCAAAAAUAAGGUUCACAUUUUUCAUUUAAAAUAUAGUAAAAUAAUAAUAAUUGAUUAGUCCAUGUAAUAUUCGUUACCAUAAGCAUAAAAUCUCAAUCCCCUUUAUAAUCUAUAUAAAAUAUGACAUUUUUAUUAAGAAACAAGCACUAGUUAUAAAAUAAUAAGCCCUACUUUGGUUAACAAUUCAAGCAAAAGCAUUGGGGUUAGAAACAGCAAAUCGAAAGUAGAAAUAAUUAAAUCUUUGGUUUUUAACAAGUGUUCCUCGUUUUAGGGUCCAGUAAAGCUCAAAAACCAAUCAUGGCUCCCUUAGAUAGUGUUUUUGAGCUUUUGAUUUCAUGACAAACACAUUCACCAAUAUAAUAAUGUUUCUUAGCAUGCAACAAAGACAAUAAACUUGGAAAAUGGGAAGGAUAUAAAUCCCAUAUUCAGAAAAGGAUGAAAACAUCAUUAUUGUACCUAGUCUGCACAUUGACUGCUUCGCACAGUACACAUAUACCAUAUUUGCUAACAUCUCGAUUAAUAUUAUUAUACCAAACGAAGGACUAAUAUCAAUUACAAGAAUGUCAGAAAAUAAAUUUCUUAGAUCAAAAUUACUACUCCAAUUUUGCUUUAUAACAGAAAAUGUACCUAAACUUUGUAAAAUCUCUAUCACAUCCCUAAGUAAGCUAAACAUUGUAAAUGGAAUUCAGCUCCUCAGAUUUAUAUCUGAUAUUCCUAGGCGACUGUGAGGACCCUUUUUAACUCCAAAUUAAAAAAUGAACUUCUCUUUCUUAACCACUGCAAUUGAGACUGGUUACCAUGUUUUAUACCACCUCUUACAGCAAAUACACACAAGCACCAAGCAAAGCCGGAAUGAGGGAAUUAACUUGAUGUGCAAGAUGAAAGUGGAAAUAGCAAGUUACGCACUUGAGCAUUAUCAGAUAAUGCUUUUUCAAUAAUCAGCUGACAAACAGAUAUUUUCCUCAAUACAUACCCUUAAAAACAGGAUUUGUACGGCAAAUGCUGGCUCCAUAUUCCUCAUAUUCCGCUUUUGUGUGACAUGCCUGCAUAUAGGGAAGGUUAGGAGACUUUCAGCCAAAAUCCAAAAUUUAGUGUUUUAACAAUUAAGUUUGAUGAAAUAACACAAUACUAAUGGCAAGCAUAUUGGACAAUUAACAAGCCGACCAAACAAGAACACCGGCCAAGUAUAAUGGCUAAAUUCAAAGCCAUUCAGCAGCCUAUAUAGAAAUAAGAGACUACGAUGACUUUAGGAGCAAGGAUCAUACCGCAAAAAAUUCAGGCGUUGAUGCAAGUACAGAACCUCCAAACCAUACCGCAAAUCUUUGGAUAGGAUGACUAACUACAUUAACUUCCACAGGAUGUGCCUGGAAGGUGAAGGCCCAGAAGAGAUUAUAGCUGUUUAAAAUAAAAAAAGGAUUAAAAUACAAGCAAAAAUAUCCUUACUUUUACUUCCCCACCAAGCCGAGUAUCAGACGCAAGUACUCGAGCAUCAACAAUCUUUUUCAGAUCCCGCUGCAACCUUCUGUGGAAGUCUUUGAACAUGGUGGAUCCACCAGAUAAAACUAUAUUCUGAAAAGUAUUUAAAUAGUGAAAAAAGAGUGGCAACUAAAAGUACUUAUAGAAAAAUAUGGCAAAAAGGCAAAAAAUUCCCUUUUCUCAAUUCAGUCAUCAGUCUUAUGUAUUUAACUGCAAGCUUUGUUUGCUUAGUAAUUAUCAACAAUUUAACCAACAACUGUCACAAGCCAUUAUCAUUAUAUUGGAACUAGGCUAAGAACUCUUUUUGGUAAAAGAGUAGGAACCAAACAGCUAAGACUUUAAAUAUAAAGAUCAGUAUCAGAACGGAUCUGAGAAAACAAAUUCUAAUCAGCAAACAAAUAAAGCAAGACACUGAUUCAAGAGUUUAAAGUAAAAUAAUCACUUUUCAAAAUAAAGUAAAUCACAUUUCAAGAACAUCAUCCUACAAAAGUUAAACUCAAAACAGCCUGUUCUAUCAAGAAGUAAAGAGCAUGACAUAAUACUUUCUUACUGUUUCAUUUAGAUUUAUCUUCCCUAAGAACCAAAAUUUGCAAUCUGCUUGUCUUUUUCUAGAGGGCAUAUGCAUACUUAACCUUAUACAAAGCUCUUCUGGUGUCAAUUGGUGCUGACUGAAUGCACUUAUCUAUUACAACUGGUAAGGGAGUAGUAAAAUCACUGCUGUAGAUCUCAGGACUAAAGAAAACCUGACAAACCCACCAAUACAGUAACAUCAGCAAAAAGACUCAAGAAGCAAUUUAUAAGCAGCAAGUUAAUCAACUUCUUAUUUCUUGAACAGCAUGUAUUAUCAACUAGUUGCAUCACCAAAGUAGGAAAAAAAAAAAAGACAAAGCAUUCAAUUAAGAAAUCUAACCAGACAAAGCAUUCAAUUAAGAAAUCUAACCAGCAGUGAAAAAGCAAAAAAGAACCUGUAUUCUGACCUCCAUAAGAUACAAUUAUGUUUCUGUUGAUGGAAAUCAACAUAUAACAAGAAAAAAAAAAUUGUUGUAGUUGGUUUACACACCAACAUAUUGUCAGCAAUAUCACAGCUAGGACAUACAUGCUUCUAUAUAAAGAGAGAUUUUUAGGAUAGGUAGAUCAGAAAAAGGAGCAGGAGGAAUCUGCUUUUUAACAAAUAAAGUGUUGACAUGAAAUGACAGCUACAAGGCGACCAAACCCCUAGAGCAUAGAGAAUAUAGCUUAAUUAUUGACACUAAGGAAAAGGAUGAUAAAACAUUAUAAAACAUUAUAACUAAAUCUGAUGAACACGGAAAACCAUUGCUUGCUUGCUUGCUAUAGUUUGAGAUGUAUAUGUGUGUAUAAUAUAUUUAUAGUAGUAGAAUCUUCAUAAGGCAGCCAAGAGUCCAGCCAUUUGAAAGAGUUAGCUAACCAGGUGCUUAACUUGGCCCACAAGGACAUGUUACUCUAGCAGUAGUUAUCCUAGACCAACCCCAACCACAAAAAUACAUAAUAAAUAUGGAAAAAAUGCCAAAACUUCCAGUAAUCUUAAACUUGAGGAAUGAGUUAAAAAGGAGAAAAAGAGGACAAACCUCAGGGCCUAAAAACCGUUCAUAACCAAUAUCACAGGAGUACGGUGCUCCAGUCUUCGGUCUAAUGCCUCUCCAAUGUUUGAUAUAUUUUCCAGGUUCUUUGUCAUGCUUGUUGAACUCCUACAGUAGUGAUUAUCAAAUUACCAUUGCAAUGUCAGAACUUGUAAACUGCAUUACAGUAUCUCAAGCUGGGUAAAAAUACUGUGGCCAAGGGUCGUGCCAGAAAAUUUUCCAAAAUCACAAUCCAAAGAAAUAGAAGAUGACCUUGACCACAUCAGAACAUGUAUAGCAGUACAUUUCCUUCACUUUUCGAGCUGCUUCAAAUGAGUCCUCCGGUGGAAUUUUCUCUCCUCUUUCCUGUGAAUAAUGGUGUCAAAAGGCAUGAUUCAAGAAUAUUAUAUAUAAAUUAUUUUACAAUCUCCAUAUCGACAAUUCAAACACGCACAUGAUAACUACUAGAAGAGGCAACAUUUAAAGUCUAGCAUUUCUUCAAAUGGUAAUAAAAUGCAAAAGGUCAUUCAGGUAGCAAUCAGAAGGACGAAUGAUGGUGAUGAUACUGUCACAAACCGGGACUGGGUACUUGAAAGCAUGGUAUCUAAAAGGAAAGUGCUUAAGUAAAAUCCAUCCAUAGGUAAGGAUGAAUAGCACUAAUGAGCGUGGAUAACUUCUCAUCAGGACAUAUAAAUAACUUGAAGUACUAGAAAUUUUGAAUAAGCAACUAUCCAUAUCAAAGCACUAUAACAACAAGAAGCAGAAAUUACAUUUUUAUUAAUGGUUAGAGAGUCGAGAAAAGAAAAUACCCGCAUGAGCUGUUGUAUGAAGAGUGUAACAUCUUUUCCAGCUAUCGGUACUGAUUUAAUGCUGCUCCCAAUAACAUAACCAUCAGCAACAGGUACAAUAUGUGUGGCCCCAUCUCCAACAUCCACCACCACUCCUGUCAUCUCACACUACAGAAAACUGUAGGUUAAUCUAAAUGAAAGCAAUUAAUAUAUAAGGAUGAUUAGCAAGAAAAUCUGUGAAAAAUAAUGUAGGUAUACAGCUAAGUUCAAGAUAGACAUGUUCUUUAAACUCCACCACCAUAUGUCUCCAAAACACCCAAUGAUAUAUGCUAAUAUGAAAAGCAACAGGUAUAUGGCUUCGUCACAAAUCCCUCUAGUAAUUAAAAAUAAAAAGAAUAAACAAAUCUUAACACAUGAAAACAGUAUAUGGCAAGCACAUGUGCAUUUAUGUAUAAUCAAAUACAAAAGUACAAAUAUUUGAUGAAGUUAGCAAAGACUUUUAAGCUUAUAACAACCACCUUAAAGCUUAAUGUAAUUUAAAUAUGAAGAUUGGAUAAAUAUAUACUAAUCUUUUGUAGUUGCUAGAAAACGCCAUUGGUUACAAAAUACUCCAACAGUGUCUAUUCAUAGCACAUCGUCAUAUUAUGACACCCUAGAUCACCUAUUCUAUUGAGAACUUAAAACAAUAGUUCAAGAGAAAGGUGGUUCAGCCAUUUUCGGGGGCAGUAAUAAUUAAUAUUGUCAAUCAGUAAAUGGCUUUAAAUCAAAUUGAUAGGUGACCAUCCUAAAACCAACAUUCACACAUAGAGUUAAAAGGUUUAGUUUAUUAAAAUAAAUAAUAAUGAUCAUGAAGUAUCAAGGACCCAAACUGAUCCAUCUAACAUACAACUAAGUAACUAACCAAAACAGAGAAUACCCUAAAAGAACAAAUACUUCAGGAAAUUAGCCACCAACCUUAGACGUAGUGUACCCAGCUGCUAAAGCAAGCACGGAAUUCACAGCAAUAUAAAGCCCCGGAACAUUAAACGUCUCAAACAUAAUUUCACCUGUAUAUUCUCGAUUCUCAGGAGCAGUAAGAGGACUCUCAGUCAACAAAAAGUAAUGAUCCUCAGGAUCACACCGUAAAUAAUUGAAUAUACAUUGCUGCCAAUACCGUUCCAUAGCAUCCCAGUUAUAAACUUGACCAUUUCUAAUAGGAUAUGUAAGGUUAUAAGCAUUACUCGAUCUUGAUUUCGUCAGUGCUUCAUCUCCAAUGAAAAAAUCAAGAUCCGCCAUUACCCCAGCUGAAUACUGAGCUGACCAAUUUGACUUGGAAGAAGUUCUAGAUUGAUUUAGGAACGACUCGUUAACAGCUACUACUGUUGGCUGAAUAAAACACGGUUCUACAUUACCCGCAAAUCCCAUCUUAGUAUAUCUGCAAAAAGACCGAUUCGAGGGGAUGGGGGAACAAUUCAAAAACGAAGUCUGAAAUAAAAUAUUAACUGGGGAAUUUUAUCGAACAGGUUCUGAGCAGUCAACAUAGAGCUAUAACGAGUUAAGUAAGGAGAGGAAAAAACCUACCCAGUACCGUUGUCAAUGACGACAGCGGGGCGAGAAGUUGGGUCCAUCGAGAAUCAAAACGGAAGCAGGCAAUUGGUUGGGUGUUGUCGUGGAUCUGCGAGCGAGAUCCAAAAGAGAGUAGGGGGCAAGAGAUCAUGGUCAUGAAGCGCGCUUGAAGAAGCGCAAAUAAGGAGAAGCAAGCUCCCCCCGAUGGCAGUACUGAGUCGAUACCAACAGCAAACUUGGAUCCCCAACCAAAAGCAAGUGACGUUUCAACGGUAUAGCUUCUUGAAACAAGAGUUGUUGGUUAGGCGAUAUCCCAAACUCAAGUAAGACUAACCAUUUCAAAACUGAAUUCUCAUCGAGUUUAUCAAUCAAAGACUCCAAAUUCCUUCUUCUUUGUUCUUUCUCUUGAUUGAUACUUUUCUUAGCAAUCAAACAAUAGAAAGAAAGACAACGCACCAACCUUUCUUUCUUUUCUUUUAGUUUCUUUUUUAUUCCUUCCUUGUUUUAUGCUCGGAGAGGUACGGCUUCGUCAAUUUUGACUGAGUGGGUAACAUUGUCGUGACAGUCUGUAAAUGGAUAAAACUAAAACUUCACCACUUAAAAUAUUUAUUUUUUUCCAAAAUUUUAGAAUGAAUUUUUUGAUGUUUCAACUUUAAUUUUUCAUUGAAAUUCGAAAAUAGAAUUAAAUAAAUUAAUUGAUUAUUGUAAAUUCGUAAGCUAUUGAAAUUAAAUAUAUUUUUCUUUAUAUGAAAUUAAAAUUGGAUUUAGAAUAUUAUUUAAUUAAAAAAUUUAUUUAUUUAAAUUAAUUUAAUAAACAAUAUUUAUUUUAAGAAAUAAAAAAUAUGUAUUAAGUUAGAUUAAAUUAUAAAGUGCUGCUCUCUUAGUAGAAGUAGAGAAUUUGUUUCCCUAUAAAUAAGUAUUAUUUGUAUUCUAUUAAUUCAACGCUAAAUAUAUACAAGUUCUAUGCAAUUUUGAGAUAUUGUUAUUCUAUCCAAAAAUAAUGAUAAUUUAUUUUCUAAAUAUAAUGUCUAUUUUUCAAUAAUAAUAAUUCUAACGAUUUCUAUAAAGAGAAGUAAGAAAAUUAUUUCUAGUUUUGAUUUGUGAUUGUUUGAGCCCACACUCGAAGUAAUUCGUGGUGCAAGAAUAAUAGAGAAAGUGGUUCGAUUGAAAGUCAAGAACAUCAAGAAUUCAUUUCACACAAAGCACAUGUAUUUUUUUUUUAAAAAUUACUAUAAAUAUAAAAAAAACCGGCUCAAUUUUCAAAUUUUUAUUUUUCCACUAUCACAAAACCUUUUUCAAACCAACAUUUUGCCAACAGCUACCAUUUGCCCAUUAUUGUUAGCAGUUAAAGUAAGCUGCUAUCAUUUUAACAUACAUUCGUGCAUUCAACAAAAGGCAAUUGCUAACAUGAUGGCAAACAGACGUCCCUUUUUGGGAGGAAAUUGCUCCAAACACCCUCCAACGGCUCUAAACUUAUUAAAGGGUAUAAAUAUGGAUCAGUGACACGAAAAUAAUGACAAGAAACAAGUUUAUAAAGAUGGAGAGCAAAAAUUCAAUCUUUUCAUUUUAUUAUACUUAUCUUUCACUUUAUAAACACUUUAGGCUUAUUUUCUUUUCAUUCCUGAUUUAUAUUUGUAAGAGCUUAAUUACAGUAUAUCAACCUUCUGGAGGUAUUCAUUCAUCUCAAUUAAUGAGGUAUUAAAAGGAAGUGGUUUUAUCAUACCUAUUGAAAAGAUAUUGUAAAUAUUAUUAAAUAAAUUUCUCAACUCAUAUAUGGAAAAAGAAAUGCUACAAAUUAGAAUAUAAAAAUUAAAUGAUUAAUAUAUACUAUAAGUUACUGUACUUUUCAUAAAUUUGGAAUUUAGUCCUUUUACCUUUUAGAUUUCAAAAUUCUGGUCCAAUUAUUAACACUGUUAAAUUUGUUAAUAUGACAUUUUAAAAUAAGAAAAUUCUCAUUUGAUAACCAUUUAAUUAGAAAAUGAUGUGUUAUUAAUCUGAAUUUAACAAAAUAAUUUUAACAGUGUUAACAAUUGGACCUAAAUUUAGAAAUCUGAAAAGUAGGACUAAAUUCCUAAAAGCAAAAGUAUAGAAAUUAAAUUCUAAAUUUGUAAAGAGUAGAAGGACUUAUGGCAUAGUUUAACCAAAUUAAAUCUUCAUCGUAUACAACACAAGCAGAAUUUAACGUUAAACCAACCCGGUUGAAUAAUUGGGGGUUAAAUUCUACUUGAUCCCUAUACUUGGCAAGACAUGUGGAUUUAAUUUCUUUAUUUUAAUUUGGUCAUUUUAGCCUCUGUAUUUUUCAAUUUUAAAAAUUUUAGUCCUUAUCAAACUAUAAUUGUUACAUUCAAUAAGUUAUGUUAUUUCCAAAAUAUGAUGCGUCAAACAUAUUAUCAUAUGUGUAAUUCCAUGUCAAUUUAUUAUUUCUACAUAUUGCUCACUAGAAAUCCAGUUAAUGGAUUAAAGACUAUCAUUUUUUUAAGAUUAAAAGUUGAAAAAUUAAAAAGGAUAAAUUCUUAAAAUGAUUCAAUUAGAGAAUAUGAACAAAAUCUAUAAUUAUACAUAUAGUAUAAAACUAGUAAUUGAAUUUAACUAAAUAAAUUUAAGUUUUACUGUUUUGGUCAUGACUAAAACUUCAAAAUUUGAAAACUACAGGUACUAAAUUGACCAAUUUGAAAAGUAAAGGGACUAAAAUUGAGCAAAUUAAGGAAAGGACUAAGUCUUCAAUUUUUAAAAAGUAAAGGGAGUAAUAGAAAACUUUAGCCAAUAAUUGGGAGUGACCGUUGUAGUGGGGGGUAGAAACAGUGUUGAUGUCGGGGAAUAUAGAAUGACGUGGAUUCAACGUUAGUUGGAUUUUAACAAUGUCAGUGCAUGAUUUGGCUUCAUCUCCUUUUAUGGAAAUUUGCGACUUUUCUUUAAUUCAACCAAGAUUGGGCACACACUUUUUCUUUUUUUUUUGUUAUUAUAUUACUGUUUUUAUGAUUAUUAAAAAACCAGCCUACCAUUGACUGCUACUUCAUUAAAAAGUAAUUUACCGCAAGAUUAAAAGUGAAAAAAAAAACACUUAUUUCAUCAUUUAUUUAUUAAUAAAUUGUUGGAAACCACUAAAUCACAAAAUCUUGCUUCCUAACAUCACAAAACGUGAUCUAUACGAAGGACAUGACAAAAUCUGAUUUAAUCAAAUAAAGAUCUUUGAGUUAUGGUUGAGUUAAGAUUAAUACUUAUGGGUCCGCAAGUAUGAUCGAUAAUUGGUCGACAACUAAAGGAGAUAUACGAGACUCGUUGGGAAAUUGGAAAGAAGGCUUCAAAAAACAUUUAGGUAGAUGUUCUAUUCUCAAUGUUGAAUGAUAGGCUAUACUUUGUGGACUUUAGGUUGUUAAACUACGAGAUUAUAGGAAAGUAAUUGUGAAAGGUGAUUGUUUAAAAGCAAUGAAGUGCCUUACGAAUAAAUCUGGGGAAUGUAACUUGAUGACUAUUGAGUAAUAUUUUUCUACGUCUUAUUAAUAGGAACGUUGGGGUAUUUAUACAUGUGGUUAUAGGUACUAUUACAACUCAUAGCAAGGCCCCAUUACUUUGUCUUGAUUCUAUUGCCUCCGGUACUAACAUUUCUUGUCCUUAGUAUUGACAUUCUCUACGAACUUCAGGCUUGUUGGACACGUGUUUACGGAGCACGCGGUCCUUUCUGUCCUUGGGACUAAUAUCCUAAGCGGGCUUCGUACCUAUUGGACACGUGUUUGGGUGGCCUGUGGGGCACGCGAUCCUUUCUGCAUACUUCUUGGGUGCGUGCGAAUUGAGACCGUUGCAUUUCCUAGGUUUUUGUGAGCUCAAUCUGUGACCCGUGCUCAUGGACUCCCUUUUGCUAGCCAUGUCCUCGAGCUCUCAUUGCAAGCUAUAUCUGCGAACCCGUCUCGCUAUCUUCUCGUGAUUUACCUUACACUUAUUCUUCGAGUAAGAUCUAUCAAGGUCACGAGUCAGAAACCCAGAUCCUUUCUAAGGCUCGGGUCAAUGGCUACUGAUGUACAACAAUCUAAUCCCCCUUAGUGGGCCUAAAGGGUGUUAUAAAGUGGCGCUCCUUAAGUCCAUCGUGUCAAACUUAAAUGCAGAUUGAUGGGCACCCUGCAAGCUGUGAUACACAAUGGUUGUUUUGCCUCGUGCACGUGCAAGUAUCGAGUGUGUGUAUCUGACCGUUAAGAGUUGAAGUGUUUCUAUUUGCUCGCUUCUGGGUCGUCAAUCUUCCUAGGUCAUGUGAACCGUCAAGAAGCAGGAAAGGAAAUCCUUUUUUAAAAAAAAGACCUUCGGUGCCCUAAUUCCCAAAAACACUUGCUACUAUGUUUAUGUUUUUGUUAUCAAUAGUAUGGUAAGGAUGAGAGGAACUGGUAACUGCAUCGUCUCAGCCCGUCUAUCACAGGAACGACCGUCUCCAACUCUGGUGAUGGAGAAAUCCUUUAUUUGUACCACUAAACUAGAUGACUUGGAAUGAGUCUUGGCGUGCAGGGAAUAAAACUCUCAAACAUUGUGUAUGAGUUCUCCUUUCCAGAAAGGUCACAUCGGCUGUAUAAGACCAUUGAAGAUAGCUUACUGUUUCUGAUGCAUGCGCUUGAGGCUGGGUUUUAUUUACCACUGCACCCUUUUCUUCUACAGCCUUCUGGAUGACUACAACAUUGCUCCUAGCAAACUCUCGAGCUUUUUUUGGUGGCUCGCUAUGGUGUACUUCCUUGAUUGUAGUCAGCGUAGUGAGGUACCUAUGCUCGCUGUUUUCCAGCAUUUGUACCAGUUGAAAGGCCGUGAUUUGGAGAAUUCGUCGGGGUUCUACUUUUCCCCUCACAAGAAUGUUCAAACAAUCAUUCGAAACCACUGUUCCAACCUUCGCUUGACUCAGGGAAAGUACGUUCGAGUUCGCAAUAGGCUUGGCGAGGACUUCGAGUUUCCUAUAAAAUGGUCAUCACCUAAUUAGGACAUGUGGGCAUUUCAAAAAAGCCUUGCUAUAGAUGAAGCUGUUGCCCAGUUUUGAAGGCUUCGUGUUGGUUGCAUGUUGAUUUUGGAGACUCUCAUCACAAUGAGAAAUGUCUUCAGAUAUUGUUCGGAGGGUUUUAGCCCUAAUGGAUGGAGGCCUAGUAACAAUCAAGAGGUCGCUCAGUCAAACGGUGCAUUGUCUGAGGGUGUUACUUGGCCUUAUGACUCAUUCGAUUAGUUGGGUCAGAUACUACUAGGUUAUAUGUCGAAGCCAUUUAACUUAUUCUAUCAUUUCUGCUAGAUGAAGCUUCAUCCAUUUGCUCUUGCUGAGUUUGCACAAUGGGGGUUGUUGGGUCAGAUAUUAAUUUAUUAACUGCUCCCACUGAUCACAGGGUUAUUAUUGAUGUAAGAAUCGAUCAAAUCUCCAAGGACAUUUCAAGUGGGACUGAUAGCACAUCUCGUGAGCUCAAUAAGGCUAUGGAUAUUGUAUCAUUGAUCAGUGAGGUGCGUAAGAAGCACAAGACCACCACGGGGGCUAUGCGUAUUGGCUUGUGAGUGAGGAGGAGGGGAAUAGCGCACAGCUGGAGCAUCGCAAUAAAAUGAGAGUAGAUUCUAUUUAGGUUGCUGCUAUUGUUGCUAGAGCCUUAAGUCAUUCUAGUUUUCUACCUGUAAGCUUACCAUCUGCUCCCCUUGCUAGUUCGUCGAUCAUUGUUGAUGAGGAUACCCCUCCGCCUAUUACUCGUGUUUCUCUUUCUGUGCCCGUCGUUAGAGAAAUGCCAAUCGGGGGAUACUGGAGGUUUACUUACUUGGCGUGUGGACUCGAGUGUACCGGGGUACCCUUAUAACCCUGAUGUCGCAGCCCUCGGAUGGCAGACUUCAGUGCUAGAGGCUGCUAGACUAAACAACGCACAACUACCCCCAACGUCAAGCCUGUCUCCUCUCUGUAAUUCUUUCUUUCUGAGGCCAAUAUGAUUGGAUUGAGGUAUGAUGAGGCCGGUCAGAAGAGCUUGUGGAUACUAAGGUAGAGUUGGCGAGAGUGUGCGAGCAGUAUCGUAAGAUGAUAGAGGAAAAUAAGAUUAUCAUCAAGUAAAAUGAAUAUCUCAUGGAGUGUUUGGCAAUCGUCGAGACUAAAGAAAAGGGGUUAGAGCGUGAGAAGGUUGCUGAAAGGGAAAGCAAAUAAGCUUUGCAAGCUGAGUUGAACAUGCUUACAGAAGAGCACGCAGCCGAAACGGAUAGGAUUAUCUGGGAGUGCCAAGAUCAAGUGGCUAGUACGAUUAGGGAACAACUUCGGGUCUUGGAAGAUUUUAAGAAAAAGACAGCUUCGAUGUGCUAUGUCUUUCGGGUGUUUGGUCAAAUGGUUUAAGGCGCCAAAUUUAGGCUCUGUUCCAAAAGGGCGUAGGUUCAAAUCCAAAGGAACGAAAGCUCUCCAAUAAACUACAUUGUCAAAGUUUUUCGGUCUGUUGGCAAACCAUUCGGUGAACAAAUCUGUUUCGUCGUGUUAGGCACCAAAACCUAACACUCUAGCCUGUCCUGAUGAUGAGUUGAUAGGGGGAUUUUUACUAGGGUGAGCUAUUUGUUUCCAGAAACGAAGAAACUUAAUCAAACUCAAAAAAAUCUGAUGAUCGGAAGUCUGUCUACGCUCACCACACCAAUUGUUAAGUAAUAUUUUUUUGUCUUAUUGAUAGGAACGUUUGGGUAUUUACACAUGUGGUUACAGGUACUAUUACAGCUCAUAGUAGGGUCCUACUACUUUGUCUUGAUUCUAUUGCCUCAGGUACUGACAUUCUUUGCGAACUGUAGGCCUACUAGACACGUGUCUACGGAGCACGUGGUUCAUUCUGUUCCUAGGAUUGAUAUCCUGAGCGGGCUCCGUACCUGUUGGACACGUGUCUAGGUGGCCUAUAGGGCAUGCGGUCCUUUUUACAUACUCCUUAAGUGCGUACGAACUAAGACCGUGGCCUUCCCUGGGUUCCUGCGAGCUUGAUUUACGACCAGUGCUCGCGGACCCCCUUUUAUUAAAUGAGAGAGAGAGAUCUACCAGGGAAAAUAAUACUAUAUAUGUAAGAUAUAGAAGGGGAGUGAAUGCUUUCUUUUUUGCCACUUUUUCAUCAGUGAGUUGUUAAUGAACCUAUCUCAUUCGUUGACUUUACGUGAUCUAAUCUUUCUAUUAAGCAUGCCUUUCAUUAUAUUAUAAAGUAGGGGCGCAUGAAUCUAUUCUUUAUUUUUUUAUUCAUGUAAAUAGAAAAAGUUUUCUUGCACCAUAUCAUGAGGUAUGAUACUAUUUGAGAGUAUGGUGUCAGAUACAAGCACCAUAGAUAGCUCAUGAACUCUUUAAUUUUAGACAUUCAAGACUUCAAAAUAUGGUUGAAAAGAUAUUUGUUAUUUUAAAAAAUAUUUCUCAUAUUAACAACAUCACAUUAGUAUAACAUAAAAAACAAGGUUGAAUCGUAAGUGGAAUUGAAAUGAUUCAUACUUCAAAGAGUACAUGAAGAAAGUAAUCUUGAUAAUUUUAAUGAUGCAGAUUCAAAUCCAAAUGAUAAUGAUCUUGAUCAAAGACCAACAAAUGAUGAUAAUUAGCAUAUAUUAAAUAUUAAAGAGGGAUGCACUAGAACAAUUAAAUAAAACUGCAUAUGAUGUUUAUUUUUUAGUUUUCUUUUUAUUAGUAAUGGUAUUAUCAACUACUUUUUUAUAGACAUAAUACAUAUAAUGAUUUGAUUUUAAUUUUUAUUACUUGUUUAGAAAUUAUUUUUAUCAUACUAAUAAUUUUUAUAGUAAUUAAUAUUUUUUAAAAAAUAAAUUAUGUAACUCUGUAAUUACAAUUCGUAGUCCAAACAUGACAUAAGAAAUUAUAAUAUAAUUACAUUCUGUGUCAAAUACGUCUAGAAAAUUACAAUUUUUUAUAAUUACAAGAAAGUCUAAAUUACAUUUAUUAUCUAAGAUCCUAAAUAAAAAUAAAAUAGAAAGUCAUGCACAACAAAACAUAAUUAUUGACCGAUAAGUUUAAAAUUUUCUUGUGUCUUUAAUAGAUUAGCAUAAAUCACUAGCUCCACUACGUUUAAAGAUAGAUAUAUACGGUCAAUUUUAUAUUUAUAAUAUAGUUAUUUGAAUUUUUUAAUAAUUUUAUUAAGGGAAAUGUUAUGUGCCCAAAACAUUUUGUUUAAAAUUUAUCCAAAGCUUAUAAAAUUACAUGGAUAUUCUUAUUAAUAAAAUUUAGGAUCCACAUAAUUAUUUAACAUGGACAACUAUUUGCUGAUAUUUAUUUUUGUAAAAAAAUUUAAAAAAUUUAUUAUUUUUUUAAAAUUUGAACCGAUAUGGUCCACAUCAACAUUUGCCAUUGACAUGGAGUGCCACAUCGGUGUCAUUAAUGGCCACAUCAACACUAUAAUGGUCAAAGACGAAAAAUGCUAGUCAAAGGAUUUAAUUAAUGCAAUCUAAAAGUUUAAGGGCUUAAUUGAAUGCAUUUUUUUUUUGCAAAAAAACGGGUUUUUUACACAAAUAGUAUAGAAAAAAAUACUGAAAUAAGAUGUCAGAAAAAAAUUUACCAAAAUAGGUUACUUUUUCAUUAGAGCCUAUUAGAUAGGCGCCAAUGAAUAAAAUAAUAAUAAUUUUUUUGAAUAAAAUAUAAUUUUAUACUUUUUUUAAUAUUUUUUUUAAAAAAUACGGGUCAAAAUACGGUCGGGUCGGGUGGCGCCUGUCUAGUAGGCGCCAAUGAAGGAGCCUCAUGGAGAGGCGCCAAUGGUGCCCUCUGUCCACCGUUGCAGCCCCUGCAUGCUGCUGCAUGUGUUGUCCAUUCAUGUUUUUUUUCUUUUGCCUAUAAGUAAUUGCAAAUGGUCCCAACGCCACACGGUAGAGUAAAAAAAGAGAGAAAGGAGAAUAAGAGAAGGAGAAGAAGAAGAAGAAAGAAAAAAAAAAGGUAAUGUAUUUUUUUAAUAAAUAAUUUUGUUUAUAAUUUAAAAGUUUAUAGUUUGUGAAUUUUUUAGGAUAUAUUUUAGAAGAUACUGUGAUUUUUUGUUAUUAUUAAUUAUAAAUUAUCUAUAUUUAGUGUUUAGUUUAGAUUAGAAUUUUGUAUGAAUAUUUUAACUUUUUUGUAUGAAUAUUAUAAUUUUUUAUGAAUAUUGUAAUGUUGUAUGAAUAUUGUAAUUAUUUUAUAAUUAAAUUUGUAUUUAUAGUUUUGGAUUAGUAAUUUUUUGUCUGAAUAUUGUAAUUUUGUCUGAAUAUUAUAAUUUUUUUGUAUGAAUAUUGUAAUAUUAUAGUUUUGUAUGAACAUUGCAAUUUUUUGUAUGAAUAUUGUAAUUUUGUAUGAAUAUUAUAUUUUUUUUGUAUGAAUCUUGUAUAUAAUUUUGUAUGCCUCUUGCAGUUUUUUUGUAUGAAUAUGUGUAAUUUGUAUGAAUCUUGUAAGGUGGGGAUAUUGUAAUAUUGUAAUUUUUUGUAUGAUAUGUAAUUCUUUUAUAAUUAAUUUGUUAGUAAUUUGGGAUUGUUAUUUUUGUGUUUGUCCUUCUUUAAUUUAAUUUAUUAGUCCUUUCGGCUUCCGCUAUAAGUUGUUGUGUUUAGUUUCGUAUUUGGUGGUUUAACAUAUAAAGUUUAUAAAAAAUUAAAAUCAUUUCAUUAAAAGUUUAAUUAUAAAAAAAUUAAAAAUCAUUUUAUUAAAAGUUUAAUUAUAACUGACUUUUUUAAUCAUAUAGUUGUUGUUAACUCAUUUAAGUUUUAUAUAAUGUAACUUUUAUAUAAUUAAAUUUUAUUUGAUUUUGUAUUUAUUUAACAUUAAUUAUUGAUUUUUUGAAACAAAUUAACUGAAUUCAUUUUUUUAUUGCAGAUUUGCAGGAAAUGGGUUCUCUAAUUAAUAAUAAUAAACAACGUGAGCGUCGAGCUCCACAAAAAUAUACCCCUAGAACCACACCAUCAAACCAUCAAUUUUAGGUGUUUUUGUAAUAAACAACCUCAUAUUUAUGUAAUGAUAGUUCUUAUCUAAAUAAAAUUAUAAUGGUUUAAAAAUGUCUCCAUAACUGCAACAAAUUGUAGACAAUUUUGUGAUUCAAACCAUAUUUAUGUAAUGAAGUACAUAUCAAUUUCUACCCGAUUGAGACGAUUGUCCAACAUGGUAGUUUCGGAUAGGGCAUUUACUUUGAUUAUGACUGGGUAAUCUGCAUACGCCACACAAAUUCCCGUCAGAUUUCUCCCUAAUGUCCAUUUUGUUAUGGAUUCUGGAUGAUUGCGGACGACCUUUCAGGUUUCUACGCAACCUUAUGUCUGGGACUAGCUCGAAGGUCGUCGGAGGUACCUCCCAAGUAGAUAGGUCAGGAAGUACGGGGAACUCGUUUUCCCAUACACGUAACGUGCGUUCGAUGGUGUACACUUCAUCGAUAAAUUGUUCUACAUUGAGCCCUACUUUAGCACAAGCUGCCACGACGUGUGCACAUGGAAAAUGAAGUGUUUGAAACCUCCUGCAAUCGCACCGUCUAUUUCGGAUAUCAACUCCGUAGGACCUAGGUGGUAUACUGGGUCGACAACCGAUGGUCUCUGUAACUCGAAACGUUUCAUUAUGUCGUGAAUAUACUUUUACUGUCAUCGACCUCGCCAUUCGACGGUUUACAACCAUUGCAUCCCUAAUGCCUUCGACAAAGACAUGUCCCGCCUCUAUCUGGUUCACUUGUUGCUGACCCAUUCUUGGCAUCAAGGUAGCCAACCUGUAGAACGUUGCCGAGAAGACAGAUGAAAUUGGAAGAUGUCGUGUUUUUAAUAACACAGCGUUGAUCACCUCCACUAAGUUUGUAGUCAUUUGACCAUAACGAAAGCCCUCGUCAAAACAUUGAGCCCAUUGCCACGGCUCCAUGGUACCCAGCCACUGCUGGAAAGAUGUGUUGGUUUGACCCUCCAUGUCACUCUCAAGCCGGGCCAUUCUUUGGCGAAAAAUGUGUGGCUUUAGCUCGUACGUUACAUAUGUAUUAAAAAAAUUUAAGCUACAGUAUUGCUCUAAAACAUUAAAACUUAUAUUUAAAAGAUAAGGUAAUUAUUUACCCAUUCUCACAACUUGUCUCUUCCAGUCUGCAUUCUUAUAAUCUCGCUGGAAGUUAGCCGCGAUGUGCCGGAUGCAGUAAACAGAUCUCCAUGGUACACCAGAACGCCUAAUGGCUGCAAUUAAUCCUUUCUCUCUAUCAGAAAUGAUGCAAAUAUUAUCAUUGCUAAUCACAUACCUCCGCAGGUUGGUAAGAAAGAACUCCCACGAUUCCAUGUUCUCCUUAUCGACGAUGGAAAAUGCUAUCGGGAGUACGUUCCUGUUGCCGUCUUGAGCAACCGCAAGAAGUAAGAUCUAUGUGUAUUUUCCAUAUAGCCAGGUUCCAUCUACUUGCACAAAUGGUUUGCAGUGGGGAAAUGCGCGCACACAUUGACCAAAAGUCCAGAACAUCCGAUGGAAAAUUCUUUUUCUCGAUUGUAGUUGGUCAUUUGGCCCGUAAUAAGAUCGUGUCUACAACUCAAUUACAGUCCCCGGCACGUGUUCCCUCAUGGCGGCUAUCCAUCCCUGUAAUUCAUUGUACGAUGCAUCGAAAUCUCCGUACAAUUGCUCCAUUGCCAUCUUUUUAGCUAUCCAUGCCUUCCUGUAUGAUACUCGAUAUUGGAAUCGUGCUUGUAUUUCAGCAAUCAGUACCGAAACUUUAAUGGUCGGCAUGUCUUUCACCAUUGGCAUGAUGCAUGUACAGAUAGUUUUGGAGUCAAGUUUUCGAUGAUCUUCUGUCAUACGUGUUGAAGUGCAUGUGUGAGGCCCAACAAAUUUUCGUAUCUCCCACAUUUGCGACUUCUGCAUAAAUGCAGCUCGUAUCCGCCAAUUGCAGCCUUCUGCCAACCUCUAACACUCUCUAAUAUAUAAUGUUGGUUUAGACUCGAUGACUUUGUAAUCUACUGAUAUAUUCAUACUAUACCGUUUAAUCGCAAACAUGCAUUCUUCCUUACUUUCAAAUCUCUGGCCCACGCGUAACUCAUCUGGAUCAGAAUAUACACCCAUUCGGUAAGUAUGUGGUAUUUCAGGGUACUCCGAAAACUCAGCUGCAUGUGCUGCAUCGGGGUCUAUCCGAGACAUGUGUGCCCCAGGAUUAUUGUGUAUCACAAUACGAAGAAUCUGGUUUCCGACUGAAGACACAUUAACGUUUCCAUCCUCAUUCACGCCUUCGUCGUCAAUAUCAUCCGGGACCUCGUCUGCGUCGGGAUCACUCUCACUAUCCACUUCGUAAUCAACAGGAUCACUACUAUAGUAUACAUCAUCACCAACCACAUCAGUCUCGGCUGCAGCAUUAAGAUCAAUAUUUAUCCCAUGUAUAGGUGAUUGACUAUCAACAUACGAUACCGGAACCACCAUACACGGCGCUUCAACUCCAUCUUCUUCACCUAAUGGAGUGGGAUCUUCAGUUGCCUCCACACUGGCUAACUCAGCAAAUAACUGAAUCGAUGCAUUUUUGUUACUCUCAGUCCCACAAUAAAGAGCGACCAUUGUCUCCACGUCUUCAUCGUCUACAAGUUCCAUUUCGGUAAAUUUUAUUGGAUCUGUUGAAACUGGAAACUUGUAGAAAACUUUUGAUAUCCUUCUCCCACAACGUCUAUAAAUUUUUUCACUAAUUUUUUCCUUCAUAUCAUCAAACGAGAUAUUUCUAUCAAAUCUCAUUGCUACUUGUUUGCGGCAUUCAAAUAUACAUCCCACAGUUGUUGUCAAAAUUUCUCCAUCGAAAUAAACGCAUAUAAAAAACUAAUUCUCCAUUUUCAAAACUAGAUCUGUAAAAAAGAAUUUCAAAUUUCUUAAAACAGUUUCAAAAUGUAAACAAAUUACAUAAAAAUUUUAAUGCAAAAUUUUUCAUUCAGAAGCUAACAAAAUUAAUAACAUGACAAAAUAACUUUCAAAUAAUAAAAUUACUAACAAUACUCUACAUUCUAUUUAAAAAGAAAAACCAAAAUACCUAAUUUUUUUCUUCUUUUCCUUCCUUCUUUUCUUCUGCUUCCUUCCUUCUUAUUUCUUUCGUUUCUGGAGUUUAUGUCUGUGUUGAGGGUAUUUAUAGGGAAAAAUAACAGCAUUGGCGCCUCUCAAAAUGGCACUACCAUUGGCGCCUCCCAGGUAGGCACCACCAUUGGCGCCUCCUAGGUAGGCGCCAAUACUAUGUAUUAUAUGGGUUAUAUACUAACCCGGAAAAGUAUAAAAUUAUAUUUUAUUCAAAAAAAUUUAUUAUUAUUUUAUUCAUUGGCGCCUAUCUAAUAGGCUCCAAUGAAAAAGUAACCUAUUUUGGUAAAUUUUUUUCUGACAUCCUAUUUCAGUAUUUUUUUUCUAUACUAUUUGUGUAAAAAACCCCAGAAAAACUUAAUUGAUUUUUCAUCAAAGUUCAAAGACAUACAGGUUUAACCUAAUUUAUAGUUUUCACACCAAUUUUUUCUCUCAUUAUGUAAUCAAUGUAAACAUAUUUUUCUAUAAUAUAAUUAAUAUAAAUACACUUCCCCAUAAUGUAAUUAAUAUAAAAUGAUUUCUCCUAAUAUAAUUAAUAUGAACAUGUUUUUUUAUAAUUAAUUAAAGGGUAAAUUAUAUAAAUAGUCACUCAACUAUUAAAGUUUUUCAUUUUAGGUACCAAAAAUAAAAAAAAAGUUUGUAAUUUAAGCAUUCACGUUACAUAGUUCGGUCAUUUUGGUCACUCCCGUUAAAAUCGCAAACAACAAGCUGACAUGACAGUUAAAAAACAGUAAUAACAAAUUUAGCCCUCAACUUUUACAUAUUACAUCAAUUUUGUCAUAAUUUUAAAAAAUUAACUCUCAAAAUUUACAAAUGGUAUCAAUUUGAUCCUUAAUUCUAAAAAAUUCAAAGAAAUAUAUAAAAAUACACAAAUAUUUUUUAAAAAUAAUAAUAAAGUUUAAAAAUAUACACAAAUAACAAAUAUUGUUGCCGGUUGAGUCUUAGCUUGAUUGGCAUGGACAUUGCUGCCAAUACAGGAGGACGUGUGUUCAAGUGCGCUGAAGUGCAUUAUCCUCUUAUUUAUGGGUUAGGGAAGGAUUAUAGGUAAUUCUAGGCAUUAUGUCAAAAAGAGCAGAUAUGAUCCAAAGUCGAGUAAUAUGUAUACAUACACAUGUUUAGGAAUGAAAAAGAAUAGCAUGCCAUUCUUUUUAUUUUAUUUAAUAAUAUAAUUAUAUAUUUGUUAAUAUGAAUAUAAAUAUGAAUAUAAAAUUUAAAUUUACUAUUAAUUUUGAAAAUAUUUAUCUAUUUUUUUAUCUAUUUCUUUGAAAUUUUUAGAAUUAGGAUUAAAUUGAAACCAUUUGUAAAUUUUGAGGGUUAAUUUUUUAAAAUUAUGACUAAAUCGAUAUAAUAUGUAAAAGUUGAGGGCUAAAUUUGUUAUUAUACCAUUUUUUAACUGCCAUGUCAGCUUGUCGUUUCUGAUUUUAAUGGGAGUGACCAAAAUGAUCGAACUAUAUAACAUGAGUACUUAAAUUGUAAACUUUUUUAUUUUGAGUAUCUAAAAAAAAACUUAUAAUUAGGUGACUAUCUAUCCACUUUACAUUUAUUUAAAAUAAAAAGACUUUUCAAUAAAAAAUGUAACUUAUUAAACUUCAUUUUUUUAAUUGACAUUAGUGAUAAAAAUUGAAUAAAACAUGAUGUAAAAAACAAUUAUAAGAGAAAAAAAAUAUUUUUUCAAUUAAAAUUAUUCAUUUGUUUUUGUCAAAAACUAAAAUACCCAUUUCAAUUAAAAUUAUUUAUUUGUUUUUGUAAAAAAGUAAAUUACCCAUUAUUAUUCAUGUAACUUCUAGUUAUUAAAUGGUUUGGUUAAUCGGUUUAAGUCUCGUUGUGAGGAUAUUUCUCAAUUUGGUUUUUGGGUCAAGGAUAUUUUUGGUUUGUUGGAUUUUUUUUAUUAAAUUUAAAACUGAGUGGGUCGCUCGUUCGAGUAAUAGGGUGGCCGAUGACCUUUGUAAGCUUGCUAUUGAUAAAUGUUGUAUCUUCUCUUUUAACAUGGAGUAUCCGAGUGAUAUCCAUGAGCUUAUACUUUCUGAUGCUUGUUAAUUUGAGGUAGUGGCCUUCGGUUCCUUUUUGUUCAAAAAACCUUCUAGUUAUUAGAAAAAAAAUCUAUCCUCCUUUUUUUAAUAUUAUUGUUUCUCAAAAAGUAAAAUUUAUAUAUGUAUUAUUUCUAAAAUAUAAAUUUACAUAUAAUAUAUUAUAUUUUGACAUGUUGCCAAAAUUUUGUUGCUAAUUAUGUGCUUUUUACAAAAAAAAUUUAGAGAUAAACUUGUUUAAAGGAUAGAUUACUUGCCCAAGUUUAAAAGUACACUCAAAAUAUGGGAGAGCUUGGACAAAAGUAUGAGACCUGAAAAAUGAGCUUGAAAAAAAAAUUAGGUUCGUUUAAGACAAGUCAAACUUAGGCUUCAAUGUUAAAGGCCCGAGCUUGACCCGUUUUCUACUUUAUAAUAUAUAUUUUAUAUAAUAUCUAAUUUAUAUAAAAUUAAAUAUAUAAUAAUAUAAUGCAAACAUUAAAAGAUAUAUUAAGUUAUUCAUGUUUAAAAUUUAAUAAAAAAUUCACCAAAAAUAAUAAAAGAAAAAUAUUAAAUUCAAAAUAAUAUAUUCAAAAUCGAUUGACAUGAGUACAUGACUAAAAUUUGAUUGAAAUGAAUUUAGAUUGAAUAUUUAAUUUUUUUUGCUAUAAAAUGAAUGUUUAUAUUUUUAUUAUUUAUCUUUUACUUCCCUCUUAUUUUUUUAAUUUUAUUUUUGAAAAUAUUCAAGAAGUUUUUUUUAAAAUUUUCAUUUUUUUUAUAAUUGAAUUUACAAUAGCUUAGUUGAACCCAAAGUCGGUGAUUUAGCCUGUUUGAUUGUCGCUUUGAUUUUUAUAAAAUUACAUAUUAUCCAACAAUGUAUGUAUGUAUGUAUGAUCACUAGUUAGAAAGAUGAAAACAAUAGUAUUGAUUCUAAAUUUCAAACAUAAAGAGAACCAUUAGUUAUUAUAAUUUAUGCAUGUAUGGUCUUGUUAAUAAUUUGUUAAUUAGGUUUAUUUGAUUCGUUGCACAAUUUGUUUUUAUUUUACUGUGUAAGAUUAUUAAUUUGUGAAUAAAAAUUUAAUUAUCUUAAAUAUUUGAUAUUGCUUUAUUCAUAACUUAAUUUUAGGUUAUCUAAGUUUUAAUUUUUUUUAAUUAUGAAUUUCAUUCUUUUAUUUUACAAAAAUUCAAAAAUUGAUCAUUGUAUUUUUUUGGUAUAACUAUGAUUCAAACCUAGGUUAUUACUGGGGGAGGUGAACAUCUGGUCAAUAAGCCACAACUUGAGGUUGAUCAUUGUAACACCCUAUACUCGGCCUGGUCGCCAAGCCCAAAUAUAAAGAUGCCACACCAUCGUCUCAUGUCAUACUCAUAGUAAAUUGUCGCAGUAUUAAGAAAUCAUCCUCUUAAUCAGUGAUCUUAUAAAUUUUUAGUCAAACACUACACCAAAACAAGAUUUUAGCAGCACUUUUAGUGGCGUUUCGAUAAAAAAACGCCGGUAAAAUUCAGGAAUUAGCGGCGCUUGACAGAAAACGCCGCUAAAAAAUGAGCUUUCACGGCGUUACUAAGAAAACGCCGCUGAAAAUAUGAAUUAGCGGAGUUUUCGUCAAAAACACCGCCAAAAAAAAAUCCCAACGACGUCGUUUGGUAGUCUUCGGAGGGCUUUAGUGGCGUUUUUAUAUUUGCGCCACUAAUGCUUUUACUUUCAGCGGCGUUUUUAGGCUCUCGCCGCUAAUGGUCGGGGGUUUUAGUGGCGUUUUUAAUCAACCGCCGCUAAAGUUAAGGUAUUUAGCGGCGAUUUCUUUGAAGCGCCGCGAAUAUUUGGUCUUCUAGCGGCGUUUUUAUAUAAGCGACGCUAAAGUUAAGAUUUUUAGCGGCGAUUCUAUGAUAAGCGCCGCUAAUGUUAGGGUUUUAGUGGCGUUUUUGUUGAAGUGCCGCAAAAAAAAACAUUUUAUCUUAAUUGGUUUAUUAUUUAGAUUAAUUAAAUAAAAUUCAACUUAAAUCUAAUUAAAUAUUUAAAAUAUUCAGAAAAAAUAACACAUAAAAAUAAUUUGAAAUAAAUCACAAGGAAAAAAUUAAAAUACUAUUAUUUAAAAUAAUUUUUAAGAUUUUUGGAUACAUGAUUAAUAUAUACUGCUUAUUUUUUAUAUUAUUAUAUAUAGUAAAUUUUUUUUAUAUAAUUGUAAAACAGAUAUAGUAUGAUUUUAAAUUUAAAAUAUUGAAUUAAUUAAUUAUCAGUAUAGUUAAUUUAGGGUUUAAUAGGUUUAAGGUAUAUAUAUAUAUGAUUAUUAAUUUAAUAUAGUAUUAAUUUAAAUUAUAUAUUGUGGAUGUGAUCAACAUCCAAAAAAGUUUAAAAUUUUAAAAUUAUGUUUUUUAUUAGAAUUAAAAAAUUUGAUGGAUAAUAUAUAUUAUUUAAUUUAAAUUCAAGGUUGAAAUAGUACGUAAUACUCAACUAAUUAUAAUAUUUCAUGACAAACAUUUAAUUAAAUACUUAAAUCAAAUUGUGAAUUUGAAUUGAUCUCAUUCAAUUAAUUAAAAUAUAUGCAUAUAUACGUCCUAACUUGCUAUCAUUCCUUUUGUUAUCACUUCAUCAAUAUUAAAGAAAAAUGUCAUGUAUAUAUAUAUAUAGUUGUUCGUCCUUAUUGUUUUUUCAUUUAUAUAUCUAUUUGAGAAAUUAAGAAUAUAAUAAAUUUGUUAAUUAGAGAAAUUUAUUCAAUAUUUAUCAAUAAAAUAAAAUAUUAAAAAUUCCAUACUUUAUAUAAAAAAUAAAUUUUAUAAAGAAUAAUAUUGUUUAUUGCUACUUUAUACAAAAUUUUUAACUAUUAAUUAUUGUUUAAUCGAUUUUAACUGUUUUUAUGAUUAUUAAAGAUUUAGGGAAUUUUUUGGAAGGUAUAUAUAUAGGGGGUAUAUAUGAUUAUUAGGGUUUGGAAUAUAAGGUUUAGGGGUUAGGGGUUAGGGAUUUAGGGGUUAGGAGUUAAGGGUUAGGAAUUUAGGGGCUAGGAGAUUUAGGGGUUAGGAGUUAGGGAUUUAGGGUUUAGGGUUCAAUUAAGGGUACUACUCAAGUUAGGGAUCAUGGUUGCUUAGAUUAAUUAGUUUUAUUAAUUUAUAUAUUAAAUAUGUUCUUAUAUGUUUGUAAAAUAUAUAAUAAUAAAUUUAAUAUUAAGUAGUGACUGUCCGGUUUUGUUUCUCCAAAUUUUUGUCACUACUCUACAAAAUCUGGUUCAGCCUUCUAAUUUAUAGUAGAAAGGAUCGUUCUAAAAAUAUUUAUUGAUGAACGACGGGAUUUGGAGGGUUGGAAGCUAGCAGAUGCCCCCUUUCGGUAUUUUGGCAAUGUUCCUAGGGCACCGAUAGCACAUGUCAAGAAUCCUACAAUUGGUGGAGGGUUCAGUGAUCAUUUAAGAUAUUUCAAAGAUAUGUAUAGUAUAUAUUAUUAAAUUAAUUAGAGAUAUAUAAUAUAUAUAUAGAUCACUUUAUAUAUGCAUGUAUACCGAAUGGUUAAAUUAAUUAGGGUUUUGGUUUAUU
This 92571-nucleotide long non-coding RNA is filed under the name Gossypium barbadense (sea-island cotton). RNAcentral's name for it is "long non-coding RNA (GBAR_LNC014443)". Lineage: Eukaryota; Viridiplantae; Streptophyta; Magnoliopsida; Malvales; Malvaceae. The record is from RNAcentral.